AAGGAUUAAUCAACAAUCAAGGUUGCAUAUGCUCAGAUGAAUGACAAUUGUGUAACUAAUGAUUUGUAAGUUCAAUUCGUCUUCUAUUAACUAUAGAAAAAUACAUUGCUUGUUUAAGGGACAUGUUCUCUGUUCUUUUCUUUUUUGCAUAUUCUAUGAAGCAACUUUUAGCAAAAACAUUUUUAAGGAAAUGUGGCAUACCUCUAGUGUGAGGGACAUGAAAAUCAUGCCAAGUGAACACACCAAUAAAGACUAGCCCUUGCUGGGAUUAUUGUUUGGCAUAUAUUGUCUUCAUUGUUGGAAUAAUAAAAUAAGAGUCAUUUUCACUAUUUUAGUUAUUUUGCCUGUCAAAUGCUGAAAGUUCUUUCAGUUUGGCAGUAACAUUGACAUCUAUGAAAUUGGUUGAAGGAAAAAGCAAAUAAGAACAUAUUUAGAUGCUAUGAAAUACGAUCAUGUGAACAGAGUGUGCUAGACAGGGGAUUCUUGGAGAAAUAACUUUGGUAUGACACUCUAUUAAUAAGAUCCUCUCUACUCUAGAGUACAUGAAAGUGAAUUUUUUUCAUCUGUUAUUUCAAACAAAAAAGUUCCUACUGGAAUUUGUUGUUAUCGUGUUCCUUAAUAGAGUGGAAAAAUAUUAUCUAAGUUGAAAUUCUUAAAGAAUCCUAUUACAUUUUGGUUGAUCUUCAAAAUUUAUGUAUCAUCGAGUGAGAUAAAAAGCCAUGUCUUAUGUCAUUUCAAAUGAAGCUCUAUUUGACUCAAGGAUCAAGUCAAUGUAGCAAGGCAAAUUAGAUAGAUAAAAACUGCUAAUCCAUGCAAAAACAAUGUCAUCAAUCUUACUCUUAAUAAAACAAAAUGUCAUUAGUUUGACAAAUAACGUGUAGUAUUUACUAAUGGUUUUGUUUUAGACUAGUUUAUUUUUUAUUGAUAUUUAAAGAAUCACAACAUCACUCAUAAUUGAAGUAUUUGUAAUCUUCAAGAACAAUAAUUUCUAAGGGUAAAUGGGGAAAGAUUAUUAAUUUUUGCCUUGAACUUCUAAAACAAUUCAUUUUACUUGUCAUGUUUUUUCUGUGUCCCUUAAAAAAAUAGUGUAACACCCCGUAUUCGAAACAGACCAAAAAUGCAGAUUUUGAGAAGUUGCAGGUGCAACUUACGGUCACCAUCCACGGACCGUAGGUCAGACCACGGCCCGUGCUGGUGGUCCGUGGUUCACCACUGCAACCCCACCCCAAACCAGCUCAGAAAAAUUUGGCUAAGUCCCGACUCACGGACAGACCCACGGUCCGUAGAUCAGACCACGGUUCGUGGUCUGUUUCCGUGGAUUGAGACCUUCUUUACCCAGCCUCUGACACAAACUACGGUCGACCAGUACGGACCGUCAUUUGAUCCACGGUCCGUAGGUCUGACCGUAGAUGAGGGUUAGCAGCUAGUUAGAUGAAAAUUAUUGAUGGGUCAACUUCAGAUGGUCAUAAAUCUUAGACAAAGAUGAAUUAGGUGUCCCAUGACCUAUGAUAUGAUAGAUAAUUGAAUUAUCUUUCCAAAGCCACCGAGUUUNNNNNNNNNNNNNNNNNNNNNNNNNNNNNNNNNNNNNNNNNNNNNNNNNNNNNNNNNNNNNNNNNNNNNNNNNNNNNNNNNNNNNNNNNNNNNNNNNNNNNNNNNNNNNNNNNNNNNNNNNNNNNNNNNNNNNNNNNNNNNNNNNNNNNNNNNNNNNNNNNNNNNNNNNNNNNNNNNNNNNNNNNNNNNNNNNNNNNNNNNNNNNNNNNNNNNNNNNNNNNNNNNNNNNNNNNNNNNNNNNNNNNNNNNNNNNNNNNNNNNNNNNNNNNNNNNNNNNNNNNNNNNNNNNNNNNNNNNNNNNNNNNNNNNNNNNNNNNNNNNNNNNNNNNNNNNNNNNNNNNNNNNNNNNNNNNNNNNNNNNNNNNNNNNNNNNNNNNNNNNNNNNNNNNNNNNNNNNNNNNNNNNNNNNNNNNNNNNNNNNNNNNNNNNNNNNNNNNNNNNNNNNNNNNNNNNNNNNNNNNNNNNNNNNNNNNNNNNNNNNNNNNNNNNNNNNNNNNNNNNNNNNNNNNNNNNNNNNNNNNNNNNNNNNNNNNNNNNNNNNNNNNNNNNNNNNNNNNNNNNNNNNNNNNNNNNNNNNNNNNNNNNNNNNNNNNNNNNNNNNNNNNNNNNNNNNNNNNNNNNNNNNNNNNNNNNNNNNNNNNNNNNNNNNNNNNNNNNNNNNNNNNNNNNNNNNNNNNNNNNNNNNNNNNNNNNNNNNNNNNNNNNNNNNNNNNNNNNNNNNNNNNNNNNNNNNNNNNNNNNNNNNNNNNNNNNNNNNNNNNNNNNNNNNNNNNNNNNNNNNNNNNNNNNNNNNNNNNNNNNNNNNNNNNNNNNNNNNNNNNNNNNNNNNNNNNNNNNNNNNNNNNNNNNNNNNNNNNNNNNNNNNNNNNNNNNNNNNNNNNNNNNNNNNNNNNNNNNNNNNNNNNNNNNNNNNNNNNNNNNNNNNNNNNNNNNNNNNNNNNNNNNNNNNNNNNNNNNNNNNNNNNNNNNNNNNNNNNNNNNNNNNNNNNNNNNNNNNNNNNNNNNNNNNNNNNNNNNNNNNNNNNNNNNNNNNNNNNNNNNNNNNNNNNNNNNNNNNNNNNNNNNNNNNNNNNNNNNNNNNNNNNNNNNNNNNNNNNNNNNNNNNNNNNNNNNNNNNNNNCAGUUUAGCGAUAUCAGUGGUGAGUCCUCAUUCUUCGAGGACUAGCGACAUGUUUAUCUUUAUCGCUUUUAGUCUUUAGUUUCAGUUUUUGCUAGAUCUAGUUGGGGCAUGUCCCAGCAUUUCUAGUCAGUUUAGAGGCUUAUUUCAGACAUAGUUAGAUUCAACUUAGUAUUGAGUUAAUAUCUUCCUUGUAUUAAACUCAUCAGUUUUCAUUUAUCUCAGUUAUAGUAUAUGGGUAUUCCCCAUCCUUUCAUGUUAUUUAUGAUUUAGCUUCCGCAUCAGUUUAUUAUCUUUAGUAUGCUCAUGAUCAUGCUAGCAGGGUUAGCUUGGGAUCACUUGUGGUCCUAGGUCCCGUGUCCGCGUCUCGGGGGUAGUCUUGGGGCGUGACAAAUAGUAACUAAAAAGGUAACUUGACUAAAAUAUCCUUAUUUUGUUCUCAUUUAAUAGUACUACUAUUUUCCUCACCACGUUAAUCUCUCUCCACAAUACUUUAAGUGUGUUUACUAAAAUAGUUGAUGGUCAAAAAUACACUUAAAAUAUUCCGAUUUUUUUAGUUCCCAUAUGAGUAAUUAGUUCUAGUGGUAAACUAUGAAAAAAAUAAUCAUCUUUUCUUGAUAAAUUAAAAGUAACAAGCAAAACUGAAAAUCUAUUUUUCAAAUAGUAGACAAGUAAAAGUAAAUGAAGAUAGAUUUUUUUUUAAAUCGCGAGAGAUAAUUUAAGAUUGAGUGAGUAUUAUUGGAGGAUUAAAUCCAAAACAAUCCACAGUAGAUUUAGUACAAUUUGGGGGAAAUUCAUUUAAUGGGUAAAAACAUGUAGGAAGCCUAAGAAUCUCCCACAAUUACAAAGCAAGACAAUCAAACCUUCUUCUCCAAAACCUAAAAAAAUUCUGCAACCAAAACGGAGUCAGAGGGAAAUGAAAACACCCAUAAAACCCAAAACGUAGCAAACCCAUUAACCACCAUUAUCAUGUUACAUGUCAAAUAUAGGUGAGACUUUUCUUGUUUAUGGAGCACCUGGAGUGAUACAGAAUCAACAGGAUACACCAUCUAUUAUCAAAAACAUAUGCGAUGAUCUGAUUAGAUAUGCAGAGGUUACUAACUUUGGUGCCCAUUUGUUGAAUGAAAUCUACAUUGAAAGCCUUGUCAGUCCACUUUCACAAAUCCAACAAGAAUUAAGAAACAAUGAAGGCUGCAGAUGCUCAGAUGAAUUACAAUUGUGUAACUAAUGAUUUGUAAGUUUCCACUUAAUACAUGUCUCGCAAGUGCAGUUCAAUUCUUCUUCUAUUGUCAAAUUUACAUUUCAUGUUUAAGGUUCUUUUGGAUACAGUCUCUACCUUCUCAAAGGUAGGGGUAAAGUUGGCAUACAUAUUUCUCUCCACUUGUGAGAAUACACUGUGUUUGUUGUUCCUACAUUGUAUGUUUAAGGUACGUUGUCACACAAGGUCUGCUUGAGAUCUUCUCUAGUCCUUUUUCUUUUUGCAUAUUCUAUGAAACAACUUUUCUUAGAACAUUUAUUUGGUUGUAGAAUUUGGUGUCUUCAAAACUCAAAAAACCUAAAUAAAGUUGGAAAUUGAUUCUCUUUCCAAGAUGCAUUAUAAGGGAAUGAGACAUAUCUUUAGUGUGAGUGACAUGAAAAUCAUGCCAGUUGAAUGCUCCAAUAAAACUAUGCAUAGCCCUUGCCGGGAUUAUUGUUUGAUGUAGGAUCUUCAUUACUAGUGCUCUUUAAAAUACAGUUACUAUGGUAAAGGAAUCAUGGAAUAAGAGUCUUUGUCUAGUAUAGUAUCUAACUUUAGUGGUUUUCUUUGUUGCUAAUAGCUUACUAUCUUUUCUUAAUUUUAUUUAUUUGGUCUGUCAAAGGCCAAGAGUUCUUUCAGUUUAGCAGUAACUCGAAUCUGCAAACUUGGUUUGAUGGAAAAAGGAAUUGAGGAAAUAUUUGGAUGCUAAGAAUUAUGCUCAUGAGACUAGUGUGGGAGGUUACGUACCAGUAUUUGAAUAACAGUGAAAAUGUUUAUCUCUGUUAUUUCUAUCAAAAAGGUUCCAACUAUAAUUUGUUCUUAUCUUAUUCCUUAGUAGAGUGGUAAAUUGUAUGUAUCACCAAGUGAAAUGAAAGUGUCGUCUAAUGUCGUUUCAAGUGAAACUUUUAUUCGUUAUCUGCUGCCUACUCUUAGUUUUUCUGAUGGAAAAAAUAGUGAUGAGAAGAAAAAUGUGGACUUUAUUCAAUUGGCGAAAAAUUGAUCGUGUCUUUGAAGUACAUCAAUUGAACUCUUUAAAUAAAGUUUUACUAACAGAAAAAAUAACGUAGCAAUCCACUAACUCCUACGAUUACUCAACAACCUACUUAUUUGCUAAAGACUCGAUCAACUAAAACACUAGCUAACAACUGCAAGAGAAUAAACAAUAACUAACAAUCCCUCCCUUAAACUGAAAGUCACACUAUCAGUUUAACAUGCUUGCAGCAGACAACUUGUUUUAAAUGUGAUUUUCCAAAGUGCAAACACCAAGUAAUUUUCUGAACUUCAGGAAGGAUGCUAACUUGAGAGAUUUGGUAAACACAUCAGCUAGCUGAUCUUCACUUCUGCAGAAGAUGAGAUCAAUUACUCCAUCUUUUGUGAGGUCCCUUAAGAAAUGAAAUUUGACAUCAAUAUGUUUACUUCGCCCAUGCUGAACAGUAUUUUUGGAGAUCUUUAUUGCUGAACUGUUGUCACAAAAAAUGGUAGUAGAGCUUUACGCAUCCAAAUUACCUGACAGGCACAUGCUGCUGCCACAAAUUCAGCUUCUGUAGUUGAUAGAGUCACAAUUAAUUGCUUUCUCGAAGACCAUGAAAUUGCUCCCGACCCCAUCAUAAAGACAUAACCAGACGUACUCUUUCGAUCAUCUGAAUCUCCAUCAAAAUCACUGUCAGUAAAGCCAACUAAGUCUACUUUUUCUCCUUUCGCGUAGAAUAGACCAUAAUUAGUAGUUCCUUGCAAGUAUUGAAAAAUUCUCUUUGCGGCUAGAAGAUGCAUCUCUUUGGGACUUUCCAUGUAUCUGCUAAUAAGACUUACAGCAUGCAUAAUAUCAGGCCUUGUGGCCAUUAAAUACAUCAAACUUCCCACUAUUUGUUUGUAAAGAGUGUUGUCAACUCUUCUUCCUCUAGGUUCUUUAGUGAGCUUCGAACCGAACUCGGUGGAACUGGUGGCAGAGUUGCAACUCUUCAUCUGAAACCUGUCCAAAAUCUCUUGAGCAUACUUCUUUUGUGUGAUGAAAAUCCCAUCAGCAGAUUGAAUGACUUCAAUGCCAAGAAAAUAAUGCAUCAUUCCAAUAUCCGUCAUAUCAAAUUCCACCAUCAUGGACUUCUUAAAACUUGCAAUCAUGGAGAUGUCAUUUCCGGUGUAAAUUAAAUCAUCCACAUAUAAACAAACAAUGAGCAUUUUUCCUUUAUCAUCAUUCUUUGUAAAGAGUGUGUGCUCAUACGGACAUUUCUUAAAUCCCUCCUUCGAAAAAUAAGCAUUUAUUCGACUAUACCAAGCUCGUGGAGCUUGUUUUAGUCCAUACAAUGCAUUCUUUAAUUUACACACCUUAUGUUCUUCUCCAACCUUGACAUAACCAGGAGAUUGAUCAACAAAUACCUGCUCAUCCAAGUCCCCAUGUAAGAAGGCCGAUUUGACGUCCAUUUGAAAAAUGGGCCAUGAGUGUUGAGCAGCCAAAGCUAUCACUAAUUUGAUAGUGUCAAGUUGUGCCACCGGAGCAAAAACUUCUUUGUAGUCCACACCGAACUCUUGCUUAUAGCCUUUAGCUACUAAGCGUGCUUUGUGCCGCUCGACUUUACCUUCCUUGUUCAUCUUUUUCUUGUAUAUCCACUUGACACCGAUUGUCUUAUGCCCUUUUGGAAGCUCAGUCAACUCCCAAGUGUCAUUUCUAUCAAUUGCUGCCAUUUCUUCAUCCAUUGCCUUUUGCCAUUUUUCAUCUUUAACAGCUUCUUCAAAACUGGUAGGAUCACUUUUUGAAAAUAAGGCAAAAUGAAUAACUGGAUCUUCCGAUUGAUCAAUUCCAGUUACCUUAAAAUCUGUCAUCCAUGCGGGUCUCCUUUUUGAUCAUUGAGGUCGCUCCGCUUCUUGUGUAGGAAUUGAAAUCGGUGAUUGAACUGGUUCUAAAUUUUCCAGUUGUUCUGUCUUCUCCAGUUGCAGCGUUUCCUCUUCAAAAGCUACUGGAACAAGCUAUUGAUCUCCUUUGUCCUUCCAUGACCAGGUAGCAUUUUCACAAAAAUUACAUCACGACUAAUGACAAUUUUCUUGGUGUUUGGAUUAUAUAACUUAUAAGCCUUAGAUUGAUUACUAACACCAAGAAAAAUGCAUUUUUCUCCUUUAUCAUCUAGUUUGAUCCUUUUCUGAUCUGGAUCAUGAGCAUAGGCCACACAUCCGAAGAUUCUAAACUAGUCGACACUUGGUUUCUGUUGGCUCCAUGCCUCCUCCGGAGUCAUAUUUUGAACAGAGAAAGUUGGACUUCUAUUUAAAAUAUGAAUGCUCCAGUCAACUAUUUCUGGCCAAAAUCUUUUUGAAACACCGCUCCUUGUCAAAAUGUUGCGCACCAUAUUGAGGAUUGUGCAAUUCUUCCGCUCACAAACACCAUUUUGCUGAGGUGGGUAAGCUGAUGUAAGUUGCCUCUUGAUUCCAUUUUCCUCACAAAAAUUAGUAAAUUCUUGAGAAUUGAACUCUCCUCCACGAUCAGUACGAAGAACUUUCAAUGAACUUCCAGUUUCUUUCUCAACAAGUACUUUAAAACGUUUUAAAAUGUCAAAUGCUUCAGACUUUUCUUGUAAAAAAUACACCCAUGUUUUCCGACAUAAGUCAUCAAUGAAGGUUAUGAAGUACCUUUUACCACCAUUGGAAUUUGGAUUUAUUGGUCCACAGAGAUCUGAGUGCACCAAUUCCAACAACGUCUUUUCUCUCCUAGAUUUGCCUUGUGGAAAUGGACUGCGAGGUUGUUUGCUAACAACACAAUUUUCACAAGUUCCUGAAGGAGCUGCAUUUUGAGGAAGACCGUUCACCAUUUUCUUCUGUAGCGUUCUCAGUCCAUUAAAAUUAAGGUGCCCAUAACGGAAAUGCCACAACCAGACAUCAUCUUUCACUUUUGCAGAAAAACAACAUUUUGUAGAGUUGUGAAGAUGUAACGGGAACAAGCGAUUUGACAUGUUAAUCUGAGCGAUCAACCCCAAAUGAGAAUCUCAAAUCUUACACACUCCACCUUUGAUAUUAAUUUCAUAUCCAUCUUCUUGAAGUUGCCCAACACUUAAUAAAUUUGUCUUCAAAGCAGGAACAUAAAACACAUCACCUAUGGUAUGAAUAGAGUUAUUUUUGGUUGAGACAUGAACCUUCCCCUUUCCUAUGGCAGAGACCACUGAGUUAACUCCAAAUCUCACAAUACCUCGAAAAGUUUCAUCCAAUUCUGAGAAUUCCUCCUUUUGCCUGGACAUGUGAUUACUGCAGUCGGUAUCGAGAUACCAUAAAUUAGUGGAAGCUUUCUCUUUGGAAUGAUAUGCCAUCAAAAGUGCAAUCUCUUCUUCUUCCUUCGUUGUGCAAAAUUAGAUUCCUCUCCACGCAACUUAGAAAAAUUUGUUCGGCAUUCUGAUUUAUAAUGACCGAAUUUGUGGCAUCUGUAACAUUAAACUUUAGACUUGUCCCAUAACUUUGAGUUGUUGCCACCUCGCCCCUUUCCUCUGCCUUGAUUAUCAUGGUCUUGAAGUUGUUGACGAUUUCCAUGAUAAGCACUAUUGCCUUGAUCUCUACCUCUACCUCUACCAUUACCUCUGUUAUACCCUUGUCCUCCUGAAUGAUCAUCUGUUGAGGCACUCAAUGCCACCUCCUCCUUUUCUUGUUGAGUAAUUUUUUGUUCAUGAAUUAUCAAAGAGCUUUGCAAUUCAUCAAUUGAAAGCAAAUCAAUAUCAUGAGAUUCUUCAAUAGAACAAACAACAAAGUUAAAUUUUGGUUUCAUGGUCCGAAGAAUCUUUUCAACAAUUGUAACUUCAUUUGACUUGUCGCCGUGGAUCCGCAUUUUGUUGACGACUAUCAUCACCCGUGAAAAAUAGUCGAUAACUGACUCUCCAGAUUUCAUUCGAAAAGUUUUGAACUCCAAACGAAAUGCUUGAAGUUGCUGCCUCUUUGACCUCAUCGAUCCUUGAUAUUUCUUCUUCAUGGAGUCCCAAAUCUGCUUAGAAGUAUCUUUAGAAAGAAUAGUUUCCAAGAUUGAACGUUCAAUUUCUUGGAAAAGAUAAUUCUUCGCCUUGAGGUCCUUCAACUUUGCUUCUUGUGCUUCUGCUUUUUGUGCGUCUGACACUGAUGUGCCUUCUGCUGGUUCUGGUAUGCCAUCCACAACUACUUGCCAAUACUCCUUUGAUCCUAGGAAAUUCUCCAUCAACAUGCUCCAAUGAUCAUAGUGACCAUCAAAGCGAGGAAUGGCUACUUGCACAAAGUUUUCUGAAGCCAUAGAUACAAACGUUGUUGCUGCAAUUUCUUUUAGUAUUUCUCUCACCAAACUGGCGCUGAUACCACUUAUGGAAAAAACAUUGAUGAGAAGAAAAACGUGGACUCUAUUCAAUUGGCGAAAAUUGAUCGUGUCUUUGAAGUACAUCAAGUGAACUCUUUAAAUAGAGUUUUACUCACAAAAAAAAUAACGUAGCAAUCCACUAACUCCUACGAUUACUCAACUACUAAAAAAUUAAAAGGAUUCUACUACUUCAAUUCAACAACCUACUUAUUUGCUAAAGACUUGGUCAACUAAAACACUAGCUAACAACUGAAAGAGAAAAAAAAAUAACUAACAUUUUUUACAUCAUAUAUUCCUUCACCCUAUUCCCUAUAGAGUUUUCAUACCAUUCUAUCUAUGGUCCAUUUGGACACAACGUAACCAGUUCAUUUUUGAACAAAAAUCACUGAUCAUUAAAUACUGUGAUGUUAAAUAUCUAACAUGUCCAACCAAGUUAGGACAAUCUAAAAUUCCCGUCUGUGACAUAGGAACCCCCUAGGAAACUAUUUACAUGGUCAAUAGAGAUGCAAGGGUGGACAAUAACAUGAAUUUUAUAGGAACGGGAGUAUUUAGGAUAGGAGCGAACAAUGGAAUUUAGGAUUUACUUCUUCGAUUUCAAUUACAAAAAUGUUUUCUAAGCUGAAUUACUCGCCCCCUUACAUGGAUUGACUCUAACUUUUCUGCAUAAUAUACAGCCCCUGCAAGUUAAUAUUGAUGCCCAGGAAGUAGUUGUCACUUUAUAACACUAACUUGCACAACUCUUCAAUUUUGGAUGACUGCAGGUGCCUCUUCUGGAGGCUGAGUAUUCCAAAGGUGAUCCAUACCUACGGAAAAUAGAAUAGACUAGUUGAUAGCUUAGCAGCAAUGGCCACCACCAUGUAGGAAGCUCCUUUCUAAGACCUUUUUUCUGGACACUCGUGCAUCCUUGGAAGAUAUUUUGAGCGGGGACAGAAAUGAAGUUAUGUCUGUUAGGAGAGUUAAUGCACUGGCAUUCAGCCCUACUUAAUUCUAUGUGUAAUAUUAGCAUAAAUGGUGGUACAACCACAAAUGGGCAACUCAUUACCCAUUUUUGGUAGCAUAAUAUGUUGGAUGUUGAUUUGUACGGUUAUUGCUCAUAGAUAUUAUGUUCUAUAUUUCGAAUAUUAACUAUUAAAAUCUUCAGGUGCAACGAUUGUGUUUCACCGAGGGAAGAUGAAAACCAUUGCUUAAUGCAUUUCAGGUGUUGAUCUAUUCACUAUGUUAUCAACUAUCUAUUAGUAUAUUAUGAAAAAGUGACUCUAGCCAAGAAAUGGAAACAGGAAAAGGUAGUUAAUCUUGAAUGACAGGUCAAGAUCAGCCUCGUGAAAACCUUAACAAUGUCAACAGUUUAACAUAACCAUUGAUUGAUAUUAGUGGUUUUACCAUUGAUUUGCAUAUAGUUAUAGCCUAUACAAUUGUGGAAGCAAGGGAGAGAUGCCAAAUAGGUGUGCGUGCUCUAUGUUGCAUGUCGGAUCUUUGUACUCUGAUACGCACCCGUGGACAAUUUUUAAGUCUGAGCAACAUAGUGUUGGGUCUGGGAAAUUCUUGUGAGUUGUAUCUGUUUGAGUAAGAGAUACAACUCAAACAUUUUGACUUGCCUAAUUUCAUCUGCUAUGGUUUAAAUUCAUAAACAAUUUUAAGGUCACUGAGUCGGGCUCAUUUUGACCUGCCUAAUUUCUUAAGAAAAGAGGUAGAAAAAUGAUGCCCCAUAAGUUAAUAAAUCUGUGAUUGGCCCUGGUCCCUUGGAUAUUGUGCACUUUGACUACGGAUAAAAGCCUAAGUUUAGGGUGGCUAACUUAGAAAAUACCUUAAUAAUGUUCCUGGUCCUUAUAAGGACAAUGUGCACCUUAACUCAAGAGAAAUCUCUAAGUUGAGGGUGGCUAUGCUGGGAAAAUAUGCAGAGAGGGGGGGCAAAGAAAGGAAAAAGUUGGGAAUGUAGCAAGAAAAUCAAAACAUGUGCAUUAGGGAGGAUAAGUCACUAAUUUUAUCUAAUUGUAUCCUCCCUUACCUCAAGCUUACACUACAACCCAUAAAGUCCUGUUUGAUUUUGGGCAAAACACGCUUAAUUAGUGGAGAUGUACAUAAAGGGCAAGAUUGUGGUUCUCAAUGCAUGCAUGUAUGAUGUCUUUUUUGAGUGAGAGCGUACUAUGUUUGGAAAGUCCUUAAACUAUAUUCAAUGUGUUGUGUUGAGUGUACAGACUAUUCUGUUGAGUGAGGGGCACUUUUUAUAUGAAAGAUAGGUGAUGAGUAAUGGUGCACAUGCAGUUGUAUGCGUUGGUUGCAAAAAGUUGUCAAGUCAAUAACAUGAGUUGUAUGAUGUCUGAAAGUGGGCAAGGCCUGUUUGAGUGAAAACAUGCUUCUUUAAAUUGAUUACAUAUCCUUUAAAGGAAGUGGCGGAUGCACAAAUACCAUAGUAUGAAGUCUAGGUCUAGGAUUAGUUAGUAAGUUGUUCGAGGAUGAACAAAGCUCUAAGUGUGGGUAGUGAUCUUAUGCAUAUUAUCCGUUUGCAGGUAUAGUUUUCAAGGAUGUAGUUUAGGUUGUGAAUAUAACGUAGGGAUGUUUUUGGCCAAAAACUCGAAAAACUAUAUAUGUAUGAAGGCAGACAAACAUACAUAAAUAAAGUUCCCCUGAACAUUUCAUUGUAAUUUGAUUAUUAACGAUUCACUCUAAAAAAGCAUAUUAUUCCCCACACAAAUUCAAACUAAAGAGACAAGUAACAAAGUAUCAAUAUCUAUCAUAUUAUCUAUUCAGUUGAUCUACAUCUUCUUUCAGUUCAUUGGUGAUUAAUAAUGUUUUAAAGACACUACUUCCAAUUCUAAGUGUCAACGAUAGUAAAUCAAUAUAAAACCCAACUAAAUGAGUUGGGGUCGAAUCCCACAUGGAGCGAUACGUGUUUCAUAUUAGAUUGGGAAGUAUAAAUGUGGUCAAAUCAGUCAUAGGAAUAAAAAUUAUCGAAUAAAGACAUCAUUCAAGUUAAAAGGGUGACACGAAUGUCAAAUGGGGGGAGGGGGUUGGUUUUUAGAUUAUCAGCUAAAAGUAGUCAUAAAAACAAGGAAUUAACAAUAAUGAGACGGAUUCUUGGGAUGUGAUCGAUUAUAGGUAAAUGUAGACAUAUGGGUUAUUGCAACUAUUAAAAAAUAGCUAGAUAUUAGUGAGUAGGCUAGACUAUAACGGAGGUAAUUUUCUCUCGAACAAUUACCCCGAAUCAGGUGAUUUCUUGCGAACAUCAACAAGCAAUACAAUUAAGAGCAACCCAAACCUUAAUCCAUUCACUCUCUCGAGCUAAAUGUGUGGGAUAGAAUUUAGGAUUUACUCUCUCUAGCUAAACCCAGGUCAACCCAACACCCACAAAUCAUCGGUCAAUAAUUUUAGUUCUAAAACCUCUCUCUUGAGCAAGCCAANNNNNNNNNNNNNNNNNNNNNNNNNNNNNNNNNNNNNNNNNNNNNNNNNNNNNNNNNNNNNNNNNNNNNNNNNNNNNNNNNNNNNNNNNNNNNNNNNNNNNNNNNNAUUCAUCCCAUAACCACAUGAUCACACCCCAAGAAUUGGGGUUUUAGCUAGACAUUAUAAAAAGGUAAAAAUAGUUACCAAAUUGAUUAUCCAUCAACUAGGUAAGAGUAAUUUCGUCCUUACAAUGCUCCAAUUUGAUGAAUCUCAAAGAACCGCUUCUAAUUUAUCAAAAGUGAAUUUUCUUCAAUCCUUUAAAGCUAAGGAAGAACUCUAGAGAGAAUUGUUCUAAGAGUUCUGAUAGAAAAAUAAUAAUCAAAAUUAUAUCCCAGAUUACUUGAUUCAUUUCUAAACUAAAUGUUCAAAAUCCUAUUUAUAGUUGCCAAAAAUAUGCUGCGAAAGCCCAUUUAACGAAGUAAGUCGGGCUCGCCGAACCACUCGGUCAGCCGCCCUUUGAUCUUUUCCAUCGCCUUUUUGCCUUGUCAUUCAGCAUCCUUGGUUUCUGUAACUUUAGGGGAACUAUCACUAUAUCACAAAAUUACUCGGUGAUUCAUCGACUGCUCCUUCUUGUCACCGAUUUGGUUUCUUCCCUCAGGGCUGGCACACUGGAACUUUAGGCGGUGGAACUUGCCCGUCGGCGAGGCUCCAUCUACAUCAUCUUGAACAACAUUUUGCUCAUUAGCGCCCAAAUUUUUAUCAUUAGCACCUACAUCAUGACCAUUAGUACCUACAUCUUGUUCAUUAACGCCCCAAUCUUUAUCAACAAUUUGUUCAUUCACGCCUCCAACUUGUUCCUCAUAAUGCGGAAGCAACGUUACCUCAUUCCAGUAAGGCAAAUCAGCAUAUCUCUACCACAAAAUACUCAUUCAUAGCAACACCUUACAAGUAUCAAUUCAAAAAUUUGUUAAUUAGAGCCUUACAAUUUCAUCAAAUUCUUCCUACUUUAUCUUGUAUGUUCUGUCUGCGGGCUGCAAUCUGGAGAAAUCAUAAUUUUUUGUAUAUAAAAAUAAUAGAACAAAAUCUUCUUGUUCAUAAAAAUCAAAUACUUCUUAUAAUUUGGCACUCCACAGCAGACACAACAAGCAUCGACUAGAAUACAGUCAUCUACAACUUGAUGAUAUAUAUCGUUAUGUGGUACAUGAACAUUAAACCUGCAUAUGCAUACACAUACCGCAUAAUCAUCUGUAAAACUCAAUUUCCAAAUAUAUAUAUACUUGUGUGCCACUAAGGAGACCUUCCUGAAUGUUUGGCUCCUGCAAGAUGUACAAGACAUAAAAAUUAAGUAUACAAAAUUCAGAUUAUUACUAGUUUUUUGGGGGGGAAACGAAGCAGAGAGGAUGGGAAUAUCCAUGCAAGGCUAAAAAAAUGGUCGACGAAUCCAACUCGAGUUUUGCAGACACAACAACAGAUGCAAUAAUGAACAGGAAGAUCAUUGUAUUCAAGUUUAUUCUAUCAACUUUGUUGAUUGAAUCAAGAAUCUGUAGUUAGGUUUUAAAAGACGUGAAUGGAAAAUGAUAUUGUUGAAAAUAUGCACAAGUUGUCCGUCCAGGGAUGGAUAAAUUGCAAUUUGUACACGUGGAUUGUUAUGAUCAAGCAAGUAAAUUAACAUAAACCAACUUGUUUAUAAAAUAUAACUUGAGAGCAUGAAUUUCCAAAGCAUAAGCUAAGUAAAUUGUUAUAAGUGAAUGAAAAUUAGACGAGAACAAAAUUUGCGCAUCAAGCUUCAUGAAACCUAUUAAUACUCAUUAUUGCUACUCACUAAUCCUAAAUUUUCUUAUAAUGGUUGAACUUCAGAUUUACCUUAUCUCAUUUGUGUCUCGUAUCUCAUGGUGCAUCUUCGGAGCUAGGUGGGCUCACAUUGUGAUGUCAAUCUUUUAGUCACGCCAGACUUGUCGCUUUUGCCAUAUGUCACUUUCUGAAUCAUCUAUCUAUCGAGCUUGAUCAGUUUUACACUAUAUAGAUUAUCACGCCUCUGUCCUAUAACCCGGGCGUGUUCAACACUCAGAAACUAAUUUUGGUCCCAGGUAAACCCUUAGUCUGGCCGACUACUGAGCGGAAGACUAAACAUACAUGCUGAAGCCUUAUAAAUUAAACAUUUAAUAUCAAUUAAAUAUAUCUCAUACAAAAGUCUGAAAUAAAUUUGAAUAUGAAUAAUGAUAAUAAUGUUUAAACUUCUAAAUACAAACUAUUGAAUUGACUCACUAACUUUGUCUAUCUAUGAAGGCUCUACUAACUAAAGAUAGGUGUCGGGACAAGACUCAUCACUACCUGACUAUUCAACUAACAAUUUCUUAAAAAAUAAAUAAACUAUACUAACUAAAUUAGACCCCCCACCCCCGGAAGUGAGGAGGUCUCACCAAAUGCUAGUUGAAAGUGAUCUUACUAAAUGUCUGCUAUCAAAAGUACCUGAAACUGCAUCAUUUAUCACAAAAUGAUGCAGCGUCAAAUUGCGUCAGUAUAUUGAAUGUAUGGUAUGUAAUACGACUGAAUGAAAUAAAUAAUUGAACUAAAAAGAAACUUAAAGUACCCUGACCGAAAGUAAAACAUGAACAUGAGGUGCAAUCAUUAAAUCUCUACAAUGAGAUAUGCAAUACUAGCAAAAUACUAAAAUAAUAUACUUUAUUUUUCAUGGGGAGUUUCUUGAAUCUAAAACCAUCACUUUGAGCCUCGUGAUAAUACAAUGUCUAGCACAUGUUGCCAGUCAUCCUAUCACUUGCCGGACUAUAGGACAACAAAGCUUAACCUAUGGAUCCACUGAAAAGCCUUCAACAAGGCUGUGAGGAGUCGCCCAAAUCAACGACAUGAUCUUAUCUACGCUGGUGACACAAUUUAUGGGUUUUGAGUUGUUAACUCUUACCCAAAUCGGUAUUCAAUACUACUCCCAAAAAAUGCAAUAAUGCUCAUACGAUAAAGAUGUCCCCCUUUAGGGGAAAACUAAAAAUCUGAUACUUUGAGUCUAUGUUCAAUAAUACUUCUUUAAAACUGAACUGAACUGAACCUAAAUGAACUUAACUAUGCUUUUACGAAAAUAUUAUUUUGAGUCACUUUUUAGCAUACUCUUUUAUCAAUGCAUUGAACUUACUUUAAAGACUGAUUGAAAAUCCUUUCUCUAAAACUGAUUAUGCUUUCUUUAAACUAGCCUUGUUUUCUUCAUGAAGAUAAUGCAUAAGAACUGAUAUAUCAAGGCUUUCAUAAAAUUCAUAAUGAAAUAUGGUUCAUGGGGUGAAAUAAGCAUGAACAAUUAUUAAGAAUCGUCCAAUAAAUUAAUAUACUAAAAUAGAUACAACAAAAUCAAUAAUUCAUGCUAAGAAAGUAAGUACAACCCUCGAAUGUAGUAAUCCUUGGGUUUGAAACCCUAGUUGAACCUUGCUAUCUGAAAUUAAGAUGUAGGGAGUAAGGAAGAACUCAUUAACUCAAUAUGAUAGCUUAACGUACCUUGAUUCACUCUAAUUGAAAUUCUAAGUUUGAAGAGGAACCCUAAAAGUCUCUUCUUGAACUUUAGGAUGAGUUCUUGUUUGCGCUAGAUAUGAGAGAAAGAUUUGAUGUUAGAAUCUUAUUAAGAAUUCGUGAUUAGAGAUUGAUUAUUUUUAGAACUAAUUUAGAUACAUGAGAGUAACAUACCCCAGUAUUAAAGAUGCAGGAGAAGAGAGAAUUUGAGAGAAAAUAAGCCCUAGGUCGUACAAGAUGGAUUUUAUAAUGACCCCACCGUCUUAACUUAAUAAAUAGAGAAUUUUAAAAUCUAGACUCUCAAAAAUUUGCUUGGCGUGGUGCGCCCAUGCUAUAGGCUGCUGGAAAAAUAUCCUAGUGCGGUGCACCCACACUACCAGGAAUGCGGAGCACACAGUCAAUUUGACAUCUCUCCAGUAAAAUGCAGAUAACUUUUUACUCAAGAGUCGGGUUGAUGAGCAGUCAGUGACGUUGGAAGGAACAACUGUAGACCUUUAAUUCAAUAGGUCAGGGUCAUCUAAAUUUUACUAUGUUGAGAGGCAUGGUCAUUUGAAGUUGACCCUUGUAUGAACUCAUGUGAAAAUAUAGCUGAUAGAAAUGCUUUGAACUUGGUUUGGUGUUUAAGGUUCCUUACGACCCUAAACCAUAUAUGAUAUACUUACUACUCUUUGUAAAGGACCUUAACAUAUAUGCAAAACUUAGUACUAUUCAUCGGGUUCGGACCUAUACACAUACAGAGGAUGAUUUGAAUCUUUGGUUAGAAGUUGUUGGACGUUACAUAGAUUGUCCCACAUUUUUUUGGGUACUCAAAGAAUUGUGACAGAAAAUGGAAAACACUUCAAUUCUUGGCCGAAAGAAAAUGAAAAGUCCUCUGACAUUUCUUGAUCUGACACGUGUCCCUCCACUUUUAAUGCUCCGAGUACGUGUCUUCUCGUGAUUGGUUAAAAACCAUGACAGACUUUCAAGGCAAUGCUAACAUUUCUUUUCCAAAAUCUAUAUAUGUUCUUCCAUUUUUAAUUUACUUCCUUCACACCUUCUUCUAAGAACUUUCUUGUGAUUCUUCCGAGUUUCUAAUUUUACUGCAGUUUCAUCAAAGAUUACCACCUUUUUUACUAUCCUUUAACUUAAUUUAUCUAGAAUCCAUGACAUAAUUACAGCUAAAUAGGGGAGGGUGGGGGGACAAAGUCGACAAUAGAAAUAUUUAUUCAUGUGGAUUGUUACUUGAUAUUUUUUUUACAAGUGAUUAGAUUUAAUUUUUUAUCCUAAAAUAUUAACCCCCUUAAGUUUUAAACUAAAAAUUAUUUUAGUUCUGCAUAAAUGGAAAUAUUUAUUCAUGUGGACUGUUACUUGAUAUCUUUUUUUGAAUAAAAAUAGAGAGUGCACGCUACAUACAAUCAACUAUUAAAUGAAUGUGUGUUUUAAUACAUAUAUGGUGUUAGUAUAGGUAGAAAAAUAGAAUUACUAAUAAUGGAAGUGUGACUUUGACCAUUUAACUUUAUUUUUUUAAAAUGUCCACUUUUACUUGUCGAGUUCAAAAAUCAAGAAAUAAUUUAUCAAUUAGUUCUUGAUAAAUUGGACCUUCACCUUCAAGUUGAACAAAAGUUCAAGUAAUCAUCCCAACUUAACUAUUAAGAUUUAUUCCCUCUGGUCCAUAUUAAGUGAACUGUUAAGUUUUUUAUAUAGUUCAAAAUAAGUGAAUUUUCAAAGUUCAAGAUAAUUGUUAAUUGGAUUUUUUUCUUCAUAUUUAUUCUUUCUUUUAAUGAUGUUGUUAACUACUUUACAUUUUUUAGGAGAAUAGUUUAGGAAAAAUAAUAAUUAAAGAUAGCCUUUAAUAUUUGUCCUUAAUAUUUUUCUUUAAGAGGAGUGUUAUAUCCCAACAAUUCACUUAAUAAAGACUAGAGGAAGUACCAUUCAUUUCCCCAACAUAUUUGUCAAAAUAUUGAAUUAAUUAUAUUCAAACAAUGAUAUAGUAAAAUUACUCUUUUAUUUAUUGCUCGUUAAGGAAUGUGACAGGUGUGUACCAACUCAGAGAUGAAGAGUUAAAGCUCUUAAAUACUAAUUUUUUUUACUUAUAACAGCCUUUGCAUUUCAUAAGCUUUUAGGGUUUUGAUUUCUCCUUUUCCUUUCUUUUGAAUUUUUAAUUUUUCGUCUUCGUCUAGGAUUAACAGGAGACCGAGUUUAUUAAGUACUUAAUCUCCUCAGGUAUAUACCCAAAUUCAAUAAGGGCUUCCCAUGUUAAUUGAUAUACAUGUCCUCACGAUAUAUGAUGAUGAUUUAUCCCAUAUUUUUUUCUUAAAGUAGGAAGAUAUAUUCAUUUGUGUCAAAAGUAUUUUUAUUGUGUUUUUUUACUCUAUGUUAAUUUCAUGUUCUGCUUGAUUGUAUCGAUGAUAUGAGAGUCAUAUCCAUCACCCUUUGUGUCCACCGUGCCACGAAGGCACUGACGACCAAACUUGAAAAGGGCUACCUUAGAAAAAGCUGCCUACUUGUGGUAGAGUGAAAGAUACCUAGUAUGCAGUCGUCGAGGCUCUCCCACAUUAAUAUCUAGAUUUUACGGUGUGGAAGAGUCGAUACUUAGAGUCCCCAAAAUUUGUAUAAGAAAUUUAUUGUCGAUAUAUAUGAUCUUGGGAAAUGGAUAACUUUUGAGUCGAGUUAGGCGCAAAUGUUCAUUAAUAUUUUUGUAUGAUAAAAUGUAACAUGGAAGCAGAAUGUAUUAGUUGCUAUUUAUAAAUAGUUAAUCUAGAGUUGGGAGAUGGUUUAAACAAGACUCUCGGUGCAAUUAUAGUAGUGGCCGAAGGAGAUUCAAAAAAUAAUUUUUUGAGAUAAAUACUAGAAUGUAUACCUAAGAUUUAAAUAUAUGAUCUAAAACAAAAUACUAGAAUGUAUACCUAAGAUUUAAAUAUAUGAUUUAAAACAGAUUUUGAACCCCAUUUGCCACUACACUAGAAUGUAUUAUUAUUUUUUUGAGAAAAUAUUUUGACAAAAGGGAUAAUACUAGUGUAGUGGCAAAUGGGGUUCAAAAUCUGUUUUAGAUCAUAUAUUUAAAUCUUAGGUAUNNNNNNNNNNNNNNNNNNNNNNNNNNNNNNNNNNNNNNNNNNNNNNNNNNNNNNNNNNNNNNNNNNNNNNNNNNNNNNNNNNNNNNNNNNNNNNNNNNNNNNNNNNNNNNNNNNNNNNNNNNNNNNNNNNNNNNNNNNNNNNNNNNNNNNNNNNNNNNNNNNNNNNNNNNNNNNNNNNNNNNNNNNNNNNNNNNNNNNNNNNNNNNNNNNNNNNNNNNNNNNNNNNNNNNNNNNNNNNNNNNNNNNNNNNNNNNNNNNNNNNNNNNNNNNNNNNNNNNNNNNNNNNNNNNNNNNNNNACUCUAAGUAUCGACUCUUCCACACCGCAAAAUCUAGAUAUUAAUGUGGGAGAGCCUCGACGGCUCCACACUAGGUAUCUUUCACUCUACCAUAUAUAGGCAGCUUUUUCUGAGGUAGCCCUUUUCAAGUUUGGUCAUCAGAGCCUUCGUGGCACGGUGGACACGAAGGGUGAUGGAUAUGACUCUUAUAUCAUCGAUACAAUCAAGGAGAACAUGGAAUUAACAUAGAGUAAAUAAACACAAUAAAAAUACUUUUGACACAAAUGAAUAUAUCUUCCUACUUUAAGAAAAAAAUAUGGGAUAAAUCAUCAUCAUAUAUCAUGAGGGCAUGUAAAAUUAACAUGGGAAGCGCUUAUUGAAUUUGGGUAUAUACCUGAGGAGAUUAAGUACUUCAUAAACUCGGUCUCCUGUUAAUCCUAGACGAAGACGAAAAAUUAAAAAUUCAAAAGAAAAGGAAAAGGAGAAAUCAAAACCCUAAAAGCUUAUGAAAUGCAAAGGCUGUUAUAAGUAAAAAAAAUUAGUAUUUAAGAGCUUUAACUCUUCAUCUCUGAGUUGGUACACACCUGUCACAUUCCUUAACGAGCAAUAAAUAAAAGAGUAAUUUUACUAUAUCAUUGUUUGAAUAUAAUUAAUUCAAUAUUUUGACAAAUAUGUUGGGGAAAUGAAUGGUACUUCCUCUAGUCUUUAUUAAGUGAAUUGUUGGGAUAUAACACUCCUCUUAAAGAAAAAUAUUAAGGACAAAUAUUAAAGGCUAUUUUUAAUUAUUAUUAUUCCUAAACUAUUCUCCUAAAAAAUGUAAAGUAAUUAACAACAUUAUUAAAAGAAAGGAUAAAUAUGAAGAAAAAAAAUCCAAUUAAAAUUAUCUUGAACUUUGAAAAAUUCACUUAUUUUGAGCUAUAUAAAAAACUUAUGACAGUUCACUUAAUAUAGACUUGAGGGAAUAAAUCCUAAUAGUUAAGUUGGGCUGAUUACAUGAACUUUUGUUCAUCUUGUUGGUGAAGGUCCUAUUUAUAAAGAACAAAUUGAUAAAUUAUUUCUUGAUUUUUAAACUCGACAAGUAAAAGUGGACAUUUUAAAAAUUAAAGUUAAAUGGUCAAAGUCACACUUCCAUUAUCAGUAAUUCUUUUAUUUCUACCUAAACUAUCACCAUAUAUGUAUUAAAACACACAUUCAUUUAGGGUGUGUUUGGUAUGUUUUCCAAUUUUCUCAUGUUUGGUUGAGUUAAAUAUUUUGGAAAAUGUUUUCCAAAUCAACUCAUUUUCCUCAAAUUUAAAGAAAAUGACUUCCCUUCAAAACUUAAGGAAAAUAUUUUCCAAAACUCUCUUCCAACUUCAAAUUACAAUUAUUAUUUUUUGUUGAAAAAUCAAUUUAUUUUGUCCCUACCCUCAAACCAGCCCCCUUGCCCCUCCAUAAAAAAAUUUAAAGCUUAUUUUUUAAAAAUGUUUUUAACUUCAAUUUUUUCACCCCACNNNNNNNNNNNNNNNNNNNNNNNNNNNNNNNNNNNNNNNNNNNNNNNNNNNNNNNNNNNNNNNNNNNNNNNNNNNNNNNNNNNNNNNNNNNNNNNNNNNNNNNNNNNNNNNNNNNNNNNNNNNNNNNNNNNNNNNNNNNNNNNNNNNNNNNNNNNNNNNNNNNNNNNNNNNNNNNNNNNNNNNNNNNNNNNNNNNNNNNNNNNNNNNNNNNNNNNNNNNNNNNNNNNNNNNNNNNNNNNNNNNNNNNNNNNNNNNNNNNNNNNNNNNNNNNNNNNNNNNNNNNNNNNNNNNNNNNNNNNNNNNNNNNNNNNNNNNNNNNNNNNNNNNNNNNNNNNNNNNNNNNNNNNNNNNNNNNNNNNNNNNNNNNNNNNNNNNNNNNNNNNNNNNNNNNNNNNNNNNNNNNNNNNNNNNNNNNNNNNNNNNNNNNNNNNNNNUUAAAAAAUUCAGCUUCAAAAUUUCAUUUUUUCACCCCUACCCUCGACCCCCUACCAGCCUCCAAAAAAAUUAGGUUUAUUUUUAAAAAAUAUUUUCAACUUCAAUUUUUGAUUUUUUCACCCUUACCCUCGAUCUCCCCCCCCNNNCCCCCACCCCCCCCCCCCCCCUCGCCAACCCCCAUACCAGUUGUUUCCAAGUUUGUUAACAAGGUCUUGGUGCCCAGAAGUGAGAAGAGGAAUGUGGCUUCUGUAGCUGAUCUAUUUCUAAUGGAGCAAUUGGAUGAACUAGAAGUUGUAAGUCUUCCUAGCAUUAUGCUUGAACACAUACAUAGAGUUAUGACUUGGAAAAUUUCCAAACAUGACAUACCCUAUGGGUAUCUUUUGAAUCAUGUGUUUGAACACUUCGGAGUGCCCCUUGGCAGGGGAGUUUCUGGCAUUGUGAAACAAAUGUUCUCUCCGGCCUCACUUUUGGUGUGCGGGUGUGCUGAGGGAAAAGUCAAGGCUAAGUCUCAUGUGCCUGACCUUCUUGAGCAACAGGAAUCCCUCAAGCGUGAGCUAAAUGACUUCACAGUAACCUUGAGUGCUAAGGAGAUAGAAAUUGCACAACUUAAGGCACAACUGCAGCAGACUAUUUCACAGGGACCUGGUACCAGUACUGCGGAUAAAGAGGACGUAGAAUAGUUAAGAGAUGAGAAUGCAUAGCUGCUAAAGACAAAUGCCUCACUCAGUGAGGAAGUUCAGGCUCUUAAGAAGCAAAUCAUUCAGGCUCACGUCGAUGCUAAUAAUCACAUGACCCUAUUGUUACAAUCCUUCCCUCCCCAUCCCACUUCUUCCUAAAUGAGUCUGUUGUCCAAAUUUCGUAUGUAUUUCAGUGUCUAAGUUGUUUCCCCUGUUUUUAUCUUGUGGCAAAGUGUACUGUCUUUGGCCGAACUUUGUGGUCAGCAUAAGUGAUCUAACGAUAUCAUCUUUUUUUGCCCUGCUUAGUAUGCUUUUAUCUUCUCUAUUUUUGCUUACUUGCGCAUAUAAUGUGUGGCCCAUGGCCCUGACUUCCUAAUGUUUUGCAUGCAGCUCGUAUAAGUUUAUUGUCACUCUUUUUCAAUGAUGUCAAAAGGGGGAGUUGAUAAGUAAACUGUGUGUGAAAUUAAUGUAUAGUGACAUGGGGAAUAUUGAAAGGAGGAACUGAUACUUUGAAUGAAUGUUAACUCAUAUGAGGCAGUUCGUUUGGCAUCAUCAAAAAGAGGGAAAAUGAUAAGUCUUACUCUUUCCAGAUGUUUUGAUGAUCCUCACAAAUGUAGGGACCCGGUCCUCUGCAGAGUGUUCCGUCCGGGGCAAUGUGUUAUAAAACUUGAAAGUUGUCUUGUCAGAGGUUGGUGAGGUCGUCAGCGUACUGAACCAAUAAGACUGGACGAGGUUGUUUGUCCAAUGAUUAAUAAAUCUUUAUGGUUGAUAUAUUCAACAUGACAAACAACAUAUCAACUCAUUCAUUCAAAGAGAGAAAAUUCAAGCUUUAACAAAACAACAAAGGACCUUAUAGACUGAAGAUUUUCUUCAAAGAGAGAAAAUUCAAGCCUUAACAAAACAACAAGGGACCUCAUAGACUGAAGAUUUGCUUCUUGAGCCUGUUGUUAUUUUGAUUGCUUGUAUUUGUGCUUAACUUGUAGGAUUCAUUUCACUUCUAUUAGAAACGUUUCAAAACCUUGUGUGAAUCAUUGUAAGAACAUAGUUGAGGGAAACUUUGUGUCUUACGAUCUAAAGUUUAUAUUAAUCAGUGAGGGUUAGUAUAGUUGGCAAUGCAGGAAUUGCUUAGGUUCGUUAAGUAAUAGGUUGUAUUACUUAGUAUUGAUAUUAGGAGGUUAAUCUCAUUGUUUGGUUGUAAACUAUUUUUCGCUUUUGUUUGAGAAGAUCAGUGAAAACAGUUUGAAAAUCCUGUGAGACAUGUCGUGGUUUUACUCCCUAGAGCAAAGAGGUUUCUACGUAAAGUAUUGUGUGUUUUGCAUUUACUUUUGUGCAUCAUAACUAUCUUAAGGACCUGGUCCCAUCGUAGUUAGAGGACGCAUACAUUGUAACAAAUGGUUUCAGAGCUGCGACUUAUGUUUCUGGUUAACACCAAGAAAAAAAAGAUCCAGAAGGAAUGGCUUCUCCACCAAGUCUAAAGGAACGACAGUCUACCACCCGUCCACCCCCGCUUCAAUGGAUAAUUCUAUGGAUGGUGGAAGACAGGAAUGCAUGAUUAUAUCAAUGCAGAAGACACUAAUCUGUGGGACGUGAUUCUUGAUGGACCAUACAUUCCCACCAAGGACGUAAAAGAAGGAGAACUUACGAAGGUGAUUCCAAAAACCAAAAGAGAAUAUGAUGAGGCUGACUGGAAGAAAAUAGAGAAGAACUAUAAAGCCAAGAAGUUGCUAGUUUGUGGGAUUUGUCCAAAUGAAUACAACACGAUCUCUGCUUGCGAGGCUGCAAAAGAAAUUUGGGACUGUUUAAAAACAGCCCACGAAGGAACCACCCAAGUCAAGGAGUCUAAAGUAGACAUGUUAACAACCCAGUACGAGAACUUCAGCAUGAAGGAAGGUGAAACCAUUCAUGAGAUGCAUACAAGGUUCACUUCCAUCACAAAUGAACUAAGAUGCCUUGGUGAACCCAUUCACCCAAGCAAACAAGUUUGAAAGGUUCUCAGAGUUCUUCCCAAGUCUUGGUAAAGCAAAGUGAAUGAAAUCACUGAGGCUAGGGACCUAAAAGUCCUUACCAUGGAUGAACUGAUCGGAAACUUGUAGACCUACGAGCUGAACAGGCAGCAGGGUCCAUCGGUGAAGGAGGGAAACAGGGAGAAAUAUGUUGCAUUAAAACGGCUCAAGGUGAGAUUCUGUUUGUUUUUGGAGCAGCUGGGAUGAUACAGAAUCAAGAGGAGAUUCACCACCGAUUAUCAAAAAGAUAUACUAUCUAAAGCAUGAUUUGAUUAGAUAUGCAGAAGUUACUAACUUUGGCACCUGUCUCUCGAAGGAAAUCUACAAUGAGAGCCUUGUCUAUCCCCUUUCACAAAACAAGCAAGGAUUAAUCAACAAUCAAGGUUGCUUGAUUAAGGGACAUGUUCUCUAUUCUUUUCUUUUUGGCAUAUUCUAUGAAGCAACUUUUAGCAAAAAUAUUUUUAAGGAAAUAUGUCAUACCUCUAGUGUGAGGGACAUGAAAAUCAUACCAGGUGAACACACCAAUAAAGACUAGCCCUUGCUGGGAUUAUUGUUUGGCAUAUACUGUCUUCAUUGUUGGAAUAAUAAAAUAAGAGUCAUUGUAUCUAACUAUAGUGGUUUUCCUUAUUGCCAAUUGUUUGGUAUUUUUCUCGUCACUAUCCUUUCACUAUUUUAGUUAUUUAGCCUGUCAAAUGCUGAAAGUUCUUUCAGUUUGGCAGUAACAUUGACAUCUAUGUAAUUGGUUGAAGGAAAAAGCAAAUAAGAACAUAUUUAGAUGCUAUGAAAUACGAUCGUGUGAACAAAGUGAGCUAAACAGGGGAUUCUUGGAGAAAUAGCUUUGGUAUGACACUUUGUUAAUAAGAUCCUCUCUACUCUAGAGUGCAUGAAAGUGAAUUUUUUUCAUUUGUUAUUUCAAAAAAAAAAGUUCAUACUAGAAUUUGUUGUUAUCGUGUUCCUUAAUAGAGUGGAAAAAUAUUAUCUAAGUUGAAAUUCUUAAAGAAUUCUAUUACAUUCUGGUUGAUCUUCAAAAUUUAUGUAUCACCGAGUGAGAUAAAAAGCCAUGUCGUAUGUCAUUUUGUCACGACCCAAGCCUAGGGCCUAGACGUGACCGGCGAAUGGGGAACCCGAAGGAACCCCAAACAAGCCUCAUAGCAUAUCAUUACACAUCCUUGGUCGCGGAAGCAAUUAAAAUGACCAUAAGCGAUAAGCAUAAUCAAGGGUAAGUCGGGACUAAGGGAGCAAGAGAAAAAAGAGAAUGAUACAUAAAUACCAUAGAUGAGUCAAGCUCAAGCAUAAUACACAACUUGUCCAACACCACCUCUAAACAUGGUUACUUAGCAGGGGCCAAGACAAACUACCGGGCUCACCCUCAUAGUCAACACAUAACUAAAAAAAAAAGUCUUAUACAUAGCAAGAGAUCCUAAGCAACAUCCCCGAAAUGGAGGACUCACCAAUAACCUCGAUAGAAAAUCGUACUAGCCACGCGGAGGAGGAUGGUCAAGCGGUGCUCCGGUCCCUACAUGGUGACAUCAUGUAGGCAUAGAGUAUGCGUUAGUACAUUUGAAUGUACUAAGUAUAUGGGAUGCAAUGCAAUGCAACAAGGGAUGGACAUCAUAGGCAAAAUGCAUAAUCAUACCCGAUAGAUAGCACAUUAAUGAAAUGAUAUAUAUAAUGACGCUUACAUAAAAAUCAUAUUUAGUGGGACGUAGUACAUGUGUGGUGAGUGACAAUCAAUAUAAUACUUUCCAAGGCCUACCACCCCCUUGGAGAGGCGAAAGAGGUACAAACCCCUCAAUGUGGUUACCCGGGCCUACCACCCCCCGAGCUAGGGACCAAGGUACAAACCCCUCGAUAUGGUUAUACGGGCCUACUACCCCCCGUACUAGGCAACCAAGGUACCAACCCCUCGAUACGGUUAUACGGGCCUACUACCCCCCGUACUAGGCAACCAAGGUACCAACCCCUCGAUACGGUUAUACGGGCCUACUACCCCCCGUACUAGGCAACCAAGGUACCAACCCCUCGAUACGGUUAUACGGGCCUACUACCCCCCGUACUAGGCAACCAAGGUACCAACCCCUCGAUACGGUUAUACGGGCCUACUACCCCCCGUACUAGGCAACCAAGGUACCAACCCCUCGAUACGGUUAUACGGGCCUACUACCCCCCGUACUAGGCAACCAAGGUACCAACCCCUCGAUACGGUUAUACGGGCCUACUACCCCCCGUACUAGGCUUGGUCGACUCACAACACAUAUAUAGAGAAAAUCAUAUAUAUGUGUCCAUUUCAUCAUCAUUUCAAUAAUUAUAUAACCAUCCGACUCAUAGGACGUAUAUUGGACCUUCCAUUUCCUAAGAAUUCUAUAAAUGGGCAUUUUAUCAAACACAUGGUGGGCUGCUGUUUAGGUAAAUAAAAUCAUGUAUUUCAAGAGUACUAAGUCCAACCAAAUUCCAAAAUCCAUAUAAAUCAGCCCACCAACAACAUACAUAUAUAUAUAUCAACCUUCAUAAUUUGAUCGUGGAAGCAUGAAAACCAUAAACAUCACAUAAUAAUUCCAUUUCAUGAUAAUAUGCAAAAUAGACCAUAUUAGCAUGUGUAGUAGUAAUUUCAUACUUCAAGAGUUCAUAAAUAACCAUAAGGACCCAUAAACUUGAAGUAGAAAUAGAGGAUAAAUGGUUGGACUUGUGGAAAGGAAAGUUUCCUCAAUCAAACCUACAUACCUCAACUUUGGAGAAUCCUUGAUGGAGAUUGAAAUGGAGAAUUGAAGCUUGAGAUUGAGUCUUGAAUCCGGAAUUAGAGCUUGAGAUGCUUGAAUUUGAUUGAGGAUCUUGGUGGAGUUUUGGAGAGGGCUUACAGAGUGUUUUUGAAGUUAAAAAUAACUAAGUAUGGGACAUAUCCCCUUUUUAUAAAAAAACGUCUCCAACACUUAGCCUCACAAAAAAAAAUAGCUCACUGGAAAUUGCAAAUCUGCACNNNNNNNNNNNNNNNNNNNNNNNNNNNNNNNNNNNNNNNNNNNNNNNNNNNNNNNNNNNNNNNNNNNNNNNNNNNNNNNNNNNNNNNNNNNNNNNNNNNNCAUACCACCAACACCUUGGGCCCUUGGAAUGUCAUUGACAAACCCCUUAUGGGGCGCAUGAGAAGACCCUUGCCCUUGAUGAAACCGGCCUCCCCUUCGACUUUGGAACUUUCCCUCAAAACGGGCCCUCUUGGCCUCAUGACCCCUUCUCUUCCUCAACNNNNNNNNNNNNNNNNNNNNNNNNNNNNNNNNNNNNNNNNNNNNNNNNNNNNNNNNNNNNNNNNNNNNNNNNNNNNNNNNNNNNNNNNNNNNNNNNNNNNNNNNNNNNNNNNNNNNNNNNNNNNNNNNNNNNNNNNNNNNNNNNNNNNNNNNNNNNNNNNNNNNNNNNNNNNNNNNNNNNNNNNNNNNNNNNNNNNNNNNNNNNNNNNNNNNNNNNNNNNNNNNNNNNNNNNNNNNNNNNNNNNNNNNNNNNNNNNNNNNNNNNNNNNNNNNNNNNNNNNNNNNNNNNNNNNNNNNNNNNNNNNNNNNNNNNNNNNNNNNNNNNNNNNNNNNNNNNNNNNNNNNNNNNNNNNNNNNNNNNNNNNNNNNNNNNNNNNNNNNNNNNNNNNNNNNNNNNNNNNNNNNNNNNNNNNNNNNNNNNNNNNNNNNNNNNNNNNNNNNNNNNNNNNNNNNNNNNNNNNNNNNNNNNNNNNNNNNNNNNNNNNNNNNNNNNNNNNNNNNNNNNNNNNNNNNNNNNNNNNNNNNNNNNNNNNNNNNNNNNNNNNNNNNNNNNNNNNNNNNNNNNNNNNNNNNNNNNNNNNNNNNNNNNNNNNNNNNNNNNNNNNNNNNNNNNNNNNNNNNNNNNNNNNNNNNNNNNNNNNNNNNNNNNNNNNNNNNNNNNNNNNNNNNNNNNNNNNNNNNNNNNNNNNNNNNNNNNNNNNNNNNNNNNNNNNNNNNNNNNNNNNNNNNNNNNNNNNNNNNNNNNNNNNNNNNNNNNNNNNNNNNNNNNNNNNNNNNNNNNNNNNNNNNNNNNNNNNNNNNNNNNNNNNNNNNNNNNNNNNNNNNNNNNNNNNNNNNNNNNNNNNNNNNNNNNNNNNNNNNNNNNNNNNNNNNNNNNNNNNNNNNNNNNNNNNNNNNNNNNNNNNNNNNNNNNNNNNNNNNNNNNNNNNNNNNNNNNNNNNNNNNNNNNNNNNNNNNNNNNNNNNNNNNNNNNNNNNNNNNNNNNNNNNNNNNNNNNNNNNNNNNNNNNNNNNNNNNNNNNNNNNNNNNNNNNNNNNNNNNNNNNNNNNNNNNNNNNNNNNNNNNNNNNNNNNNNNNNNNNNNNNNNNNNNNNNNNNNNNNNNNNNNNNNNNNNNNNNNNNNNNNNNNNNNNNNNNNNNNNNNNNNNNNNNNNNNNACAAAAAAAAAGGAAUGAUACAUAAAUACCAUAGAUGAGUCAAGCUCAAGCAUAAUACACAACUUGUCCAACACCACCUCUAAACAUGAGUACUUAGCGGGGGCCAAGACAAACUACCGGGCUCACCCUCAUAGUCAAAACAUAACUAAAAGGAAAAGUCUUAUACAUAGCAAAAGAUCAUAAGCAACGUCCCCGGAAUGGAGGACUUACCAAUAACCUCGAUAGAAAAAUCGUACUAGCCACGCGAAGGGGGAUGGUCAAGCGGUGCUCCGGUCCCUACAUGGUGACAUCAUGUAGGCAUAAAGUAUGCAUUAGUACGUUUGAAUGUACUAAGUAUAUGGGAUGCAAUGCAAUGUAACAACAGAUGGACAUUAUAGGCAAAAUGCAUAAUCAUACCCGAUAGAUAGCAUAUUAAUGAGAUGAUAUGUAUAAUGAUGCUUACAUAAAAAAAAUUCAUAGUUAGUGGGGCGUAGUACAUGUGUGGCGAGUGACCAUCAAUAUAGUAUUUCCAAGGCCUACCACCCCCUUGGAGAGGCGAAAGAGGUACAAACCCCUCAAUGUGGUUACCCGGGCCUACCACCCCCCGAGCUAGGGACCAAGGUACAAACCCCUCGAUAUGGUUAUACGGGCCUACUACCCCCCGUACUAGGCAAUCAAGGUACCAACCCCUCAUACUAGGCUUGGUCGACUCACAACACUUAUAUAGAGAAAAUCAUAUACAUGUGUCCAUUUCAUCAUCAUUUCAGUAAUUAUAUAGCCAUCCGACUCAUAGGACGUACAUUGGACCUUCCAUUUCCUAAGAAUUCUAUAAAUGGGCAUUUUAUCAAACACAUGGUGGGCAGCUGUUUAUGUAAAUGAAAUCAUGUACUUCAAGAGUACUAAGUCCAACCAAUUCCGAAAUACAUAUAAAUCAGCCCACCAACAACAUACAUAUAUAUAUCAACCUUCAUAAUUUGAUCAUGGAAGCAUGAAAACCAUAAACAUCACAUAAUAAUUCCAUUUCAUGAAAAAUGACUAAGUAUGGGACAUAUCCCCUUUUUAUAAAAAAACGUCCACAACACUUAGCCUCGAAAAAAAAAAAUAGCUCACUAGGUGAACAGUAAUGAACAGUAAAAUUAGCUACUGGAAAUUGUCUUUUUCUGCCGGACAGAUUUUACGAAAAUGGGCAUAAUUUCUUCGUCCGAACUCCGAAUGAGGUGAAACGAAGUGCGUUAGGUAGCUAACUCAAAGGGCUUUCCAUGGAUAUAUUAUUGGCCACCCAAUUAAUUUGUGUUCUAGGAGAUAUGACCCUCCCAAGUAGACCCUCGAAAAAGGCUUCACUUGGAAAUUUUGGAUUUUGAUACGGUUGCUCUAAAAUUCGGGUUAGACCCAUUCCCCACUCAAUUUGACCCCAUGAAUAAGAAUAUGAAGUCGAAUUUCCGAAAUCAUGCACAGAUUUUGAGAUACAUGGAAAUUACAAUUAUAGGUAUUUCCGAAGCACAUUUUCGGGCAUUUUUGGGGUCGUUUCACGUUUCAAAUGAAGCUCUAUUUGACACGAUGAUCAAGUCAAUGUAGCAAGGCAAAUAAGAUAAAUAAAAUCUGCUAAUCCAUGCAAAAACAAUGUCAUCAAUCUUACUCUUCAUAAAAAAAAAUGUCAUUAGUUUGACAAAUAACGUGUAGUAUUUACUAAUACUUUUGUUUUAGACUAGUUUAUUUUUUAUUGAUAUUUAAACAAUAACAACAUCACUCAUAAUUGAAGUAUUUGUAAUCUUCAAGAACAAUAAUUUCUCAGGGUAAAUGGGAAAGAUUAUUAAUUUUUGCCUUGAACUUCUAAAACUAUUCAUUUUACUUGUCAUGUUUUUUUUGUGUCCCUUAAAAAAACAUUAACUAAAAAGGUAACUUGACUAAAAUAUCCUUAUUUUGAUCUCAUUUAAUAUUACUACUAUUUUUCUCACCACGUUAAUCUCUCUCCACAAUACUUUAAGUGUGUUUACUAAAAUAGUUGAUUGUGAAAAAUACACUUAAAAUAUUCCAAUUUUUUUAGUUUCCAUAUGAGUAAUUAGUUCUAGUGGUAAACUAUGAAAAAAAUAAUCAUCUUUUCUUGAUAAGUUAAAAGUAACAAUCAAAACUGAAAAUCUAUUUUACAAAUAGUAGACAAGUAAAAGUGAACGAAGAGAGAAUUUUUUUUAAAAUCGCGAGAGAUAAUUUAAGAUUAAGUGAGUAUUUUUGGAGGAUUAAAUCCGAAAUAAUCCACAGUAGAUUUAGUACAAUUUGGGGGAAAUUCAUUUAACGGGUAAAAACGUGUAGGAAACCUAAGAAUCUCCCACAAUUACAAAGCAACACGAUCAAACCUUCUUCUCCAAAAGCUAAAAAAAUUCUGCAACCAAAACGGAGUCGGAGGGAAAUGAAAACACCCAUCAAUCCCAAAACGUAGCAAACCCAUUAACCACCAUUAUCAUGUUACAUGUCAAAUAUAGGUGAGACUUUGCUUGUUUAUGGAGCACCUAAAGUGAUACAGAAUCAAGAGGAUACACCAUCUGUUAUCAAAAAGAUAUGCGAUGAUCUGAUUAGAGAUGUAGAGGUUACUAACUUUGGUGCCCGUUUGUCAAAUGAAAUCAACAUUGAAACCCUUGUCAGUCUGCUUUCACAAAACCAACAAGAAUUAAGCAACAAUGAAGGAUGCAGAUGCUCAGAUGAAUUACAAUUGUGUAACUAAUAAUUUGUAAGUUUCCACUUAAUACAUGUAUCGCAAGUGCAGUUCAAUUCUUCUUCUAUUGUCAAAUUUGCAUUGCAUGUUUAAGGUUCUUUUGGAGACAUCCUCUACCUUCUAAAAGGUAGGGGUAAAGUCUGCAUACAUAAUUCUCUCCACUUGUGAGAAUACACUAUGUUUGUUGUUCCUACAUUGCAUGUUUAAGGUACAUUGUCACACAAGGUCUGCUUGAGAUCUUCUCUAGUCCUUUUUCUUUUUGCAUAUUCUAUGAAACAACUUUUCUUAGAACAUUUAUUUGGUUGUAGAAUUUGGUGUCUUCCAAACUCAAAAAAAUUAAAUAAAGUUGGAAAUUGAUUCUCUUUUCAAGCUGCAUUUUAAGGGAACGAGACAUAUCUUUAGUGUGAGUGACAUGAAAAUCAUGUCGGGUGAAUGCUCCAAUAAAACUACGCAUAGCCAUUGCCGGGAUUAUUGUUUGAUGUAGGAUCUUCAUUACUAGUGCUCUUUAAAAUACUGUUACUAUGGUAAAGGAAUCAUGGAAUAAGAGUCUUUGUCUAGUAUAGUAUGUAACUUCAGUUGUUUUCUUUGUUGCUAAUAUCUUACUAUAUUUUCUUAAUUUUAUUUAUUUGGUCUGUCAAAUGCCAAGAGUUCUUUCAGUUUAGCAGUAACUCGAAUCUGCAAACUUGGUUUGAUGGAAAAAGCAAUUGAGAAAAUAUUUGGAUGCUAAGAAUUAUGGUCAUGAGACUAGUGUGGGAGGUUACGUACCAGUAUUUGAAUGACAGUGAAAAUGUUUAUCUCUGUUAUUUCUAACAAAAAGGUUCCUACUAUAAUUUGUUCUUAUCUUGUUCCUUAGUAGAGUGGUAAAUUGUAUGUAUCACCAACUGAAAUGAAAAGCCUCGUCUAAUGUCGUUUCAAAUGAAACUUUUAUUUGUUAUUUGCAGCCUACUCGUAGUUUUUUUUACAUCAUAUGACAUGUAUUCCUUCACCCUAUACCCUACAGAGUUUUCAUACCAUUCUAUCUAUGGUCCAUUUGGACACAACGUAACCAGUUCAUUUUUUAACAAAAACCAUUGUUCAUUAAUUACUCUGAUAUUAAAUAUCUAGCAUGUCCAACCAAGUUAGGACAAUCUAAAAUUCCCAUCUGUGACAUAGGAACCCCCCAGGAAACUAUUUACAUGGUCAAUACAGAUGCAAGGGUGGACAAUAACAUGAAUUUUAUAGGAACGGGAGUAUUAAGGAUAGGAGCGGACAAUGGAAUUUAGGAUUUACUUCUUCGAUUUCAAUUACAAAAAUGUUUUCUAAGCUGAAUUACUCACUUUCUUACAUGGAUUGACUAUAACUUUUAUUCAUAAUUUACAGCCCCUGCAAGUUAAUAUUGAUGCCCAGGAAGUAGUUGUCACUUUAUAACACUAACUUGUACAACUCUUCAAUUUUGGAUGAUUGCAGGUGCCUCUUCCAGAGUGUGAGUAUUCCAAAGGUGAUCCUUAUCUACGGAGAAUAGAACAAACUAGUUGAUAGCUUAGCAUCAAUGGCCACCACCAUGUAGGAAUCUCCUUUCUAAAGCCUUUUUUCUGGACACUCGUGCAUCUUUGGAAGAUAUUUUGAGCGGGGACAAAAAUGAAGUUAUGUCUGUUAGGAGGGUUAAUGCAUUGACAUUCAACCCUACUUAAUUCUAUGUGUAAUAUUAGCAUAAAUGGUGGCACAACCACAAAUGGGUAACUCAUUACCCAUUUUUGGUAGUAUAAUAUGUUGGAUGUGGAUUUGUACGGUUACUGCUCAUAGAUAUUAUGUUCUAUAUUUCGAAUACUAACUGUUAAAAUCUUCAGAUGCAACGGUUGUGUUUCACCGAGGGAAGAUGAAAACCAUUGUUUAAUGCAUUUCAGUUGUUGAUCUAUUCAUCAUGUUAUCAACUAUCUAUUGUUAUGUUAUGAAAAAGUGACUCUAGCUAAGAAAUGGAAACAGGAAAAGGUAGUUAAUCUUGAAUGACAGGUCAAGAUCAGCCUCGUGAAAACCUUAACGAUGUCAAUAGUUUAACAUAACCAUUGAUUGAUAUUAGUGGUUUUACUAUUGAUUUGCAUAUAGCUAUAGCCUAUACAAUUGUGGAAGCAAGGGAGAGAAUCCAAAUGGGUGUGCGUGCUCAAUGUUGCAUGUCGGAUCUUCAUACUCUGAUUCGCACCCGUGGACAGUUUUUAAGUCUAAGUAACAUAGUGUUUGUGUCUGGGAAAUUCUUGUGAGUUGUAUUUGCUUUAGUAAGAGAUACAACCCAAACAUUUUAACCUGCCUAAUUUCAACUGCUAUGGUUUAAAUUCUUAAACAUUUUCAAGGUCACUGAGUCGGGCUCAUUUUGACCUGCCUAAUUUCUUAAGAAAAGAGGUAGAAAAUUGAUGCCCCAUAAGUUCGUAAAUCUGUGAUUGGCCCUGGUCCCUUGGACAUUGUUCACUUCGACUAAGGUUAAAAGCCUAAUUGUUAAGGGUGGUUAACUUGGAAAAUACCUUAAUAAUGGCCCUGGUCCUUACAAGGACAAUGUGCACCUUAACUCGAGAGAAAUUUGUAAGUUGAGGGUGGCUAUUGUUAAGUGUCAAAUAAAUAAAUAAAUAAAUAUAUAUAUAUAUAUAAGGGCAAGGUUGGAAGUACUAGCGGGAAAAUAUGCAGAGAGGGGGGCCAAAGAAAGGAAAAAGUUGGGAAUGUAGCAAGAAAAUCGAAACAUGUGCAUUAGGGAGGAUAAGUCACUAAUUUUAUCUAAAUGUAUCCUCCCUUACCUCAAGCUUACACUACAACCCAUAAAGUCCUAUUUGAUUUUAGGCAAAGCACGCUUAAUUAGUGGAGAUGUACAUAAAGGGCAAGAUUAUGGUUCUCAAUGCAUGCAUAUAUGAUGUCUUUGUUGAGUGAGAGCGUACUAUGUUUGCAAAGUCCUUAAACUAUAUUCAAUGUGUUGUGUUGAGUGUACGGACUAUUCUGUUGAGUGAGGGGCACUUUUUGUAUGAAAGAUACGUGAUGAGUAAUGGUGCACAUGAAGUUGUAUGCGUUGGUUGCAAAAAGUUGUCAAGUCAAUAACAUGAGUUGUAUGAUGUAUGAAAGUGGGCAAGGCCUAUUUUGAGUGAAAACAUGCUUCUUCAAACUGAUUACAGAUCCUUGAAAGGAAGUGGCGGAUGCACAAAUACCAUAGUAUGAAGUCUAGGUCUAGGAUUAAUUAGUAAGUUGUUCGAGGACGAACAAAGCUCUAAGUGUGGGUAGUGAUCUUAGGCAUAUUUUCCGUUUGCAGGGAUAGUUUUCAAGGAUGUAGUUUAGGUUGUGAAUAUAACGUAGGGAUAAUUUUGGCCAAAACCUCGAAAAAUUACAUAUGUAUGAAGGCAGACAGACAUACAUAAAUAAAGUUCCCUUGAACAUUUCAUUGUAUUUUGAUUAUUAUCGAUCCACUCCAAAAAAGCAAAUUAUUCCCUACACAAAUUCAAACUAAAGAGACAAGUAACAAAGUAUCAAUAGCUGCAUUUGUUGGUUCAUAAAUCAUAUUAUCUAUUCAGUUGAUCUACAUCUUCUUUCAGUUCAUUGGUGAUAAUAAUGUUUCAAAGACACUACUUCCAAUUCUAAGUGUCAACGAUCGUAAAUCAAUAUAAAACCCAAAUAAAUGAGUUGGGGUCGAAUCCCACAGGGAGCGAUAUGUGUUUCAGAUUCGAUUGGGAAGUAUAAAUGUGGUCAAAUCAGUGAUAGGAAUAAAAAUUAUCGAAUAAAGACAUCAUUCAAGUUAAAGGUUGACACUAAUGUCAAAUUGGGCGGGGGGGGGGGGUUGUUUUAGAUUAUCAGCUAAAAGAAGUCACAAAAACUAGAAAUUAACAAUAAUGAGACGGAUUCUUGGGAUGUGAUCGAUUAUAGGAAAAUGUAGACAUAUGGGUUAUUGCAACUAUUAGAAAAUAGCUAGAUAUUAGAGAGUAGGCUACACUAUAACAGAGGUAUUUUUCUCUCGAACAAUUACCCCGAAUCUUGUGAUUUCUUUCAAACAUCAACAAGCAAUACAAUUAAGAGCAGCCCACACCUUAAUCCAUUCACUCUCUCGAGCUGAAUGUGUGGGAUAGGGAUUAGGAUUUACACUCUCGAGCUAAACCCAGGUCAACCCAAUACCCACAAAUCAUCGGUCAAUAAUUUUAGUUCUAAAACCUCUCUCUCGAGCAAGCCAAGAACACAAACAUAGAACUGCAUUUUCAACUUCAAUUCUUUAAAUUAAACCACAAUUAAUGAUUAAACUCACUUUUAAAUAGAAUUUAAACUAACAAUUAGCAAUACCCAUAAACUAAAUCAACCCAUAAUCAGAUGAUCACACCCCAAGAAUUGGGGUUUUAGCUAGACAUUAAAAAAAGGUAAAAACAGUUACCAAAUUGAUUCUCCAUUAACUGGGUAAGAGUAAUUUCGUCCUUACAAUGGUCCAAUUUGAUGAAUCUCAAAGAACCACUUCUAAUUUGUCAAAAGUGAAUUUUCUUCAAUCCUUCAAAGCUAAGGAAAAUCUAGAGAGAAAUGUUCUAAGAGUUCUGAUAGAAAAAUAAUAAUGAAAAUUAUAUCCCAGAUUACUUGAUUAAUUUCUAAACUAAAUGUUCAAAAUCCUACUUAUAGUUGCCAAAAAUAUGCUGCGAAAGCCCAUUUAGCGAAAUAAGUCGGGCUCUCCGAACCACUCGGCUAGCCGCCCUUUGACCUCUUCCAUCGCCUUUUCGCCUUGUCAUUCAGCAUCCUUGGGUUCGGUAACUCUAAGAGAACUAUCACUGUAUCGUAGAAUUACUCGGCGAUUCGUCGACUACUCCUCUUGUCGCCGAUUUGGCUUCUUCCCUCAAAGCUAGCACACUGGAACUUUAGGCGGUGGAACUUGCCCUUCGGCGACACCAAACGCUCUUGGCGAUCACUAGGCUUUCCUUUCUUUAAUUCUUCAUUUUGUUUUGUUCCUUUUUGCAUGCUAGUGUCCUUGCUUUGUUCCUCAAUGCAUGUACAUGAAAAUCAAGGAUUUUUCAUCAGUUUAAGGCACAAAUUAAGCAUUUGAGGACACUAAAUCUAUAUAAACAAAGCCCUAAAUGAGUCCAAAUCUCGGACUCAUCAACACCCCCAACUUAAAUUUUUGCUUGCGUUAAGUAAAACUCAAGUUCAGCAUUUCAAAAAGGAUGUCUCAAAUAGUGCUACAUAAGACUCAAUCUUGAAUGCACACGACAAGACUCAACUUACUUAUGCAAGAAUCAAUUGUGCACUUAAAGAUUCAAGUUGUGACUCACCAUUACCAAAGAUUCUCAAGCUCACAAUACUCGCUUCACAUGCAAGUUCAUGAGCAACAAAGGUACUCAAAUGCCCUCACAACAAAGAUGAUUCCAUACUCACACACAAUUUCUCAACAAUAUAUAGUUUUGGAAUCACAUACAACUCUCACACUAACAAAAAUGAACAGAUGCAUGGCUGCACUCGUGAUCAAAAAGGUCUUUUCAAGGCUUGUAACGGGGCUGAGUGUAAAGGUAUGGUCAUUUAGGCUUAGUUGUUGCUACCCUCAUGAAAUUUGGUCUGAACAUCAUUUUUCUUCCUUUUCUUCAGCAUUUUAAUCAUGCUCAAAAUUCACCCCAUUAUUCGACUUUCAAUGGAUUACGGAACACCCCAUUUCUUUUUGCAACUUUCACAACUUUUUCAUUCUUUUUCUUUUGCUUUCUUUUUUUCUUUUUUUUUUUAUAUGGAGGGGUUUCAUCUUUUUCAAGAUCAUGGAUCAAUGGGGAAUUCUUCACACUUCCUGAUUUACCUUGUCUUUUCACCACACCCCCAACUUAGGCUUUUGGCCUAUGUUGGCUAUUCAAACAAACCACACUUCACGAGAUUUAUAGGUGAGUGUAUAAAGAGGGGUCACAAUUGUUCAAGUUUCUUCCGAGAAAAAGGAUAAAGCUUACAGGGGUUCAAGUAAGGUUCACACAACUCACAAGGUUGGCCACAAAAAGAGGUAUAUUGUCAAAUUAUUUCACUCAUCAAAUUGUUGCCUAAGAUCAUUUAAAGAGCUUGCAUCAUUUAGUCAACUGGACCAACGGGGCAAAUUCUAGGUGUCACCACACACAAUACUCAAGGUAAGCUCAUCACACAAGGCAUAGGCACCAAUAUCAAAUAAGACUCAUUCGAGCUAGUGUGCAAUAUUCAUCACAAGAGACUCUAUUUGAUAACCGGCUAAUCACAACGAGUUGCAAAAAGUUCACAUAUUGUUUAUGCAACUUCAUUUGGCCUCAUCGUAGCUGCACAUUCAUUUUGUUCGAUUAAGAGCACUAUUCAAGUCAUCGGUAUUGAUCAGAACCGAUACACAAAUUUGCACAAGAACGAACACAUUCACACACAACAAGAGGUGGUAAAAAAUUUCAGAUGGGUCAAAAGCCAUUUUCAUUCAAAACAAGAAGCCACAAGCUAAAAUAUCCACAAGAUAUAAUCAACACAUCAUUUAAAACACAAAACCCCAAUAUAUAUACAUAAAAUGUAAUCAAAAGAGGUAGCUAUGAAAAUACAUCACCCCACCCACAAAAGAAAAGCAGUUGUCCUCAAAUGUAACUAAAACAGAAAAAGCAUAAAAGCAACAAAGAUGGAGGUCAAUAAUGAUCCUGUCUACUCAGUCGCUCCAUCUGUCGGGGCAUCAGUGCCUAGUGUAACACUCUAGUCUUGGGCAUCAGUGCCCGGGGUAAUAGCAACAUUGACUCCACUAGAGCCUGCCAUGGACGAAUCUACCAUUGAAAUUUGCACGACUGAAUGCACCAUAGCCUCCUGAACCUCUGUCAGACCCUCAUAUGUGGUAUCCUCUUGGAGAUCGAGCUACUCCUUAUCAGUCUCUACCUGGGGGAAACAGCCACCUCAUCAGCUCGAACCUCAUCUCCGGUGGUGGUCGGAGGCACAUCAGAAUCACUUAGUAUAUCAGGGAUCUCCACGAUCUCAAAAAUCAUCGACAUAUCUGUGGACUUCAGCUGGUCCAUAUGCUUUCUCAACUCUGCAAUCGCAGCCUUUAGGGACGUCACCUCACUAGUAGCUCCCUGACCUUUCUCACACACCUAUAUCCUUGCCGCAAGGGCAUCAAUGGACUCUCUGAAAUGUGUCACAGCAGCAAUAAAAGCUCUCUCAAUUAUCCCAGGGAUUGUAGCCUCUAGCCUGGAUGCACGCCUAUCAGCCGCAUGGACUAGAUGUCUCAUCCGUAGUACUGCAGCCUGGGUAAGUGGAGGUCGGGAGGCAGCAGCACUAGUAACAUACCUAGGAGGCAGGGGUGCUAUAGAAGAACUCAGAGUCAUAGAAGGGGCAGAGCUAGAGAUACUUAAAGGCCUAGAGGCCGGAGUAGGCAAUAAUGCCUCUGCAGGUAAGGUCUCAAUGUCCACAGUCGGGGAUGAGUCCACCGAGGUUGCCUUUUACUUUUUAGCCUCAUCUUUCAAGUACUCAACCUCAAUGCGCCGGAUGUCGCUAAAGGAGGUGGGAAUCACUUCCACAUUCUUUUUCUCAUCUCGGGACACUCGGGCUUGCCUGCACAACUCGGUGAUCAAUACCAAGAAUGAAAGCGAUGUAUGGCGCUGCCUAGCCCUCAUGGCCAUCUCCUAUCUAAUGAUCAUGCCUAAAUUCAUCUUCUUCUCAUCAAUGAUGGAACCAAGACAGGACGCCUUCAUGUGGCGGAGGAUAGACUCAUUCUGGGACGACAUUAUUGUGCUGCUGAUGAAGCCGAACCAGUACCUUGCUGCUACACUUAGAUCUUUCUUCUCUAUAGGGGCUCCGAUUUAGAUACACCUAGGACUACCGUUAGAUAAAAGAGGGGCUAACCAGCUUUUCAUAGUCUCCAAGGAUUUUGUCUUUAUUAUGUGUUGGUAGUCAUCCGCAAUGUUGUUGGUUCACUCCAAUACUGCAUCGAUAUCAUCACUGUCACAUUUCACUUUCCUACCCCUGACAACCACAUAAUCUACUGGCUUGAAGGCAAUAACCUUCCUCUUCCCUUGUGGCUCCAAAGCUCUGUAGGUUGUGUAACACUCCCGGACCCAAUUAGGAAUAUAAGGACCCCGAGGUUUAGUAAAAAUCUGGAACUUGUGGGAUUCAAGGUGUUCCAAAUCUCUGUGUAUCGGUCUAUCACCCCAUCUAUAGAUAGCCUAUUUUCCUCAAUGAUAGUCCUCAGUCCCUCGGCCUUAAGUCUGUUGAGAGACCGGGGAGGAGGACCCUUUGCAGGAGGUGAUGGGACCACAACUUGGUCUGGAACAGGAGGAGGAGUAGUUGCCUGGGGUACCCAGAUCCUAGACGGAUCAUUCAACCUCUUGGAGCGUAUUUCGCCUCUCCAGGCAUGUAGCAGCUGAUCAUCCUAAGGCUCGGAAAUGUCAGCCUGAGGGUCUUGGUGCUCUCCCUCACUCUCAGAGGUGGUGAGGUAAGUAGUGUAAACUCCCUCUCUAUCAGAGCUGACCUCCGGUGAUUCAGCAGUUGAUGCCUUACCCUUUCCUUUACGCUUACCACUUGUGGUAGGAAGUUUUGUUGCUUUUGCUUUAUUGAUAGUGAGUCUCUUUCCCCGCUUGUGGGGCGGCAUGUCUCGUCCUACUACUUUUGGUUUAGCCAUAUCUGCAAAACACACCGAAAAGAGUUAGAAACAAUCCAAGAACAAUUUAUCAAACAGGUUGCAAAAAGACUUCUUGAACAGAUCGGUGAGUCGCCCAAUCAUUUUAGCGAGCCAGGUCGAGCUGGCCGACAGGACUAGCCUGAAUUUUUUUUAGAAAAUGGCCAGUUGGCGUUGUUUAGGGCCAUUCGGCGAAUCGCCGACCUUACUCGGCGAGCUCAGACAUCCCGUCGAAAUUAACAGUGUGUUUUAGGGGUUGGGGGCAUAGAAAGGGCGAUCAAGGGAGACUUUCAUCAAGUCAUCGAGUCAACUCAGCGAGCUCAGGCUCUUCGCCGAAAGUUACAGACUCCAUUCUAGCCAAAACACAAAAUUAAAGGCGAUCAAAGGAAACGUUGGCGAAUCGCCGAACGAUUCGGCGAGCUCAACCCAGCUCGCCAAAUUGCCCAACGUGCCAAAUUUCAACCCCGUUUCCCAAAUUCAAGCCCGCAGCCCCCAAAAACAAAAUCAAACUACAAACUUAUGUAACUAAGCCCAGACCCAUUCAACCCAUGCCAUUGGGGUACUCAGACUUUCCCACGUUAUGCUAAAAUUUACCAUAUAACGACUUUUCCCCUUAAGAUUGACGUCAAAUGCUUCAUCAUUAGGCAAUGUAUGUCAUUUAGCACAAUUGGGGUUACUCAGACUUCACCAGACUAGACCCAACAACAAUGUAUCGCAAUCCAACAAUUUAUGAUUAAUUUUGAACCAUGAAACUCGAGAAAUCAACCAUCUAAGCAAUUAACCAGAAUUGCGAAACUACGAUAGGCAAACUAGCACAACACUAUGAUUUCAGUACAAGCCCAGCACACAACAACAAGCUUUAAACAAGCGCAUUUGAGUUCAACCACUAUUCAAGAAUUUGGGGUUUGGAAAACCAACCUUAAGCCGAAAUAAUAGUUUGAAACGCUAGGUUGCAAUGUAAUCAAACUCCGAGCACAAGAUCAAGAGCAAAAAGUGAUAAAAAUCGGAAAAUAUGUAAACUAUAGAGUGUGGCUGCAAGUGUACGAGGCUAAAAAUGAAGGAAUAUGAAAGAUUUUGAAAGUUUAAACCGCUUGGCCUUUUAAAACCUUUCAGUUGAAGGCCCUUUCGGCAGUAUUAGUCAUCCUCGCCGAAUGACUCGGUGAUGCACCGAGUGGUGACGUACCUCGCUGAUUUUUAUAGGACCACCAGUCAACUUUGGGGUCCAAACGACGGACAAAGUCGAACCUGCCGACCUGUUCGACGAGUCACCGACUCAUCCAUGGGGCCGCCGAGUUUUACAGACUUUGACCUGCUAUUUUUAUGACUCCAAUGACGGUCCAAGUCGAGAUUGUCAACCUCUUCGGCAAGUCGCCGACUGGACACUUGGCUCACCAACCUGCAUUUCUCAAACACAUUCCACUUUUUAACCUGCACAUUCAACACCCGUUAUUCCAAAAACAAACACAAAGCAUUAAAAGCUUGGGUUGCCUCCCAAGAAACGCCUUAGUUAACGUUGUGGCACGAUGCAAGUACCCAUUCAAGCUUCAUUUUUAGGGUCCACCAUAGUAUCACUAGUCAACCCCCCUUGUUGGCUUGGGUUAAGAUGAUACAAAAUAUGGCCCAUUUGGGUUUCUAGUAGUUUAAUAGAUAUGGAAUGAGAAGCAAUCAUCUGAUUUUGAAUUGAGACAUUAUCUUUUAUCUCUUUCAACCCUAUGCCAUGUUCUUUGACUUUGUUGAGAAUGUGUGAGAAUAUCUUUUCUAUCUAUCCACUCUCGUAGUCCUUGGGCUUUUUACGCUCAUGGGGGGAUUGUACCUAUCUUUCUUUUUGUACAUCACUUUAAAUUCCAUGAUAUUUUUUGCCAAGAUAUCCAGCUGGGUCAUCAUUUUGGCUAAGUUCUGGUCCUCAUCGUGAUUUACACCCACAACAUUAACACUCGUAGCACCAACACCAAUGACAUUUUUGGCUAAGAUGUCAAGUUGGAUCAUCAUCUUUGCCAUGUUUUGGUCUCUCGUGAUCUUUUUCAAUCUGCUCCUUUGUCAAUUUAUAGGUAAGAGGAGAGACGUGAUCUUCGCGAGUGUACCAUGCCCGGUUAAUCUUGGUCAUGCCAUCAAGGAGUUGGGCUACUAUUACAUAAGGUUGUUGCAUUAAACCUCCCGGAGAAAGUUGGUCAGUCACUCCCUUGUUCACCGAAUCAAGGCUUCUGUAGAAGUAUUGCAGCAGUACGUUAUCGGGCAGUCCAUGAGUUGGGAAUUGCAACACCAUCUUCUUAAACCUUAGCCAAGUCUCAUGGAUUGGGUCACCCUCCAAGCGCUUGAAGCUUUGAAUGUUGUCCCGAAGAGUCAUCAUCUUCGAAGGGGGAAAGAAUCGCACUUGGAAUGCGGUAAUAAGUUCAUCCCACGAAGUGAUAGAAUCUCUUGGCAACUCAUCCAACCACUUACAUGCUUCUCCCAUUAGAGAAAAUGGGAACAACCUCAGCCAGACCGAUUCUUGAGAUAUGUUCUUAAAGGAGAAUGGUCCACAAACAUCAACAAAAUUCCUAAUGUGCUCGUGGGGAUCUUCAUGAGCCAGCCCUCUAAACAAACCCUACAGUUGUACGAGCUGCAACAUCGUGCUUGUGAUGUGAAACACAUAGUUUCCUUCAUCUGGAGGCAAACGAAUGGCACCAACACCACCCAUUUGGUUGGGGUCAUUAACAUCAUUGAGAUUCCUGAUGUCAUCUUAGUGGCCCACUUGGCUACCAUUGCUACCGUUUACACUCAUCUCCUCUGUUUUAACAAGCAACACAAAACCAAAACUAAAGGGAAGUGGAUUUAACUAUAUCUAAAAAGAACACAAUUCAACUUCACCAAAAGAAUUUCAAACAACACCACUCUCCGGCAGCGGCGCCAUUUUGAUUAAUAACGUUUCAAAGACACUACUUCAAAUUAUAAGUGUCAACGAUCGUAAAUCAAUAUAAAACCAAACUAAAUGAGUUGGGGUCGAAUCCCACAGGGAACAGUACGUGUUUAAGAUUCAAUUGGGAAGUAUAAAUGUGGUCAAAUCAGUCAUACGAAUAAAGAUUAUCGAAUAAUGACAUCAUUCAUGUUAAAGGGUGACACGAAUGUCAAUUGGGGGGGGGGGUUGGUUUUUAGAUUAUCAGCUAAAAGUAGUCACGAAACUAGGAAUUAACAAUAAUGAGACGGAUUCUUGGGUUGUGAUCGAUUAUAGGCAAAUGUAGACAUAUGGGUUAUUGAAACUAUUAGCAAAUAGCUAGAUAUUAGUGAGUAAUCUAGUCUAUAAUGGAGGUAAUUUUCUCUCGAACAAUUACCCCGAAUCAGGUGAUUUCUUUUGAACAUCAACUAGAAAUACACUUAAGAUCAACCCACACCUUAAUCCAUUCACUCUCUCGAGCUAAUGUGUGGGAUAGGGUUUAGGAUUCACUCUCUCGAGCUAAACCCAGGUCAACCCAAUACCCACAAAUCAUCAAUCAAUAAUUUUAGUUCUAAAACCUCUCUCGAGCAAUACAAGAACACAGACAUAGAACUGCAUUUGCAACUACAAUUCUUAAAUUAAACCACAAUUAAUGAUUAAACUCACAUUUAAAUAACAUUUAAACUAACAAUUAGCAAUACCCAUAAACUAAAUCAUCCCAUAAUCGCAUGAGCACACCCCAAGAAUUGGGGUUUUAGUUAGACAUUAUAAAAAGGUAUAAACAGUUACCAAAUUGAUUAUCCAUCAACUGGGUAAGAGUAAUUUCGUCCUUGCCAUGCUCCAAUUUGAUGAAUCUCAAAGACCCACUUCUAAUUUCUCAAAAGUAAUUUUUUUUCAAUCCUUCAAAGCUAAGGAAGAACUCUAGAGAGAAAUGUUCUAAGAGUUCUGAUAGAAAAAUAAUAAUCAAAAUUAUAUCCCAGAUUACUUGAUUCAUUUCUAAACUAAAUAUUCAAAAUCCUAUUUAUAGUUGCCAAAAAUAUGCUACGAAAGUCCAUUUGGCGAAGUAAGUCGGGCACAGCGAGCCACCUUUUGAUCACUUCCAUUACCUUUUCACCUUGUCAUUCAGCAUCCUUGAGUUCUGUAACUUUAGGCGAACUAUCACUGUAUCGCGAAAUUAUAUGGUGAUUCGCCGACUGCUCCUUCUUGUCGCCGAUUUGGUUUCUUCGCUCAAGGCUGGCACACUAGAACUUUAGGCAGUGGAAUUGGCCCUUUGGCGAGUCGCCAAAUGCUCUUGGUGAUCACCAGGCUUUCCUUUCUUCAAUUCAUCAGUUUGUUUUGUUUCCUUUUUGUAUGUUAGUGUCCUUGCUUUGUUCCUCAAUCCAUGUACCUGAAAAUCAAGGUUUUUCAUCAGUUUAAGGCACAAAUUAAGCAUUUGAGAACACUAAAUCUAUAUAAACAAAGCCCUAAAUGAGUCCAAAUCUCGGACUCAUCAACUGGCGAGACUCCAUCUACAUCAUCUUGAACAACAUUUUGCUCAUUAGCGCCGAAAUAUUUAUCAUUUGCGCCUCCAUCGUGACCAUUAGUACCUACAUCUUGUUCAUUAACACCCCAAUCUUUAUCAACAAUUUGUUCAUUCGCGCCUCCAACUUGUUCCUCGUAAUGCUGAAGCAACAUUACCUCAUUCCAGUAAAGCAAAUCAGCAUAUCUCUGCCACAAAAUACUCAUUCAUAUGAACACCUUACAAGUCUCAAUUCAUAUAUUUGUUAAUUAGAGCCUCAUAAUAUCAUCAAAUUCUUCCUACUUUAUCUUGUAUGUUCUGUCUGCGGGCUGCAAUAUGGAGAAAUCAUAUUUUUUUGUAUAUAAGAAAAACAGAACAAAAUCUUCUUGUUCAUAAAAAUCAAAUACUUCUUACAAUUUGGCACUCCACAUCGGGCACAAUAAGCAUCGACUAGAAUACAAUCAUCUACAACUUGAUGAUAUAUAUCGUUAUGUGGGACAUGAACAUUAAACCUACAUAUGCAUACACAGACCGCAUAAUCAUCUGUAAAACUCAAUUUCCAAAUAUAUAUAUAUAUAUGACACUUAUGCGCCACUAAAGAGACCUUCCUGAAUGUUUGGCUCCUGCAAGAUGUGCAAGACAUAAAAAUUAAGUAUACAAAAUUCAGAUUAUUACUAGUUUUUUGGAAAAAAUGAAGCAGAGAGGAUGGGAAUAUCCAUAAAAGGCUAAAAAAAUCGUCGACGAAUCCAACUCAAGUUUUGCAGACACAACAACAGAUGCAAUAAUGAACAUGACGAUCACUGUAUUCAAGUUUAUUCUAUCAACUUUGUUGAUUGAAUCAAGAAGUUGUUGUUGGGUUUUAGAAGACUUGAAUGGAAAAUGAUAUUGUUGAAAAUAUGCACAAGUUGUCCGUCCAGGGAUGGAUAAAUUGCAAUUUGUACACGUGGAUUGUUAUGAUCAAGUAAGUAAAUCAACAAAAACCAACUUGUUUAUAAAACAUAACUUGAGAGCAUGAAUUUCCAAAGCAUAAGCUAAGUAAAUUGCUAUAAGUGAAUGAAAAUUAGACGAGAAUUAAAUUUCCGCAUCAAGCCUUAUGAAACGUAUUAAUACUCAUUUUUGCUACUCACUAAUCCUUAAUUUUCUUUUAAUGGUUGAACUUCAGAUUUACCUUAUCUCAUUUGUGUCUCGUAUCUCAUGGUGCAUCUUCGAAGCUAUGUGGGCUCACAUUGUGAUGUCAAUCUUUUAGUCCUGCCAGACUUGUCGCUUUUGCCAUAUGUCACUUUCUGACUCAUCUAUCUAUCGAGCUUGAUCAGUUUUACGCUAUAUAGAUUGUCACGCCUGUCCUACACCCCGGGCGUGUUCGACACUCAGAAACCAAUUCUGGUCCUAGGUGAACCCUUAGUCUGGUUGACAACUGAGCGGAAGACUAAACAUACAUGCUGAAGCCUUAUAAAAUAAACAUUUAAAAUCAAUUAAAUAUAUUUCAUACAAAAGUCUGAAAUAAAUUUGAAUAUGAAUAAUGAUAAUAAUGUUUAAACUUCUAAAUGCAAAAUACUGAAUUGACUCACUGACUUUGUCUAUCUAUAAAGGCUCUACUAACUAAAGAUAUGUGUCAGGACAAGACUCAUGACUACCUGACUAUUCAACUAACAAUUUAUUAAAAAAUAAAUAAACUAUACUAACUAAAUUAGACCCCCCUUACCCCGGAAGUGAGGAGGUCUCACCAAAUGCUAGUUGAAAGUGAUCUUACUAAAUGUCUCCUAUCAAGAGUACCUGAAACUGUAUCAUUUAUCAUAAAAUGAUGCAACAUCAAAUGGCGUCAGUAUAUAGAAUGUAUGGUAUGUAACACGACUGAAUGAAAUAAAUAAUUGAACUAAAAAGAAACUUAAAGUACCCUGACCGAAAGUAAAACAUGAACAUGAGGUGAAAUCAUUAAAGCUCUACAAUGAGAUAUGCAAUACUAGAAAAAUACUAAAAUAAUAUACAUUAUUUUUCAUGGGGAGUAUCUCGAAUCGAAAACCAUCACUUUGAGCCUCGUGAUAAUACAAUGUUUAGCACAUGUUGCCAGUCAUCCUAUACCUUGAUGGACUAUAGGACAACAAAGCUUAACAUAUGGAUCCAUCUGAAAAGCUCUCAACAAGGCUGUGAGGAGUUGCCUGAAUCAACGACAUGAUCUUAUCUACGCUGGCGACACAAUUUAUGGGUUUUGAGUUGUUAACUCUUACCCAAAUCAGUGCUCAAUACUACUCCCAAAACAUGCAAUAAUGCUCAUAUGGUAAAGAUGUCCCCCUUUAGGGGAAAACUGAAAAUCUGAUACUUUGAGUCUAUGCUUAAUAAUACUUCUUUAAAACUGAACUUAACUGAACCUAAAUGAACUUGACUAUGCUUUUAUGAAAAUAUUAUUUUGACUCACUUUUUUGCAUUCUCUUUUAUCAAUGCAUUGAACUUACUUUAAAGACUAAUUGAAAAUCCUUUCUCUAAAACUGAUUAUGCUUUGUUUAAACUAGCCUUGUUUUCUUCAUGAAGAUAAUGCACAAGAACUGAUAUAUCAAGGCUUUCAUAAAAUUCAUAAUGAAAUAUGGUUCAUGGGGUGAAAUAAGCAUGAACAAUUAUUAAGAAUCGUCCAAUAAAUUAAUAUACUAAAAUAGAUACAACAAAAUCAAUAAUUCAUGCUAAGAAAUUAAGUAGAACCCUCGAAUGUAGUAAGCCUUGGGGUUGAAACCCUAGUUGAACCUUGCUAUCUGAAAUUCAGAAGGGAAUAAGGAAGAACUCAAUUACUCAAUAUGAUAGCUUAACGUACCUUGAUUCACUAUAAAUGAAACUCUAAGUUUGAAGAGGAACCCUAAAAGUCUCUUCUUGAACUUUAGGAUGAGUUCUUGUUUUUGCUAGAUAUGAGAGAAAGAUUUGAUGUUAGAAUCUUAUUAAGAAUUCGUGAUUAGAGAUUGAUUAAUUUUAGAACUAAUUUAGAUACAUGAGAGUAACAUACCCCGGUGUUAAAGAUGCAAGAGAUGAGAGAAUUUGAGAGAAAAUAAGCCAUAGGUCGUACAAGAUGAAUUUUAUAAUGACCCAUCGUCUUAACUUAAUAAAUAGAGAAUUUUAAAAUCUAGACUCUUGAAAAAUUCCUUGGCGCGGUGCGCCCAUGCUACAGGCUAUUGGAAAAAUAGCCUAGCGUGGUGCGCCCAUGCUACCAGGCACACAGAGCACACGGUCAAUUUGACAUCUCUCUAGUAAAAUGCAGAUAACUUCUUACUCAAGAGUUGGGUUGAUGAGCGGUCAGUGACAUUGGAAGGAACAAAUGUAGACCUUUAAUUUGAUAAGUCACGGGUCAUCUAAAUUUUACUACUCUAAGAGGCAUGAUCGGUUGAAGUUGACCCUUGUAUGAACUCAUGUGAAAAUAUAGCUGAUAGAAAUGCUUUGAACUUGGUUUGGUGUUUAAGGUUCCUUACGACCCUAAACCAUAUAUGAUAUACUUACUACAGUUUGUAAAGGACCUUAACAUAUAUGCACAACUUAGUACUAUUCAUCGGGUUCGGACCUAUACACAUACAGAGGAUGAUUUGAAUCUUUGCUUAGAAGUUUUUGGACGUUACAUAGAUUGUCCCACAUUUUUUUGGGUACUCAAAGAAUUGUGACGGAAAAUGGAAAACACUUCAAUUAUUGGCCGAAAGCAAAUGAAGAGUCCUUUGACAUUUCUUGAUGUUACACAUGUCCCUCCACUUUUAAUGCUCUGAGUACGUGUCUUCUCGUGAUUGGUUAAAAACCAUGACAGACUAUCAAGGCAAUGCUAACAUUUCUUUUCCAAAAUCUAUAUAUGUUCUUCCAUUUUUAAUUUACUUCCUUCACACCUUCUUCUUAGAACUUUCUUGUCAUUCUUCCGAGUUUCAAAUUUUACCGCAGUUUCAUCAAAGAUUACCACCUUCUUAACUAUCCUUUGACUUAAUUUAUCUAGAACCCAUGACAUAAUUACAGCUUAAUAGGGGAGGGUGGGGGGACAAAGUCGACAAUAGAAAUAUUUAUUCAUAUGGACUAUUACUUGAUAUCUUUUAUACAAGUGAUUCGAUUUAGAUUUUUAUCCUAAAAUAUUAACCCCCUUAAGUUUUAAACUAAAAAUUAUUUUAGUUCUGCAUAAAUGGAAAUAUUUAUUCAUGUGGAUUGUUACUUGAUAUCUUUUUUUGAAUAAAAAUAGAGAGUGCACACUACAUACAAUCAACUAUUAAAUGAAUAUGUGUUUUUAUACAUAUAUGGUGAUAGUUUAGGUAGAAUUAUUAUUUUUUACUGAUAAUAGAAAUGUGACUUUGACCAUUUAACUUUAUUUUAAAAAAAUGUCCACUUUUACUUGUCGAGUUCAAAAAUCAAGAAAUAAUUUAUCAAUUAGUUCUUGAUAAAUUGGACCUUCACCAACAAGAUGAACAAAAGUUCAUGUAAUCAGCCCAACUUAACUAUUAAGAUUUAUUCCCUCUGGUCCAUAUUAAGUGAACUGUCAAGUUUUUUAUAUAGUUCAAAAUAAGUGAAUUUUUCAAAGUUCAAGAUAAUUGUUAAUUGGAUUUUAUUUUCUUCAUAUUUAUCCUUUCUUUUAAUGAUGUUGUUAACUACUUUACAUUUUUUAGGAGAAUAGUUUAGGAAUAAUAAUAAUUAAAAAUAACCUUUAAUAUUUGUCCUUAAUAUUUUUCUUUAAGAGGAGUGUUAUAUCCCAACAAUUCACUUAAUAAAGACUAGAGGAAGUACCAUUCAUUUCCCCAACAUGUUUGUCAAAAUAUUGAAUUAGUUAUAUUCAAAGAAUGAUAUAGUAAAAUUACUCUUUUAUUUAUUGCUCGUUAAGGAAUGUGACAGGCAUGUACCAACUCAAACAUGAAAAGUUAAAGUUCUUAAAUACUAAAAAAAAUAAUACUUAUUACAGCCUUAGCAUUUCACAAGCAUUUAGGGUUUUCAUUUCUCCUUUUCCUUUGCUUUUGAAUUUUUAAUUUUUCGUCUUCAUCUAGGAUUAACAGGAGACCGAGUUUAUUCAAGUCCUUAAUCUCCUCAAGUAUAUACCCAAAUUGAAUAAGAGCUUCUCAUGUUAAUUGAUAUAAAUAUCCUCACUAUAUAUGAUAAUGAUUUAUACUAUAUAUUUUUCUUAAAGUAGGUAGAUAUAUUCAUUUGUGUCAAAAGCAUUUUUAUUGUGUUUUUUUACGCUAUGUUAAUUCCAUGUUCUCCUUGAUUGUAUUGAUGAUAUGAGAGUCAUAUCCAUCACCCUUUGUGUCCACCGUGCCACGAAGGCACUGACGACCAAACUUGAAAAGGGCUACCUUAGAAAAAGCUGCCUACUUGUGGUAGAGUGAAAGAUACCUAGUAUGCAGUCGUCGAGGCUCUCCCACAUUAAUAUCUAGAUUUUACGGUGUGGAAGAGUCGAUACUUAGAGUCCCCAAAAUUUGUAUAAGAAAAUUAUUGUCGAUAUAUAUGGUCUUGAGAAAUGGAUAACUUUUGAGUCGAGUUAGGCGCAAAUGUUCAUUAAUUUUUUUGUAUUGUAAAAUGUAACAUGGAAGCAUAAUGUAUUAGUUGCUAUUUAUAAAUAGUUAAUAUAGAGAUGGGAGAUGGUUUAAAUAGGACUCUCAGUAUAAUUAUAGUAGUGGCUGAAGGAGAUUCAAAAAAUAAAUUUUUGAGAUAAAUACUAGAAUGUAUACCUAAGAUUUAAAUAUAUGAUCUAAAACAAAUUUUGAACCCCAUUUGCCAUUACACUAGUAUCUUCCUUUUUGUCAAAGGAGAUUUAACAAUUUACAUAUAAGUAGGAAGAUUAUGUUUGCCUUAAUUACACAGUAUAAUUUCUUAACGAAGGGGAUCCAAUUAACAAUAUUGCCAAUACCUAGUUCCACCACAUAAUAAUAGUGUUAACUGCUAACUAUCUUUCAAAAUGGAACUGUCUUCUAUAAAUAGUACUUAAUAAGUUUUUAAAAUAUAUAGUCUAAGUUGAUUGAUUUCUUCUACAAUUGAGGGGGCGGGGGGGGGGGGAGGUAAAUUCAAUAAUAGUGCUAACUGAUAACUACCAUUUCUAAAAAAUUAGGGGUGAAGUAAAUUCAAAACAUAAAAUUAAUGGGAUGAAACCAAAAAUGUGUUGUAUGAUUUUUGACAUAGAUUGUUUGUGCAUUUCUGAAAAGAGAUUUGGUUUUUAUUCUGCUUUCUGAACUCAUUAGAACCUUAAAUUUGUACCUACUUAUAGGAUUUGAGACCACAUUAGGACUGACAUGUUGUGGGAUCUAUUAAAAAAGAACCCUUCAACGCCACAAUUUAUAUGAUGCCACGAGUAAUUGUUGGGUUUUAAAAGAUGUGAAUGAAAUUGAAGAUUUGUGACUUUUAUAAAGAGUUUUGACUUUUCUGAAGAGUAGGUACUUUUCUGAAGAGUUGUGGCCUUUAUUAAAAAUUACGAUUUUUUCGUAAGGUUGUGACUUUUCUGAAGGAUUGUGACCUUUUUGAUAAGGCACAAUAAGCACCCAUUCACACUACCAUAUGUUGUCUAUAAAUAGAGGGUUCCUCUUAUUUUUCAAUAACGAAUUUCUGAAUUCUUUCUUUUCUACUAAAUCUAGUAUUCUAAGUGUACUUUAUGUUGUUGAGUGUUUUGCUAACACCAUGGUUUUAAGUAUCGAUACACCGGUGAGUAAGAUCAUUCUAUUAUGAGAGGAUAUAUUCCAUUAACCUCGGUUACUUGAGGGGACUAAUUUCCUUAAGCAAACAUUGUGCAUUCAAUGGGCUCAAUUUAUUUUUUUUGAGAAAAUAUUUUGUUUAUCAUUUUUAAUCUAUUUUAGAUUCUAUUUUCUUUACUAAUUUUAAGUUUCUAGUUUUGAAAAUAUUCUUUAAAUUUGUUGCUUUUUACCAAAUUCUUCAAACUUAUGGUUCUAAGUAUCUCAAUAAUAAUUUCAUAGCAAAGGUGGCUUUGAACUUUAGGUGUUUAUGUAAAGCAUGUUGCAUUAUACACAAACAUUUUGUUGAUCAACCUCGAUGUUUCUUUUUUGUGUUUCUUUUUUCCUUGGGAGGAGAGCGUUUUUGUAGCUCAUGUUGAAAGGUGUUACAUUUAUCUACAUAUGAAGCAUAACUUCUUCAGGUCAAAGUUGGGCAUAUACUCUAGGAAAACGAGAUAGCUAAUUUUCGACCUGAAGAAGUUAUGCUUCAUAUGAAGAUAAAUGUAACCUAUUUCAGCAUGAGCUACAAAAACGCUCUCCUCCCAAGGAUAAAAGAAACAUCAAAGUUGAUCAGCAAAAUGUUUGUGUAUAAUGCAACAUGCUUUACUUAAACACCUAAAGUUCAAAGCCACCUUCACUAUGAAAUUAUUACUAAGAUACUUAGAACAAUAAUUUUGAAUAACUUGGUAAGAAGCAACAAAAUUUAAAGAAUAUUUUCAAAACUAGAAAUUUAAAACCAGUAAAGAAAAUAGAAUCUGAAACAGAUUAAAAAUGAUAAACAAAAUAUUUUCUCAAAAAAAAAUUGAGCUCAUUGAAUGCACAGUGUUUGCUUAAGGAAAUUAGUCUCCUCAAGUACCCGAGAUUAAUGGAAUAUAUCCUCUCAUAAUAGAAUGAUCUUACUCACCAUUGUAUCAAUGCUUAAAACCACGGUGUUAGCAAACCACUCAACAACAGUAAAAUACACUUAGAAUACUAGAUUUAGUAGAAAAGAAAGAAGUUCAGAAAUUCGUUAUUGAAAGAUAAGAGGAACCCUCUAUUUAUAGAAAACAUAUGGUAGUGUGAAUGGGUGCUUAUUGUGCCUUAUCAAAAAGGUCACAACUCUUCAGAAAAGUCACAGCCUUACGAAAAAAUCAUAACUUUCCAUAAAAGCCGCAACUCUUCAGAAAAGUCACAAUUUUUCAGAAAAGUACCAACUCUUCAGAAAAGUCAAAACUCUUUAUAAAAGUCACAACUCUUCAAUUUCAUUCACAUCUUUUAAAAUCUAGCAAUUACUCGUGGCAUCAGAUAAAUUGUGGUGUUGAAGGGUUCUUUUUUAAUAGAUCCCACAACAGCCUAGUCCAAAUGUGGUCUCAAAUCCUUUCACUAGGUACAAAUUUAAUGUUCUCAUGAGUUUAGAAAGUAGAAUAAAAAACAAAUCUCUUUUCAGAAAUGCACAAACAAUCUCUGUCAAAAAUCAUACAACACAAUUUUGUUUUCAUCCCAUUAAUUUUAUGUUUUGAAUUUACUUCACCCCUAAUUUUUUAGAAAUGGUAUUUAGCAGUUAGCUACUAUUAUUGAACUUUUACUCCCCCCCCCCCCCCUAAUUUUAGAAGAAAUCAAUCAACUUAUUCUAUAUAUUUUUAAAAACUUAUUAUGUACUAUUUAUAGAAGACAGUUCCAUUUAGAAAGAUAGUUAGCAGUUAGCACUAUUAUUAAGUAGUGGAACUAGGGAUUGGCAAUGUUGUUAAUUGGAUCCCCUUCGUUAAGAAAUUAUACAGUUUAAUUAAGGCAAACAUAAUCUUCCUACUUAUAUGUAAAUUGUUAAAUCUCCUUUGACAAAAGGGAAGAUACUAGUGUAGUGGCAAAUGGGGUUCAAAAUAUGUUUUAGAUCAUAUAUUUAAAUCUUAGGUAUACAUUCUAGUAUUUAUCUCAAAAAAAUAUUUUUUGAAUAUCCUUCAGCCACUACUAUAAUUGCACCGAGAGUCAUCUUUAAACCAUCUCCCAACUCUAGAUUAACUAUUUAUAAAUAGCAACCGAUACAUUUUGCUUCCAUGUUACAUUUUAUCAUACAAAGAAAUUAAUGAACAUUUGCGCCUAACUCGACUCAAAAGUUAUCCAUUUCCCAAGACUAUAUAUAUCGAUAAUGAAUUUCUUAUACAAAUUUUGGGAACUCUAAGUAUCGACUCUUCCACACCGCAAAAGCUAUGUAUUAAUGUGGGAGAGUCUCUAGGGCUCCACACUAGGUAUCUUUCACUCUACCACAAGUGGGUAGCUUUUUCUGAGCUAGCCCUUUUCAAGUUGGGUCGUCAACGCCUUCAUGGCAUGGUGAACACGAAGGGUGAUGGAUAUGACUCUCAUAUCAUCGAUACAAUCAAGCAGAACAUGAAAUUAACAUAGAGUAAAAAAACACAAUAAAAAUACUUUUGACACAAAUGAAUAUAUCUACCUACUUUAAGAAAACAAAAUAUAGUAUAAAUCAUUAUCAUAUAUAGUGAGGACAUUAUAUAAAUUAACAUGGGAAGCUCUUAUUGAAUUUGGGUAUAUACCUGAGGAGAUUAAGGACUUAAUAAACUCGGUCUCCUGUUAAUCCUAGACGAAGAUGAAAAAUUAAAAAUUCAAAAGAAAAGGAAAAGGAGAAAUGAAAACCCUAAAAGCUUAUGAAAUGCAAAGGCUGUUAUAAGUAUUUUUUUUUAGUAUUUAAGAACUUUAACUCUUCAUGUCUGAGUUGGUACACACCUGUCACAUUCCUUAACGAGCAAUAAAUAAAAGAGUAAUUUUACUAUAUCAUUGUUUGAAUAUAACUAAUUUAAUAUUUUGACAAAUAUGUUGGGGAAAUGAAUGAUACUUCCUCUAGUCUAUAUUAAGUGAAUCGUUGGAUAUAACACUCCUCUUAAAGAAAAAUAUUAAGGACAAAUAUUAAAGGCUAUUUUUAAUUAUUAUUAUUCCUAAACUAUUCUCCUAAAAAAUGUAAAGUAGUUAACAACAUCAUUAAAAGAAAGGAUAAAUAUGAAGGAAAAAAAUCCAAUUAAAAUUAUCUUGAACUUUGAAAAAUUCACUUAUUUUGAACUAUAUAAAAAACUUGUGAUAGUUCACUUAAUAUGGACUUGAGGGAAUAAAUCUUAAUAGUUAAGUUGGGCUGAUUACAUGAACUUUUGUUCAUCUUGUUGGUGAAGGUCCAAUUUAUCAAGAACUAAUUGAUAAAUUAUUUCUUGAUUUUUAAAACUCGACAAGUAAAAAGUGGACAUUUUAAAAAUUAAAGUUAAAUGGUCAAAAGUCACACUUCCAUUAUCAGUAAUUCUUUUUUUUCUACCUAAACUAUCGCCAUAUAUGUAUUAAAACACACAUUCAUUUAGGGUGUGUUUGGUAUGUUUUCCAAUUUCCUCAUGUUUGGUUGGGUUAAAUGUUUUGGAAAAUGUUUUCCAAAUCAACUUAUUUUCCUCAAAUUUAAGGAAAAUGACUUCCCUUCAAAACUGAAGGAAAAGAUUUUCCAAAACUCUCUUCCAACUUCAAAUUACAAUUAUUAUUUUUUGUUGAAAAUUCAAUUUAUUUUGUCCCUACCCUCAAACCAGCCUCCCUCCCCCUCCAUAAAAAAAAUAAAAUUUAAAGCUUGUUUUUAAAUUCAAUUAUUUUACCCCACCUCCUACCACCAUCCCCUCCCAAAAAAAAUAUUAAAAGUUGUUUUUAAAAGAUAUUUCUAAUUUCAAUUUUUUAUUUUUUUAACCCCCAACCCAUNNNNNNNNNNNNNNNNNNNNNNNNNNNNNNNNNNNNNNNNNNNNNNNNNNNNNNNNNNNNNNNNNNNNNNNNNNNNNNNNNNNNNNNNNNNNNNNNNNNNNNNNNNNNNNNNNNNNNNNNNNNNNNNNNNNNNNNNNNNNNNNNNNNNNNNNNNNNNNNNNNNNNNNNNNNNNNNNNNNNNNNNNNNNNNNNNNNNNNNNNNNNNNNNNNNNNNNNNNNNNNNNNNNNNNNNNNNNNNNNNNNNNNNNNNNNNNNNNNNNNNNNNNNNNNNNNNNNNNNNNNNNNNNNNNNNNNNNNNNNNNNNNNNNNNNNNNNNNNNNNNNNNNNNNNNNNNNNNNNNNNNNNNNNNNNNNNNNNNNNNNNNNNNNNNNNNNNNNNNUUCAAAAAUUAUUUUCUACUCUAGUAAAAAUAAAAGAUAUUUCUCAAAAACAUUUUUCAUUCAUAAACCAAACACUAAAAAUCUUUUCCGGAAAAUAUUUUCUACUCACCAACCAAACAUGAGAAAAUAAGUCAAAAAUCUACUUGUUUUCCAGGAAAACAUUUUCCUUCAUACCAAACACACCCUUAAUAGUUGAUUGUAUGUAGUGUGCACUCUCUGUUUUUAUUCAAAAAAAGAUGUCAAGUAACAGUCCACAUGAAUAAAUAUUUCCAUUUAUGCAGAACUAAAAUAAUUUUUAGUUUAAAACUUAAGGGGGUUAAUAUUUUAGGAUAAAAAUCUAAAUCGGAUCAUUUGUUAAAAUUCAUCGGUCAUUUGUAAAAAGAAUUCACCCAACAUCUUCAUUCUCCAACAAUGAUCCUCAUCCUCAAUUGUGAUUUGGGCCUUCAAAUUGCUAUUGUCGACUUUGUCCCCCCACCCUCCCCUAUUAAGCUAUAAUUAUGUCAUGGAUUCUAGAUAAAUCAAGUCAAAGGAUAGUUAAGAAGGUGGUAAUUAUCUUUGAUGAAACUGCGGUAAAACUUGAAAGUCAGAAGAAUGAAAAGGAAGUUAUAAGAAGAAGGUGUUAAGAAAGUAAAUUGAAAAUGGAAGAACAUAUAUAGAUUUUGGAAAAGAAACGUUAGCAUUGUCUGUCAUGGUUUUUAACCAAUCACGAGAAGACACGUACUCAGAGCAUUAAAAGUGGAGGGACAUGUGUCAAGAAAUGUCAGAGGACUUUUCAUUUGCUUUCGACCAAGAAUUGAAAUGUUUUCCAUUUUCUGUCACAAUUCUUUGAGUACCCAAAAAAAUGUGGGACAAUCUACGUAACGUCCAACAACUUCCAAGCAAAGAUUCAAAUCAACCUCUGUAUGUGUAUAGGUCCGAACCCGAUGAAUAGUACUAAGUUGUUAUUAUAUGUUAAGGUCCUUUACAAAGUGUUGUAAGUAUAUCAUAUAUGGUUUAGGGUCGUAAGGAACCUUAAACACCAAACCAAGUUCAAAGCAUUUCUAUCAGCUAUAUUUUCACAUGAGUUCAUACAAGGGUCAACUUCAAAAGACCAUGCCUCUCAGAAUAGUAAAAUUUAAAUGACCCGUGACAUAUCUGUAACAUCUCGCAAUUUGAAGUAACUAGGAAUAAGCUAAUAAUUGGAAAUAGUCCUUUUUGGAAAGAAUGGAAAUCUGGAAAUUUGUUUGAGUUAAGAAAAGUUGAGUUUUGGUCAACUUCAAAUGGCUAUAACUCCUAGGUCAGGAUGAUUUAGGUGUACUUCCAGAUAUGGUUGGAAAUCUCUUGGAAUGAUCUUUCCAACGCCGCUAAGUUUACGCGAUUCCGAGUUCAUAUGAGAAAGUUAUCCCCUUCGGAAGUUGGGUUGUUCGAAUAAGGAAAGUCCAAUCCGGAUUUUGGAAGGGUAGUCUGGUUCCUUACCCAACUUAAUUAAUUCGUUUUUAGGAGUUUAAUUGGUGUAAAGUCAUAUUUUAGUUAGUUUUAGAACAGUGAAUUUCACACUAGGGCUUGGAGAAAGGAGAAAAACGUUCAAGAUUCGUUCAAGAUUCGUCGAGAUUAGCUUGUGGAUUUCGUCGGGGCUGAUCCCUACAAGGUAUGUGAGAUCACAUAGCGUUGGGUCCAUUCACCCACGCGCCAAUCAUGUUUAAUUCAGCGAUUUUCAUCCUAAAAGAGUUAGAAUUUGAUGUUAUUGAGUUGUGUUCUUGAACUUACAUGUGAUUAAUGGGUUUUCUUGAGACGUUUUAGCGAUGUUAAGAGUUGUUUCGAGUUAGAUUCUAGUGUACAUGUGUUGGGUAUCUGAAUCUAAGAAAGUAUUGAGAAAAAGGAAUCGAUUUAAAAUGAUUAGGAUCAGAAAACGAGUUAAAAAACUAGUCAAACGCACCAAGGGAGGGCCAGGCGCGUCGCACACCCAUAGCGCCUGGAGGCUAGGGCGGCGCGCCUGCAGUGCGCCCAAAGUGAACCACAAAAAGUUGGGGCCUGGCACGGCACACCUCAGAAGCCCCCGGAUCGUCGUUUUUCACCCAGUUUUUUUUCAUUCAGUCUGUUUAAGCCUUUCUAAAGAGUAUUAACACUUCUUAUUGAUUCUAACUACUCUAAAUGACUUCUAAACAUCUAGAAACAUGAUUUACAAUCUUGAAUCCAUAACUUCAAAUUCAAGGAAAGUUAAGAGUUAAUUCUAGGAAGUUCUUAGAGUCUUUUCAAGAAGUCUUUUGCAAAUGCUUUUAACUUUGUUUUAAGACUUAAAGUUCAAGUUGAGUAAAGAGUAAAAAGUAAAGCUUGAAGUUCAUUUCUUCAAAAGUAUAUUGGAACUAUGUAUUCCCAAAGGGUUUAAAAUGUUUUCACAUUUAAACAAGAAAGGAAACUUCGAUUUCCAAAGAGCCUUCGGGCAAGUUUUCAGAAAAGAGUAAUCGCUUUCUAAAUGAAGCAAGAGGGGAAACUUUGAUUUCCAAGAUAGCCUUUGAUCUAAGUUUUUGAGCACUAAUAUCAAAUCACAAAAGAAGUAUGUUUUUAAACAUAAGAGCUAAUAUUAUAUUUUUGGGAGUAGUAUUGAGCACCGAUUUGGAGGAGAUUUCAAACAAGUCACAGCCCCCAUAAACCAUGUAGUGACCAUGGGUAGAAAAGGUUCAUAAAUUUAAGAUGAUUCCUUUAGUGCUUUUUAGCAUAGACUAGUGGAUCCACCUAAUAGUUCAAGUUCUAUACUCAUGGCAAGGUAUAGGACGGCCCUGGCAGCGUGAGGUAAAACGAUGUAUCAUCACAAUAUCUCUUACGUGAUGGUUGUCGGUUAGAGAAACUCCCACAGAAGUUAUUGUAUUCUUAUAUAGAUAGUUAUUUGUAUUUUUACAUACAUUUCAGAGAUUAUGUUGUAUCCUUGCAUACACACAGAGUUGACAUCAUGUUUUUAAAUAACUUUUCUUUAUAUUGCACUUGUUUUAAACUGCUUUAUAUUGAAAUGAGAUCAGUUAUGUUGAGUUGAGUUGAGCAAGGUAAGUUCUUCAGAUUCCUUUCAAGCCUAUGUUGUGUUUAGCAUUCCAACUCGCAUACUCGUACAUUCAAUGUACUGAUGCCAGUUGGCCUGCAUCGUCUUAUAAUGCAGAUACAGGUAACUAGGAUCGGCAUCCAGCGCACCAUUGAUCCAGUUGAGCACCCCAUAGUCAGUUGGUGAGCCUCAUUGCAUUUCGAAGGACUUAUUUUUAUUGCUUUCAUUUUAUUAUCAUGGAUCAUCGACCGCAUGAUCGUCUCCUCAAGAUCCGGAAAAUGUCCAUAUAUACUCUCAUCCCUAAUCUCUAUUAGCUCCUCGUCGGUGUUUGCAUCCGACUCCUCAACUACUGCAUCAUCGUUAUGUAUAUCUCUGGUGGUAACCGGAGGAAUCCCUAAAGUCUCAGGAGCAUCCAAAUCAUCUGCACCCUCUAGUAAUGAAGUGAAGUCAGUAGCCUUUAGAUAGUCUACAUCCUUCCUCAAAUCAGCAACUUCGACUUUCAAAGCCAUAACCUCGGAGGUCUCCCCCUGCCUGCUCUCAAAAGCCUCAACUCUCGUGGUGAGAGUGUCAAUAGAAGUCUAGAGUGGGGUCAGUGCAGCAAUGAAGACACUCUCAAUCAUUCAUGAGAUGCCUCUCUCAAGUCUGGUAGCCCUCAUAUUAGCUGAAUGGGCCAGGUGCCCCAUCUUCAGGAUCAUCGCCUGAGUAAUCUUAGUCUGUUGGGAGAAAGUGGAUGUGUCUGGAGCAUGUGAAGAAGAGGUAGAGGCAAAAGUACCUGAAGGCCUGGAGGCCGGAGUAGGCGAAGAUGCCUCUGCAGGUAUAGAAUCGAUGUCCACCUCCGGGGAUGUAUCCACAGGAGCUGCCCUCCUCCUGUCAGCCUCCUCUCAAGUGUACUCGGACUCAAUAUGCCGGAUGUCCGUGGAGGAGGAAGGUGUCACCACAAUAUCUCUUGUAUCAUCCCGGGGUACUCCAGCAUGUCGGCAUAACUCUGUGAUCAGGACCGGGAAUGGUAGAGAAGUCUGCCUCUGCUUGGCCCUCACAUCCAUCUCCUGCUCAAUGAAAAGGCCUAAGUCAAUGCUCCUUCGGGAUAUGAUAGAUCCAAGGUAGGCUGCCUUAGGAUAGUGCAGAAUGGCCUCAUUCUGGGAUGGCAUUAUGGUGUUGCUAAUGAAGCCAAACCAGAAAUGAGCAGCAAUACUCAAAUCCCUCUUCUCUAUGGGGACCCUUGCCUCGAUCCAAUUCGGGAUGGUAUUAGAAAUCAGUGAAGCCAACCAUCCCUUCAAUUCAUCUAAGGACUGAGCGACAGGAAAUCCAUCAUAAGGACGUGUCGAAUGUAGAGCUCUACCCAAAACAUUGAUGAUGUGCUCAUUGUUGCACCCAACUUCCUUAAACCUAACCAUGACCGACUAAACCUGUCUAGAUUCGCUGGCCUUUUUCUUACUCCUUGGCACCAGGUCACCAUAUGCAACAUAGAACUCCCGGACCCAUGAAGGAACAUAGGGUCCUCAAGGCUUGGUGAACUGCUCAAAUCUAUGGAAGUGGAGGGUGUCCCUCACAUCGGAGUACUUGCCCUCAAGCCCUUCUGUCAAUAGCAACUUCUCCUCGAGGAUGAUUCGCAGACCAUCACCUUUUAAUCUAUUGAUAAUCCUAGGAGGAGGGACGACUUGUGGCAUAUGAGCCAUAAGAGGUGCCGAAGCUGGCACUGAAUCAGCUGGUGCGGGAGCUGGAGGGACCCUAGUGGAGUCAGGGCGAGAUCUAGCUCGGAUCUCAGCCCUUCGGGACUGUAGGGGUUGGUCAUCCUCAGGCUCACAUAUACUAGCCUACGAGCCAGUAGUCACCCUGUCAGAGAUGGGCCUCUUGCCCUUGCCUUUGUCGCCUAGUGGAAGCUCUUGCCUUCACUUCUUUGGAGGAUUUUAUCCCCCUUCAUUAAUUAUGAUAUCCCGUACCCUUUUCUGAGGUGGCAUGUCGAUGUUUGUUCUUACCAUAUCUGCAAAAGAUCAAGAAAAAGUUAAAAUCAAUUCAAUAAAAUUCACAGAAAUCAGUUGCAGACAGACUCGCCGAUCUACUCGGCGAGUCGCCAAAUCACUUUGGCUAGCUAGAUCGGGUUCGCUGAAAGGACUGGCUGAAAAUUCUCACAAAAAAAAUUGGCAUAUCGGUGAUGGGAAGGUCUUUCGGCGAAUCACCGACAGCAUUCGGUGAGCAAAGGCUAGCCCGUCUAAAGUUACAGUGCAAUUUAAGCAACAGGGUGCAGACAAAGGGCGAUCAGAAGACUUUCGGUGAGCCGCCGAGUGCCUUUGGCAACCUCAGGCUUCUCUCCAAAAGUUACAGAACCAAACUACGCAUCAAGCAUGAAAUUAAAUGCGAGAUGGAGACCUUCGGUGAAUAGCCAUGUGGUUUGGCGAGCUCGACCCAGCUCGCCAAACGACAUAACGUGCCUACUUUCAACCCAACUUCUCGAAUUAAACCCCGCAACCCCCGAAAACAAAAUCAAAGUAUGCACAACUCAAAUUAAAACAAGACCCAUAACACCCAUUACCCCGGGAUACUCAGACUUCUCCCAGUUUUGCCAAUUUUAGCCAUUUGACGACUUAUGCCCUUAAGAAUGGCGUCACCCGCUCUAUCAUUGGGCAAAUUUCGUCAUUUGGCACAACUACGGGUUACUUAGACUUCACUUAACUAGACCCAACAACAUGCAAGCACAACUCCACAAAAAUUUCGUCAAUUUUAAGGCACCAAAUUACGGGAUUUCAACAUUCAAAAGAGUACGGGAAAGAUUAUCAAAUUAAAAUAGGCAUUCAAACAUACUAAUCCUAUCAGAGAGGCCCAGCACACUUCAACAAGAUAAAAUUAUUACAAAUGAUUUCAAAAUGCCAAAAGUAAAUUUGGGGCUCGAAAACCAACCUUAAAUGCCGAUUAAAUUGAUAUUGAAAUACUAGGCUACAAUGUAAUCCCAAUACGAGCACAAAUCAAUGACUAAAAUACUCUAAAAAUGCAAGAAUAUAAAAACUAAUGUACAGGUCUGAGUUUGGGAAGUUCAAAAGUGAGGGAAAGUGAAAGAGUUGGAAGUUUAAACCUUUGGCCUUUUAAGAAACCGUCCAGUUCUAGCCCAUUUGGCGACAUUAGUCGUGCUCGCCGACCCACUCGGUGUCACACCAAGUGGUCACUUACCUCGCUGAGUUUUAUUGGACCUCUAGUUAAUUUGGGGGUCCAAACGGCAGAUUAGAUCACGAUCGCCGAACUAGUCGGUGACUCGCCAAUUAGCUCCUGGGCUCGCCGAGUUUUACAGACUUUAAUUUGAAAUUGUAUUGAGUUGAACGGCAGUCUAGGUCGGGCUUGCCGACCUCUUCAGUGAUGCUCCGACUGGACCUUUAGCUCGCCAACCUGCACUUUCCACACUUCGACCUGCACAAUCAACACACAAUUAUUUCACACUUAAAAAGAAAGAAUAUAAAAACUUGGGUUGCCUCCCAACCAGCUCCUUAGUUAACGUCGCGGCACGACGCAAGUCCACCUUCAAACCUCAUUCUUAGGGUUAGCCAUAGUGUCACUAGGCAACCCCUUUGCUGCCUUGGGUUAAGAUGAGACGAGAUAUGACCCAUUUGGGUCUGCAACUGCUUGAUCAACAUUGAAUGGGAAUUAACGGUCUGGCUAAGGGUCGACACAUCUUCUUUGAAAGUUUUGUAUGACCCUUCCACUUUGUUGAGGAUACGAGAGAGCAUAUCCUCAGACCGGCCACCUUUCGAAUCCUUUGGCUUUUGGCGCUCAUGGGGAGGCACAUACCUAUCCUUCCCCCAUCCUUCCAAUUAGGAUUUCGGUCCCUCCAUUCUUUGUCACGAUCCUUCCAACCUUCGUCUCUGCUCCAACUUUGGUUACCACCCUCCCUCGGGUAGUUUGAACGAUAACUACUGCCUUGGUUGGCUAGGAAAUUCACCUCUUCAUUGUACAAAGCCUCAAACUUUGCCUCCUCAAGAUUAGCACACCCGACACCCACGGCAUUGACACCUCGAGCACCCGCUCCCAUAACAUUUACAGAGGUCUAAGAUGAAGAAUCUUCAACACCCACUUCCAAUUUCUUAGAAAUGGAAAUCUUCAAAUCUUCAAAGCUAAGGAAAAUAUUUUCUCCAAAAACUAAGUUCUAAGCUCUAAAUUUGAAAACUCAAUAAAAUUCGAAUGAUACAAAAACUAGAUCCUAAACUAAGAAUUUCAAAAUGCAUUUAUAGUCGCCCAAAAAAGUGUUGCGAAGGACCAUUCGGCGCAAUAAGUUGGGAUCGCCGAUCCACUCGGUGAUCCACCCUUUGGUCAAUUCUAUCGCCUUUCUGCUUUGGCCUUCAGCAUCUUCAAGUUCUGUAACUUUGGGCGAUAUAGCACUGCAUCUCGGAACCGUUUGGCGACUCGCUGACUGCUCUUUUCUAUCGCUGACUUGAUUUUCUCCUUCAGGGCUUGGCCCACUGGGACAUUAAGCGAGACAUUGGCCAUUCGGCGACUCGCCCAAUGGUUUAGGCGAUCCUCAGGCUUUCUUUUCUUCAUUCUUUCAGCUGCCUUGUUCCUUUUUGCUCAUUAGUGUCCAUUAUUUGCUCCUAAAUCCAAAUACCUGAAAUUCAAGAAUUUACAUCAGUUAUUGGCCCAAAAUAUGCAUUUGAGGACACUAAAUCUAUUAAAAUAAAGCCCUAAAUGAGUCCAAAUCGUGGACUCAUCACGCAUACAACUUCAUGUGCACCAUUACUCAUCACCUAUCUUUCAUACAACAAGUGCCCCUCACUCAACAGAAUAGUCCAUAGACUCAACACAACACAUUGAAUAUAAUUUAAGGACUUCGCAAACAUAGUACGCUCUCAGUCAACAAUGACAUCAUACAUGCAUGCAUUAAGAACCAUAUGCUUGCCCUUUAUGUACAUCUCUACUAAUUAAGCAUGUUUUGCCCAAAAUCGAACAGGACUUUAUGGGUUGUAGUGUAAGCUUGAGGUAAGGGAGGAUACAUUUAGAUAUAAUUAGUGACUUAUCCUCCCUAAUGCACCUGUUUCGAUUUUCUUGCUACAUUCCCAACUCUUUCCUUUCUUUGGCCCCCCUCUCUGCAUAUUUUCCCACUAGUACUUCCAACCUCACCCUUAUUUUUUGCACAUUAUAUAUAUAACCAUAAGUUUUCCCUUUAUAUACAUCUCCACUAAUUAAGCAUGCUUUGCCCAAAAUCAAACAGGACUUUAUGGGUUGUAGUGUAAGCUUGAGAGGUAAGGGAGGAUACCAUAAUAUUUAUGACGUAUAAACGUACACGGUCAUUGCCCAAUUCUUCCAAAUAAAAGUUUAAUUAUUUCCCUCAAACCUCCCGUAGAGGUGAGUUGUGACAUAUUUUCAACCAUACAUGAAUAUGUUCUUAUUCAUAUUUUGCCACAUUCACUUUCGAGAAUGGGUAAACAUUCACAUGUUUAUUACAAGUCACAAUCUCUUCAUGAAUUGUCCAUAACCAUUUAUACAUGUCAUAUCUUUAUAUUUUACAUAUUUACAUCACCCACUUCAACAUCAUUUUGAAAGAUAAAGUGCACCAUCACUUUAUAUUCUUUUAUUUUGAUGGAGGAUUUAUAAAAUUUAUCAGAUUAGGUAGGCAAAAUUUGAAUGUCAAAUGACCUUUCAUACCAAAUCACAAAAACUACUUUCAACCUUUGAAAGACCAUUUUGAGAUGAUAAUAAUUAGCUUUACAUUUUUAAGGACUAUUUGGAGAACCUAUAAUGUUCUUCCUUUCAUAAUUAGCACAAUGGUGACUAUUAUAAUUAUACCUUUCACGCCCUUAUUCAUACAUUUAAUCACUUGUCAUCUUUCAUACUUAUUAUUCACUGCAACCACAUUCGUAUGAUAGAAUGGAGCAUUUGGGUAGAUUUCAAACUUAUCAUAUACUGGUACCACAUUCGUUUAAGGGAAUGGAGCAAAUUCAAUGCGACAAAUUUCAAGACUUUUCAUUAAAAAUAUAUUAUUUUUGCCUUAGCCAUUAUUUUAUCAUCAUUAUGGUGCAUUGAGGCUCAAACUCAAUGUCUUAUCCCUAUAAGACGUGUUAGGCCAUAAUUCCAUGUGACUCGAACCCAAUACCUUAUCAUCAUGGUGCAUCAAAACUCAAAUUGAUGUCUACUUUCAUAUUUCAAUUAAUUAACGGCUAAGCGAUUUCAUAACCUAAGUUUUCCUUAAUACCCUCUUGGUGCGAUAGAACUUGAAUCUAGUACCAUCUUAUCCUCAAACAUUUUUCAUUAUGUGUAUCCGGAUUUUAACCUGGUGUCUUACCCUUUUGGUGUGAUAGGACUUGAAUCCAUCGUCUUACCUUCUAGUAAUUAUAAAUAUUAAUAAGUUCCUCAUAAUUAACACUUAGAAAAUCAGCAUGAAAAUUUACUUCUUUAUUCUUCAAUUCUUUUUUGUUCCUGCUCACAAGUGUUUCAAGUACAACUCUUUUGCGAAGUACUACAAUUUUUAGAGAAUAUUCGUGCUAAUUACGUGUUGUAAAAUACAAGCUCAUAAUAAUAUAUAUUAAUAUAAGAAGACAAGAAAUGUAGAUGAAGAGGAUGACUUUUCUUCUAUUAAAGUGUGUCUUACAAUGAUGAAUGAUAUAUCUAUUUAUAGGUUGAGAAAUCACUUCAAAAGUCACCAUAUUAAGUGUCAUAAUAAAUAGAUACAUUCUUAUCCUAAAAGGUUCAUAGAACCUGGGGAAUAUGAAUAGUUGCUCAUGUAUUAACUUAAUGGACAAUCCACUCAUUCAAUGAAUUUAUAACAUAUUUAUAAUUGUUAGAAUUUUAAAAAAAAUUGUUUGUUUUACCGUGUCCCAACCCCUGACUACCCCUACCCUUGCCCCCCCACAAAAGAAAUUAAAGUUUAUUUUUGAAAAAAUUCAAAUUUUCAUUUUCUUUAACCCACCCCCCUACCAGCCUUCACCCCCCUCCCUCCCAAAAAAAAGGGAUAAGGCACUAGUACCCCCUAGACUAUGACCGAAAUUCCAGAGACACAUCCUAACUAAAUUAAGGUCCUAUUACCAUCCUGAGCUUAUUUAUUUUUGUAAUUUUGUACACCUUUUUGGCCUACGUGGCCUCCAAACAUCUCCCACGUGCCUCACUUUAGUGGAGUCACAGAGUGUGCCACGUAAGCCAAAAGGUGUACAAUAUUACCCAAAAAAUGAGUUUCGGGGGGGGGGGGGAUAGGACCUUAGAUUAGUUAAGGUGUGUCUCUGAGAUGUCGGUCAUAGUCUAGGGGGGUACUUGUGCCUUAUCUCCAAAAAAAAUUAAAAGUUUAUUUAUUUUUUUUAAAAUUCAAAUUUCAAAUUUUCAUUUUUUAACCUGACCCCCUACCAGCCACCCCUCAAAAAAUAAUAAUUUAAAAGUUAGUUUUUGAAAAAUAUUUUCAAAUUUUAAAAAAUUAUUCUUUCACCCCACCCUACCCUGAUCUCCUCUACCAGCCCUACCCUCCCCUCCAAAAAAAAAUAAUUUUAAAGUUUGUUUUUCAAAAUAUUUUUAAAUUUUUAUUCUCCCCCCCCCCCUCACACACACACACAAGAAAUUUAAAAUUUUGUUUUUAGAAAAAAAAUCAUUUUUUUGUUUUUUUAAAAAAAAAUCGUAUUUUAAAAGUUAGGUCCCCAAUCAGGUGUGGUUGGAUCCAUGUUCGAAAGUUAGAGUCGGAAUUCCGAUAUGAAAGUCAAAUCUUGGGUCUCACAUCGAUGGUUGGUUGUCAGAGUCGAUUUCUAAUUUGAAAGUCGGGUCUCAAUUCGAGUGUCAACAUCGAAGCCCAGAUUGAUGGAUCAUGCACAAGUUCGAGUGUCGGGGUCAGGUCCUAGGUUGGAUAUCCAAUCCCAAUUUGAAUGUUGAAUGUUGGAUCUCGGGACGAAAGUCAGGGUCAGGUCCUGGGUCAAUCUCAAGGUCGGAUUUCAGAUCUUUCGUCAGGGUUGUGUCCUAGUUCGCGUGUCAGGGUCAUGUCCUAGAUCAAUUAUUGAGGUUGGUUUCCAGGUAAAAAAUUAGUUUCUACUCUCUAGUAAAAAAUAAAAAGAUAUUUUCUAAAAAAUGCUUAGUUUUUCAUUCACAAACCAAACACUAACAAAUAUUUUCCGUUAAAUAUUUUCUACUCUCCAACAAACAUGAGGAAAUCGGUCAUAAGUCCACUUGUUUCCCAGGAAAACAUUUUCCUUCAUACCAAACACACACUAAAUCAGUAUUAGUUAAUAGAACAUCUUGUAUUUAUCUCAAAUUAUACUAAUCCAUCAUUAAUUAGAUAUUAAAUUAAGAUAGCGAUAACUAUUUUACUAUAUUUUAUUGAUAAUUGUGUAUUUGAAGUGACAUACAAUUAUUGGAGUGUUGUAAAUAACAAAUGUGAAUUUAAAAACUCAGUAUAUUUCUUGAGUUCUUUAUAGAUUUUUUAAUUUUUUUUUUUGAGUAAAUUGCUCUCUAUUUUCCCAAAUAAGCAAACCAAUCGUGAAUGAGGAAAUAGGUUCAUCAACGUUAGACUAAUACUUUGCAUCUAGCAAUUGAUACUAGUAAACCUAAUAUGAACCAAUACCAUUAGUAGUAAUUAAUUAUCAUUUCCUUAGAACUGCUUAAAAGUUACCAGAUAAAAAGUGAACAUUAAGGAAAUAACUAUAUUUAGCGAGCCAUAAUUUAUAUAUUUUUUUAAAAGUAAAAUAAAUUGAUAGUAUGUGUAUAUUAUUGACAGUAUACGAAAAUUUGAUAGAAAUAAAAUAUUGGUCGGUAGCAAAGCAUCCACUUCCCUUGUCUUCAAUUAAGAUGCCUCCCAUCAAAUCUAGACCGCACAUAAUUGUGUGACUUAACAAUAAUUAAUGAAGUUGGUAAAAUCAAUUCCAUGGGAUUAAUACGUAAGUGAUUUUAGUUUAUUUGUUUAAAUUAUAGUUAAUAGAGUUUUAUAUAUAUAUAUAUAUAUAUAUAUAUAUAUGAUAAAAGAUAUUGUAGAAAAUAUGCACAAGUUUUCCGUCCACGGGUGGAUAAAUUUAUGAAAUAUAACUUGAGAGCAUAAAUUUCCAAAGCAUAAGCAAAGUAAAUUUCUAUAAGUGAAUGAAAAUAAAACGAGAACAAAAUUUGCGCAUCAAGCCUCAUGAAACCUAUUAAUACAUAUUAUUGCUACUCACUAAUCAUAAAUUUCCUUAAAAUGGUUGAACUUCAAAUUUACCUUAUCUGAUUUGUGUCUCGUAUUUGAUGAUGCAUCUUUGGAGCUAGGGGGGCUCACAUUGUGGUGUCAAUCUCUUAGUCAAUCCUGACUUGUCACUUAUGCCAUAUGUCAGUUUUUGAUUCAUCUAUCUAUCGAUCUUGAUAAGUUUUACCCUAUAUAGAUUAUCACGCCUCUAUCCUACACCCCAAAAAUUGCCGGCAUUUAGAAACUAUUGUUGGUCCCAAGAAAACCUUUGGUUUUGCUGACUACGGAGCGGAAGACUAUACAUACAUGCAGAAGCCUUAUAAAGUGAACAUUUAAAAUCAAUUAAAUAUAUCUCAUACAAAUGUCUGAAAUUAAUUUGAAUAUGAAUAAUGAUAAUAAUGUUUAAACUUCUGAAUACAAAAUACUGAAUUGACUCAUUGACGUUGUCUAUCUAUGGAACCUCUACUAACUAAUGAUAGGUGUUGGGACAAGACUCAUGACUACCUGACUAUUCAACUAACAAUGAUUGAAAAAUUAAAUAAACUAUACUAACUAAAUUAGAACCCCUCGGAAGUGAGGAGAUCUCACCAAAUGCUAGUGGAAAGUGAUCUUACUGAACGUCUGCUAUCAAAAGUACCUGAAACUGCAUUAUAAUAUGAUGCAGUGUCAAAUGGCGUCUGUACAUGAAUGUACGGUAUGUAAUAAGACUGAAUGAAAUAAAUUAUUGAACUGAAAAGAAACUAAAAAAAGCAUGAACAUGAGGUGAAAUAAUUAAAUCUCUACAAUGAGAUAUGCAAUAAUAGCAAAAUACUAAAAUAAUAUACUUUACUUUUCUUGGAGAGUUUUAACCGAAAACCAUCACUAUGAGCCUCGUGAUAAUACAAUGUCUAGCCCAUGUUGCCAGUCAUCCUAUACCUUAUCGGAGUAUAGGACAACAAAACUUAACCUAUGGAUCCAUCUGAAAAGCACUCAACAAGGUUGUGAGGAGUCGCCCGAAUCAACGACAUGAUCCUAUCUAUGAUGGCGACACAAUUUAUGGGUUUUGAGUUGUUAACUCUUACCCAAAUCGGUGCUCAAUAUUGUAAACCUUAUAAGAUAUGAUUCCAAAUCAUAUCUGAUAUGAUUCCAAAUAUCAUAUAUGAUUCUAAAAUAUCUGGGACAAUAUUCUAAUUUAACUAAGCACAAUCACACCAUUGAUAUUGUGCAAGAUAUGAUAUGAUAUUGUGCUAGAACCAUGCUUGUAUCUUUGUAUAUAAAUAGUGGAUAGUUUAUCAAUUGUAAAGGAUAGAAAUACAUAAUAGUUUUCAACUCUUUUUGGUCACUAAUUUCUCAAUAGUUAUCAUGGUAUCAAGAGCCUAAUUGUUUUCCAGGAACUAGUUUAAUUUGCUCCUUAUUGUUGUUUGAUUUCUAUCAUCGGAUAUCUCUUGUCUUUCUAAUGGAGUCACAUUCUCAUGACAUUUUGUCUACCAAAUUUGAUGGAAAAAAUUAUCUGAUGUUGCACUCAGUCUACGUCCAUUCAACUUGGAAGCAGAGAUGUGGAAGCAUCUCAAAAAGGUAUAUUCUCAAUGUAAUUGUAGCACCCCGACUUUUUGAAAAGUCUAAAUUAACUCGUACCUUCAUGGAAAGACAAAGAGGGUGAGUUAUAAUUAAGAAUGAUGUGGUAUGUCAUAUUUUAAGUGUUCAAGGGCUGUAUCUCAAGUUUUAAAGUUAGGCAAGGGGCAACAUAAAAGUUGGCGCAAGUUAUCGUAAGUUCUUUCUUAAAGAUUUCUUUGAAAUUUGGGUCAAAUGUCUCGGAGGUUAUCUCUCAAUCUAUAAAGAGUUAUGGGCCCACGAACUACCAAAUCGAAGGUCUACGAGUCUAGUUUUCAACGCAUCAAAUCAUUCGUUAAUACGACUUUAGAAUAAAAAGAUAUUCGUGUUUCACGAGACUGCACAAGCAGGCAUGUGAGGUGGAGCCCUAGGUCGGUGGAACUUUUUAUAUAUCUUCUUCUUAGACUUUUUCUCAAUUUUUUUAGUUAAAAACCAGAAAACAUAGAUAUCCCAUUUCUAGGAUCAACCAAAUCAUAUAUUUUCUCGACUUAAGUCCUUGAUGAAAGUUGUUCUACGCAUUGAGCUCGUCAUUAUUGUAUAAUUUGUUAUAUCGAUUUCGUAGCAUAUCAUACUUUGGUGUCGGGACAGCAAGGUUUUGGACAUAUUUUAAGGUUUUGAGGUGUAUUACGAACUUAUGAUCAAGGUGAGACCCUUCUUUCAUCAAUUCUAGCUUUGAUAAGCCUCAAAUGGCAAUUUGCGACGGAAAUACAUAUCUUUUAUCGAAUUAUCAUGGCAUCUUCUAUUCUUGUGUGUUGAUUAUGGUCCUGCCUUGUUGUAGUAUCGAGGGUGUUUGUGAGUAAAAGUCAUUAGGCCAUGUGAGUUCAGCAAAAAAGGUAUGUUAAGUCUAUUCCCUUCUUAUGGCAUGUUUCCUUAAAGCUUAGGAGCAAGGUAAUUGGGAUGUUAUCGCUGUUAUACUUGUAGCAUUAUUGUUGAUUGUUGAUUGUCGGCUGCUCGAGUUGAUAUAAUCCUCCCUUGUCGGGAUUCUUAUUCAGUUAGUAGCGUCCCUAUGUCAUACAUGACUUAGAGUCUAUUCGUAUAGGUUGCUUAUAGCAAAAUUGUUCGCUUUUAGCCUAUUGGAUUGUUAUUGCCUCCCUUGGGGCAAUUGUGGUUAGCUGCAGGAAUGUGAUCAAUGCCUAGAAGGGCUAUGGUCUACCUACGGGGUUAUAUUGAUGCCUAGAAGGUCUACGAGUUACCUACGGGGCUAUAUUGAUGCCUAGAAGGGCUAUAAGUUGCCUACGGGGUUAUAUUGAUGCCUAGAAGGUCUACGAGUUACCUACGGGGCUAUAUUGAUGCCUAGAAGGGCUAUAAGUUGCCUACGGGGUUAUAUUGAUGCCUAAGAAGGCUAUGUGCUGCCUACAAGGCCAUGUUGUUUCCUAAGAGGGCUAUGGGUUUUCUAUAAGUUAUAUUGAUGCCUAAGAGAUCUAUGUGCUACCUAUGGGGCUAUAUUAAUGCCUAAGAGGGCUAUAUGACUACCUACGAGGCUAGGGGGAUACCGAUAGGGGUAUAUAGACUGGUUGGAAACUUAUGGGCUUAUGGUGGCCUGGGUAGGUGGUGUUAUGUGUUGUUUGUACCUGCCAAGCUUAUGGGGUUUGGUUAGAUUAUUGUUUUAUUAUUUUUUAUUAGUUUAGAUUUAGGAGCAGGUGAGUACAUUUAUCUUAUCGUUGAUUUAUUUAUCAAAUUACUCCCAGUAUAUUAGGAUACCUGCUCAUAGUCUAUUGCCUUUCAUACUCGGUAUAUUAUUUCGUAUUGAUACCCCAUUACAUGGGGGUACUGCAUUCAUGCUUGCAGGCCCUGGCAGACGACCCAGUAGACCUCCUCAGCAGCAUGUUUGACUUAUAUAUGGUUGGCAAGCCCCUUUCCUCCGUAGCAGCCAAAGUUGGGAGGUUUGUUAGCUUUUGUUGUAUAUAUUUUUAUGGGUAGGCUGGGGCCCUGUACCGCCGAUCUUUACUACUCUUAGAGGCUUGCAGACUAGUGUGUGAGAUGUAUAGCUAUCUUAUGGCCAUGCUGGCCUAGUUUGUUGGUUUACUAAAGCUUGCUAGUUAUCUGAUGUAUUGUCUUGAUAUAUAUACCUACUUUAAGUUUCGGUAAAGAGAUCAUGGCGGCCUCGAUGGCCAAUCAAGACUUAUAUGCUAGUUGGCUAUUUCUGUAUAUGAAUUCUUGGGAGUAGUUGUUUAUUUUAUAGAUCUGUUGACAGGGACCUUGCCGGUCGAUGGCUUAAGUUUAAGCCGAGAUAUACUUGUUUGUUUUCUUGAUUGCGUGUGGCUGCCAUGCGCUAGUAGCAAAUGGUUCAGCAAAGUUGGCUCGGGCCUACGUUUUGGCAUUAGGAGCCAUUUGCGCCCCUUGAGUUUGGGGUGUGACAAACUUGGUAUCAAAGCAACGUCGUAUCCUAGGGAGUCUACAAGCCGUGUCUAGUAGAUUCUUGUUUAUAAAUGUGUUGUGCACCACAUUCGAUAAGCAAGAAGCUACCGGGCAUGUUAGAAUGAAUAUCCUUCUUUUAGUCACCUCGUGUUAUAGAGCGGUGUCUUAAGGGUAAAGGUUUCUUGCUUAUAAUUGAUAUUUGUAUGCAGAUAGAGAUGGCUGACACCAGACAGACCACAGCUAGCCAGGGGAGAGAUACAGCUGCAGGCGGGGCUACCGGCAAGGUACCACAGGUGGAGGUAGCCCAUUGUGAGACCCAGGGGGAGACAUCUUCUCAACCCCGUAUAGCUUCUCCACUGCUUUAGGAGCCUCUGAGGGCUACAGUACCCCCGGCUCCACCAGCAAUACCACCUUUAGUUCCUCCUAUUCCAUCUGAUGAGGAUUUCAAGAGUGCAGUAUGUAUGUUAGCACAGUUAGUAGCUGCACAGCGCCAGCAAGUUAUGCCAGAUGUUGCCAUACCUUCUGAAGGGACCAGAAGUUUGAGAGUUCAUGAAUUUCAUGCCUUGAAUCCUCCACAGUUUACAGGGACAGAUCACAGAGAGUACCCUCAACACUUUGUUGAUCAGCUUUAUAGGAUCUUCAGAGUCAUGCAUGCCUCAGCGACUGAGUUAGUUGAGUUAGCAGCAUUACGAUUGCGUGAUGUUGCAGUAUUGUAGUACGAAAGUUAGGAGAGAUCUAGGGGAUAAGAUACAUCUCUACCCACUUAGGAUAGCUUUAGAGAAGCUUUCAUAAAUCACUAUUUACCUCGAGAGAUUAGGGAUGCCAGGUGGACCAGUUUCUGAAUCUACGACAGGGCAGCAUGAGUGUCCGAAAGUACGGGAUGAGAUUUGAUUCAUUGGCUAGAUAUGCACCAGCAUUUGUUUAUACGAUGCAUGACAGGGUGCGUAGAUUUGUGGGAUGGCUUGACUCAGACUAUAUCGACACUUGUUCUACCGCUGCACUAAAUGAUAAUAUGGAUAUCUCGCGAAUUCAAGCCUUUUCACAGAGCAUAGAGGAUCGCCGACAUCUACAGUAUAUGAGUGAGAGAGAGAGAGAGAUAGAAGAUGUCUAUUCCCGCUGGUUCACAGGGAGAUUUUCAGGGUGGUCCCAGACCAUGAUAUUCUAGUAGGCCAGCUAAACCUCCACCACAGCAGUUCCAGGGUAAUAAAUUUGAUCAUUAGGGAUAAUCAGGCCCAGGUGAGGGUUCACGAGCAUCAGGCUAUCAACAGCAGAGGGGUUCAGGCCAGGCUAGGACAGCCCCGCCGCAUUGUUCUACUUGCGGUAUCGUGCAUUUUGGGAGGUACAGGUAUGGUUCCACAGGUUGUUAUUCUUGUGGACAGGAGGGGCAUGGGUGGAGGAACUUCCCGACCAUAGGUCAGGGUGGUAGAGGUCAGUCGACCGGGUCAGGAGUAGGUUUCUCCUCAUUAGCACAGUCUACAGGGCAUGGACCCCAAACUUCAGCAGGUAAAGACAGAGGCUGAGGCAAAGAGGGAGCAUCUAGUUCUGGUAGCGGCCAGAACAGUAUAUAUUUACUAGCCGGCCGACAGGACUCAAAUUCAUCUCCAGAUGUUAUGACAGGUGCAUUGAUUGUUUGCUCCCAUUGUGUUUAUGCUUUGAUAGAUCCUGUUUCUAUUCUGUCUUAUGUUACUCCAUUUAUUGAGGGGAAGUUAUGUAUAGUAGUAGAGUCAUUAGAUCGACUCUUUAUUGUAUCUACACCAGUUGGUGAGUCUAUUAUUUCCAUGAGAGUCUAUCGAGGUUGUACGAUAGAAAUGUUUGACUGCCAUACCUCUAUAGACUUGGUAGAGUUAGAGAUGGUCGAUUUUGACAUCAUUAUGGGUAUGGACUGGUUAGCGUAUUGUUAUGCUAAUGUUGAGUGUCGGACAAAGAUUGUUAGAUUCCACUUUCCAGGAGAGGCAGUUCAGGAAUGGAAAGGCGAUACAGCAACGUCGAAAGGCAGGUUUAUUUACUAUCUUAAGGCGAGGAGGAUGAUUAGUAAGGGUUGUAUUUAUCAUCUUGUUCUCAUUCAUAAUAUAGAUGCAGAACCACCGACUCUUCAGUUUAUUCCGAUAGUUAAUGAGUUUCUAGAUGUAUUUCCAGACAAUCUUCGUGGAAUCCCUCUAGAAUGAAAAACUGUUAUUGCUAUCGAUAUGCUACCAAGUACACAACCCAUAUCUAGCCAUCCUUAUAUAAUGGCUCUUUCUAAGCUAAUGAAGUUGAAGGAUCAGCUGAAAGACUUGCUAGAUAAAGGCUUUAUCGGGCCUAGUGCUUCACCAUAGGUGCGCCAGUGUUAUUCGUGAGGAAAAAGGAUGGCUCAAUGAGAAUGUGUAUCGAUUACCAACAGUUGAAUAAGGUGACUAUAAAGAAUUAGUAUCCCCUUCCGAUGAUCAAUGACUUGUUUGAUCAGUUACAAGGUGCUAAGUGUUUCUCGAAGAUUGAUUUAAGAUCAGGGUACCACCAGGUAUGAGUUCAGGAGAAAGACGUUCCAAAUACAGCUUUUAUAACCAAAUAUGGACACUUUGAGUUCUUGGUAAUGUCUUUUAGAUUAACUAAUGCCCCAGAAGUGUUCAUGGACCUGAUGAAUAGUAUAUUCAGGCCGUAUCUAGACUUGUUUGUGAUUGUAGUUACUGAUGAUAUUUUGGUGUAUUCACGUUCAAAAGCUGAGCAUGCAGAUCAUCUGCGAGCAAUCCUUCAGGUUCUUCCAAACCGAAAACUUUAUGCAAAGUUUUCUAAGUGUGAGUUCUGGUUGGACUCUGUAUCUUUCUUAGGCCAUAUUGUAUCAAAUGCAUGCAUUACAGUUGAUACACAAAAGAUUGAGGUCGUAAAGACAAGACCCAUUACUCCGACUGAGGUUCGUAGUUUCUUAGGGUUAGCUGGGUAUUACACAAGGUUUGUAGAGGGGUUUUCUUUACUUUCAGCACCAUUAAUGAAGUUGACUCAAAAAGCAGCUAAGUUCUAGUGGACUGAGGCUUUCGAGUAUAGUUUCCAGGAGCAAUAUCAGGACCAGUUCUAGCAUUGCCAGAGGGUUCAGAGGGCUAUACGGUGUAUUGUGAUGCUUCUAGUGUUGAUUUGGGAUGUGUUCUAAUGCAACAUGGUAAGGUUAUCAUAUAUGCUUCAAGGCAAUUGAGGAUGCAUGAGAAGAACUAUCCGACCCACGAUUUAGAGUUGGCUGCAAUUAUGCAUGCGUUAAAGAUCUGGAGACACUAUUUGUAUGGCGUUCAUGUUGACAUCUUCACAGAUCAUAAAAGCCUUUAGUAUAUCUUUAGACAAAAGGAGUUAAAUCUGCGACAGCGUGGAUGGCUUGAGUUACUGAAAGACUACGACGUGGAUAUUUUAUAUCAUCCAGGAAAGCCGAAUGUGGUAGCCGAUGCCCUCAAUCGAAUAUCUAUGGGUAGUUUAUCCUAUUUAGUGUUGAGAAGCGUGAGUUAGCGCAAGAUUGAUAAUGGGGUCAUAAUUAAGGACACAACCGUAUCAUCUUUAGUUGUGGAGGUAAAAGCACGGCAACAGGAGAAUCCUGGGUUAGAGCAGCUCAGAGCCAAGGCUCAGAAUCAACAGUCUUUACCAUUUGAUAUAGCAGGAGAUGGAGUCCUUAGAUAUAGUGAUCAAUUGUGUUUUCCGGAUGUUGCAGGGCUUCGACAUCAGAUUAUGGAAGAGGCGCAUCAUUUCUAUUAUUCUAUUCACCCUAGUUCGAGGAAGAUGUACCAUGAUAUUAAGGAGAUCUAUUGGUGGCACGGGAUUAAGAAAGACUUUGCUGAGUUUGUGGCACAGUGUCCUAACUACCAACAGGUGAAGGUUGAGCACCAAAAGACCGCUGGGCUAGUCCAGUAGAUAGACAUUCCUUUGUGGAAUUGGGAAUCAAUUAAUAUGAAUUUUAUUACAGGGUCACCUCGAUCGCGUCGUAAAUUUGACUCUAUUUGGGUAAUUGUUGACAGACUAACAAAAUCAGCCCGCUUCUUACUAGUCAGGGCUACUUUUACAGCUGAAGACUAUGCAGGGCUCUAUAUUAGAGAGAUUGUUAGGUUACACGGUGUACCAGUAUCUAUUAUCUUUGAUAGAGGAGAACAAUUUACCGCUAACUUUUGGAGGUUCUUCCAGAAAGGACUGGGGAAACAGGUUAAUCUUAGUACAGCCUUUCACCCUCAGACAGAUGGCCAGGCUAAGUGCACAAUUUUGACACUCGAGGAUAUGUUACGGGCGUGCGUGCUAGACUUCAAGGGAAGUUGGGAUGACCACUUGCCUUUUAUGGAGUUCGCAUACAAUAAUAGUUAUCAUUCUAGCAUUAGUAUGACACCUUAUGAGACUUUGUAUGGGUGAAAAUGUACAUCCCCAUUGGAUGGUUCGAGGUAGGUGAGUCAGGGUUGAUUGGACCCGACUUAGUACAGCAGACACUGGAGCAGGUUAAGCUCAUUCGGGAGAGGUUGCUAACAGCUCAAAGCCGACAGAAGUCAUACUAAGAUAUGCGAUGAAGGGACUUAGAGUUUUGUGUCGAUGACUUGGUAUUCUUAAAAGUCUCGCCUAUGAAGGGUGUUAUGAUAUUUGGCAAGAAAGACAAGCUUAGUCCAAGGUUCAUUGGACCAUACCAGAUCCUUCGAAGGGUAGGACGAGUGGCUUAUGAGCUAUAAUUGCCUUUGGGGCUAGAAUCUGUUCAUCCAGUUUUCCAUGUAUCGAUGCUAUGGAAGUGCAUAUGAGACCCUUAUUGGGUUGUCCCAAUUGAGAAUGUUCAGAUCACAGAGAAGUUGUCCUACGAGGAAACUCUAGUUUCCAUAUUAGAUCGACAGUUCCAUAAAUUGAGGACCAAAGAGGUGGCUUCAGUUAAAGUAUUGUGGAGAAAUAACAAUAGAGAAGAGGUGACCUGGGAAGCUGAGGAUGGCAUGAGGUCCAAAUAUCCUCACUCGUUUCAUACCCCAGGGUGAUGACAUAUCAGUUUAUAUUAGUGUAGUGAGGUUAGACNNNNNNNNNNNNNNNNNNNNNNNNNNNNNNNNNNNNNNNNNNNNNNNNNNNNNNNNNNNNNNNNNNNNNNNNNNNNNNNNNNNNNNNNNNNNNNNNNNNNNNNNNNNNNNNNNNNNNNNNNNNNNNNNNNNNNNNNNNNNNNNNNNNNNNNNNNNNNNNNNNNNNNNNNNNNNNNNNNNNNNNNNNNNNNNNNNNNNNNNNNNNNNNNNNNNNNNNNNNNNNNNNNNNNNNNNNNNNNNNNNNNNNNNNNNNNNNNNNNNNNNNNNNNNNNNNNNNNNNNNNNNNNNNNNNNNNNNNNNNNNNNNNNNNNNNNNNNNNNNNNNNNNNNNNNNNNNNNNNNNNNNNNNNNNNNNNNNNNNNNNNNNNNNNNNNNNNNNNNNNNNNNNNNNNNNNNNNNNNNNNNNNNNNNNNNNNNNNNNNNNNNNNNNNNNNNNNNNNNNNNNNNNNNNNNNNNNNNNNNNNNNNNNNNNNNNNNNNNNNNNNNNNNNNNNNNNNNNNNNNNNNNNNNNNNNNNNNNNNNNNNNNNNNNNNNNNNNNNNNNNNNNNNNNNNNNNNNNNNNNNNNNNNNNNNNNNNNNNNNNNNNNNNNNNNNNNNNNNNNNNNNNNNNNNNNNNNNNNNNNNNNNNNNNNNNNNNNNNNNNNNNNNNNNNNNNNNNNNNNNNNNNNNNNNNNNNNNNNNNNNNNNNNNNNNNNNNNNNNNNNNNNNNNNNNNNNNNNNNNNNNNNNNNNNNNNNNNNNNNNNNNNNNNNNNNNNNNNNNNNNNNNNNNNNNNNNNNNNNNNNNNNNNNNNNNNNNNNNNNNNNNNNNNNNNNNNNNNNNNNNNNNNNNNNNNNNNNNNNNNNNNNNNNNNNNNNNNNNNNNNNNNNNNNNNNNNNNNNNNNNNNNNNNNNNNNNNNNNNNNNNNNNNNNNNNNNNNNNNNNNNNNNNNNNNNNNNNNNNNNNNAAGAGGUGACCUAGGAAGCUGAGGAUGGCAUGAGGUCCAAAUAUCCUCACUUGUUUCAUAUCAAUUUAUAUUAGUACAGUAAGGUAACAUACCUAUCUGAUUUUUUUUAUAUUGUUGCUUAUUAUUAUGGUUGUUCUCGUUGUGUUUUUGCUCGCACUGUUAUUGCGGAGCUAUAGUGCUUAGCUAUUUAUGUCAUCUUGUGAGACACCUAGGUUAGAAUUUGUACAUUUCAGGUUUCUGGAUAGUCACAUUUACAAAGGAUACUCUGCCUAAAUCUUGGCAACUCCUAAGGAAUUAACCGCGUGACUCAAAUUUUUCAUUCGAGGACGAAUGUUUCUAAGGGGGGAGAAUGUAACACCCCGACUUUUUAAAAUGUCUAGAUUAACUUGUACCUUCGUGGAAAGACAAAGAGAUUGAGUAAUAAUUAAGAAAGAUGUGGUAUGUCAUAUUUUAAGUGUUCAAGGGUUGUAUCUCAAGUUUUGAAGUUAGGUAAGUAGGCAAACAUAAAAGUUGGCGAAAGUUAUCGUAAGUUCCUUCUUAAAAAUUUCUUUGAAAUUUGGGUCAAAUGUCUCGGAAGUUGUCUCCCAAUCUAUAUAGAUUUAUAGGGACCACGACCUGCCAAAUCGAAGAUCUACGAGUCUAGUUUCCAACGCAUCAAACCAUUCGUUAAUACAAACUUCAGAAUAGAGAGAUAUUUGUGUUUUUGCGAGACAGCACAAGCAGGCAUGUGAGGUGGGGCACUAGGUCGGUGGAACUUUUUUACAUCUUCUUCUUCGACUUUUUCUCCAUUUUUUUCUAGUUAAAAAACAAGAAAACUUAGAAAACCCAUUUCUAGGAUCAACAAAAUCAUAGAUUUUCUUAACUUAAGUCCUUGAUGAAAGUUGUUCUACGCGUUGUCAUCAUGGUAUAAUUUGUUUUAUCAAUUUUGUAGCAUAUUAUACUUUGGUUUUAAGACAGCAAGGUUUUGGACAUAUUUUAAGUUUUUGAGAUGUAUUACGAACUUAAGAUCAAGGUAAGACCUUUCUUUCAUCAAUUGUAGCUUUGAUAAGCCACAAAUGGCAAUUUUAGAUGGAAAUACACAUCUUUUAUCGGAUUAUCGUGGUAUCUUCUAUUCUUGUGUGUUGAUUAUGGUCUUGCCUUGUUGUAGUAUCGAGGGCUUUUGUGAGUAAAAGUCAUUAGGCCACGUGAAUUCAGUGAAAAAGGUAUGUUAAGGCUAUUCCCUUCUUACAACAUGUUUCCUUAAAGCUUAGGAGCAAUGUAAUUGGGUUGUUAUCGUUGUUAUACUUGUAGCAUUAUUGUUGAUUGUUGGCUGCUCGAGUUGAUAUAAUCCUCCCUAAGAAGGCUAUGUGCUGCCUAAAGGACCAUGUUGUUGCCUAAGAUGGAAAUGAGUUUUCUAAAAGCUAUAUUGAUACCUAAGAAAGAUAUGUGCUGGCUACAGGGCUAUAUUAAUGCCUAAGAGGGCUAUGUGACUGCCUUCGAAGCUAGGGGACUACUAAUAAGGGUAUAUAGACUGAUUGGCACCUUCUCGGCUUAUGGAGGCCUGGGUUACUGGUCUUGUGUGCUAUUUGUACAUGCCGAGCUUAUGGGGGCUUGGUUAGGUUGUUGUUUUAUUAUUUUUUAUUAGUUUAGAUUUAGGAGAAGGUCAGUACACUUAUCUUACCCUUGAUUUAUUUAUCGGAUUACUCCCAGUAUAUUAGGAUACCUGCUCAUAGUCUAUUGCCUAUCAUACUCGGUACAUUAUUUCAUAUUGAUACCCCAUUUUCUGGGGGUACUGUAUUCAUACCUGCAGGUCCCGGCAGACGACCCAGUAAACCUCCUCAAUAGCAGGAUUGAAUUGUUUCCGGUUGGCUAUCCCCUUUCCGCCAGAGCAGCCAAAGUUGGGAGGUUUGUUAGCUUUUGUUGUGUAUAUUUUUAUGGGUUAGGCUGGGGGCCUGUCCCGCCAAUUUACUACUCUUAGAGGCUUGCAAACUAGUGUGUGGGAUGUAUAGCUACGUUAUGUCCAUGUUGGUCUAGUUUGUUGGUUUGCUGAAGCUUGUUAGCUGUUAGAUGUAUUGUCUUGAUAUAUACCUGCUUUUGGUUUCGGUAUAGAGAUAAUGAUGGCCUCGACGGCCCAAUCAAGACUUAUGUGCUAGUGGCUAUUUCUUUAUAUGAACUCUUGGGAGUAGUUGUUUCUUUUAUAAAUCUGUUGACAGGGACCUUGACGACAGAGGGCUUAGUUUUAAGCCGAGAUAUACUUGUUUCACUACAAAAAAAUUAGUGUUUAUCGUGGGAUGAAAUUCGGUGCUAAUCUAUGAUAUUCUGUUGCUAAAUAGGAUUAGUGAUGGAUUAGCGAUAGUUUAUUGAUUGUUACUAUAUCUCUCGUUGAUAAUCUCUUAGUGACAAAAAAAUGUGUUCCGUCACAAGUUUAGCGACGGCUUAGAGACGAAAGAUAUAUGUCCCCACUUGUUAGUGACGGACUAAUCCGUCAUUAUAUUUAUAUUGUUUGUUGCUAAUUUCAUAAUUCAUUUCGUCAAUUUUGAUAAAUUCGUGACAGAUUUUUUGUCGCUAAUCUGUCGCAACAUAUUUCGUCGUUUGAGCCAGCACAUUUGGAACAAAAAAAAAUGUCACUGGUCCGUCGCCAUCAUUUCUUUAUGUAGCAAUGACCAAAUAAUCGCUAUAUUUGUUGCUAAAUGUUUUCUUUGUAAAUUUGAUUUAUUUUGUUUUAAAUAUACACUGCCUAUAUAAUUUAAAUUAAAUUGCUAAAUACCCCAAAAAUAAUCAACAUAUAAAAUAAUAUCAUAGAUGGUUCAAAAUAUAUAGAAUAUCAAAAUUGCAUAUUUUCGAUUCAAAACAUCCAAAAACAAUAUAUCAACUGUUCUUAAAAGAACCUACAUUCAUCAAAUAUUGUUACUACAAAAUUUGUACUUUCCAAAAAAGUAGACAAUAUAAAAAAAAAGGGAUACGAUUGUCAUGUGAAACUAAGGAUCAACCUCGUCCUCAUUAGUAGUAGUUGAAGAAGGUACUAAGGGUGUCACAGUUGAUGGGUUGUCAAUGUGAGUACUCACUUCUUGUACCCUCUCAAUAACAACAAGAAGAAAGUGAUUAGUAAGUGCAGGAUCGAUAUCAGUUUGAGACACUGUCUUUUCCCGCAAUAUUUCCUCAUAUUUUUCCUGUAACAAGUAGAGGAAAAAUGAAAGCAUUAAACAUUGGGAACAAAAUAUAUUUUGAAGGCCAAUAAAAAACAUGCAUAACCUUUUAAGCAUUAGCAUUAAUGUACAAAUUGGGCCUUCAAAUUUCAAGCCUUAACAAUUCAUAACUACAUAAGAAGUUUCUAAAAUAUAAUAAUAUGUGCAGUUGAUCAAUAAUAUGUAAGGGAAUAUGCAGCCCAACAGAGAAUAUGUAGGGAAAAAAGGAAAGAAAGAGAGAGUCGAAACGGACUCAUCACAGUUGUAUAGCAUAGAUGGACAAAAUAAGAAAAAUAAGUAUCAAAACAAGGAAAUGUAUGAACUACCAUUUAACCCAUCACAUAAGUACUUGACUCUUUGAAGCAAACAUAGCCUUGUUUUCUUCAUGAAGAUAAUGCAUAAGAACUGAUAUAUCAAGGCUUUCAUAAAAUUCAUAAUUAAAUAUCGUUCAUGGGGUGAAAUAAGCAUGAUCAAUGAUUAAGAGUCUUCCAAUCAAUUAAUAUACUGAAAUAGACACAACAAAAUCAAUAAUUAAUGAUAAGAAAGUAAGUAGAACCCUCGAAUGUAGUAAGCCUUGGGUUUGAAACCCUAGUUGAACCUUGCUAACUGAAAUUUAGAUGUAGGGCGUGAGGAAGAACUCACUAACUCACUAUGAUAGCCUUACAUACCUUAAAUCACUCUAAUUGAAACUCUAAGUUCGAAGAGGAUCCCUAAAAGUCUCUUCUUGAACUUUAGGAUGAGUUCUUGUUUUCACUAGAUAUGAGAGAAAGAUUUGAUGUACAAUCUUAUUAAGAAUUUGUGAUUAGAGAUUGAAUUUUUUUAGAACUAAUUUAGGUACACGAGAGUAACAUACUUUAGUAUUAAAGAUGCAGGAGAUUAGAGAAUUUGAGAGAAAAUAAGCCCCAGGUCGUCCAAGAUGAAUUUUAUAAUGACCCACCGUCUUAAUUAAUAAAUAGAGCAUUUUGAAAUCUAGACUUUCAAAAAUUUGUUUGGUGCGCGUGGUGCGCCCACCCAGGCUACUAGAAAAAUGGCCUAGCGUGGUGCGCCCACGCUACCAGGCAUAGGGAGCGCACGGUCAAUUUGACAUCUCUCUAGUAAAAUCAGAUAACAUUUUACUCAAUAGUCGGGUUGACGAGUGGCAAGUGACGUUGGAAAGAAUUAUUGUAGACCUUUAAUUCGAUAGGUCACGGGUUACCUAAAUCUUACUAUUCUGAGAGGUAUGGUCGUUUGAAGUUGACCCUUGUAGGAACUCAUGUGAAAACAUAGUUGAUAGAAAUGUUUUGAACUUGGCUUGGUGUUUGAGGUUCCUUACGACCAUAAACCAUAUCAAAUGUACAACUUAGAAUUCAUUGGGUUCAGACCUAUAAACCUACAAAGGAUGAUUCGAAUUUUUGCUUAAAAGAUGUUGGACGUUACAUAGAUUGUCCCGCAUUUUUUUGUGUACUCAAAGAAUUGUGACAGAAAGAUGGAAAACACUUCAAUUCUUGGCCGAAAUCAAAUGAAAAGUCCUCUGACAUUUCUUAAUGUGACACAUGUCCCUCCACUUUUAAUGCUCCGAGUACGUGUCUUCCUGUGAUUGGUUAAAAACCAUGGCCGACCAUCCAGGCAAUGUUGACGUUUCUUUUCCAAAAUCUAUAUAUGUUCUUCCAUUUUCAAUUUACUUCCUUCACACCUUAUCCUUAGAACUUUCUUGCCAUUCUUCCGACUUUCAAGUUUUACCUGAGUUUCAUCAAAGAUUGCCACCUUCUUAACUAUCCUUUGACUUGAUUUAUCAAGAAUCUACAACAUAAUUACAACUUAAUAGGGGAGGGUGGGUGGACAAAGUCGACAAUAGCAAUUUGAAGGAACAAACCACAAUUGAGGACGAGGGUCAUUUUUGGAGAAUAAAGAUGUUGGGUGAAUCAUUUUACAAAUGACCAAUGAAUUUUUACAAAAGAUCCGAUUUAGAUUUUUAUCCAAAAAUAUUAACCCCCUUAAGUUUUAAACUAAAAAUUAUUUUAGUUCUGCAUGAAUGGAAAUAUUUAUUCAUGUGGACUGUUACUUGACAACUUUUUUUUAAUACAAUUAGAGAGUGCACACUACAUACAAUCAUCUAUUAAAUGAUGUCUUUUUUAAUACAUAUAUGGUUAUAGUUUAGGUAGAAAAGAAGAACAACUGAUAAUGGAGAGUGUGACUUUGACCAUUUAACUUUAUUUUUUUUAAAUGUUUACUUUCACUUGACGAAUUUAAAAAUCAAGAGAUAAUUUAUCAAUUAGUUCUUGAUAAAUUAGACCUUCACCAACAAGAUGAACAAAAGUUCAUGUAAUGAGCCAACUUAACUAUUAAGAUUUGUUCCCUCUAGUCCAUAUUAAGUGAACUGUCAUAAGUUUUUUUUUUAUAGUUCAAAAUAAGUGAAUUUUUCAAAGUUCAAGAUAUUUGUUAAUUGGAUUUCUUUUCUUCAUAUUUAUCCUUUUUACCCUCGAACUUAUUUUAUAAAUAAUUUUCUACCCCUUUUCGGCCUACGUGGCACUAUCAACCAGAUAGCUUGAAAAAAUUGCCAACACGCUGGGCCCAGAAGAUAGUGCCACGUAGGACGGAAAGGGGUAGAAAAUUACUUGUAAAAUAAGUUUGAAGGGGUAAUAGGACCUUAGUAUAGUAUAAGUGUGUUUCUGAGAUUUCGGACAUAGGUUGGGGAGGUACUUAUGCAUUUUCCCAUUAAAAAUAGUAUUUAAUAUUUGUCCUUAAUAUUUUUCUUUAAGAGGAGUGUUAUAUCCCAACAAUUUCACUUAAUAUAGACUAGAGGAAGUACCAUUCAUUUCCCCAAUAUAUUUGUCAAAAUAUUGAAUUAAUUAUAUUCAAAGAAUGAUAUAGUAAAAUUAGGGAAAAGGUACAAGUACCCCCCCCCCUAAACUAUGACCGAAAUCUCAGAGACACACCUUAACUAAACAAAGGUCCUAUUACCCCCCUGAACCCAUUUUUUUUGUAAAUUUGUACACCUUUUCGUCUAACAUGGAAUCCAAAUAUCUCCCACGUGCCUCAAUUGCAUGGAGUCACGGAGUGUGCCACGUUAGACAAAAGGCGUACAAAAUUACAAAAAAAAGUGAGUUAGGGGGAGUAAUAAGACCUUAGUUUAGUUAAGGUGUGUCUCUGAGAUUUCAGUCAUAGUCUAGGGGGGUACUUAUGCCUUAUCCCAGUAAAAUUAUUCUUGUAUUUAUUUCUCUUUAAGGAAUGUGACAGGUGUGUACCGACUCGGACAUGAAGAGUAUAAAAGUUCUUAAAUACUAAAAAAAAAUACUUAUUACAGCCUUUGCAUUUCACACGGUUUUAGGGUUUUGAUUUCCCUUUUUCCUUAGCUUUUGAAUUUUCAUUUUUUCGUCUUCGUCUAGGAUUACCAGGAGACCGAGUUUAUUCAAGUCCUUAAUCUCCUUAGGUAUAUACCCAAAUUCAAUCAGAGUUUCCCAUGUUAAUUGAUAUACACGUCCUCACUAUAUAUGAUAAUGAUAUAUACUAUGUUUUUUUAUUAAAGUAGGUAGCUAUACUCAUUUGUGUCAGAAGCAUUUUUAUUGUGUUUUUUACUCUAUGUUAUUUCAUGUUAUCCUUGAUUUUAUCAAUGAUAUGAGAGUCAUAUCCAUCACCCUUCGUGUCCACUGUUUCAGGAAGGCGCUGACCACCCAACUCAAAAAGGGCUACCUUAGAAAAAGUUGCCUACUUGUGGUAAAGUGAAUACUACCUAGUAUUGAGCCAUUGAGGAUCUCCCACAUUAAUAGCUAGGUUUUGCAGUGUGGAAGAAUGGAUAUUUGGAGUCCCAAAAUUUUGUAUAAGAAAGUUAUUGUCUAUAUAUAUGGUCUUGGGAAAUGGAUAACUUUUGAGUCGAGUUAGGUGCAAAUGUUCAUUAAUUUAUUUGCAUGAUAAAAUGUAACAUGGAAGCAGAAUGUAUCGGUUGCUAUUUAUAAAUAGUUAAUCUAGAGUUGGCAGAUGGUUUAAACAGGACUCUCGGUGAAAUUAUAGUAGUGGCGGAAGGAGAUUCAAAAUAUAAAUUUUGAAAUGAAUACUAGAAUGUAUACCUAAGAUUUAAAUAUAUGAUCUAAAACAGAUUUUCAACCCCAUCUGCCACUACACUAGUAGCUUCCCUUAUGGCAAAGGGGAUUUAACAAUUUACAUAUAACUAGGAAGAUUAUGUUUGCCUUAAUUACACAGUAUAUUUUUUUAACGAAGGGGAUUAAAUUAACAACAUUGCCAAUACCUAGUUCCACCACUUAAUAAUAGUGAUAACUGCUAACUACCUAUUCUAAAUGGAAUUGUCUUCUAUAAAUAGUACUUAAUAAGUUUAACAAAAUAUAUAGGCUAAGUUGAUUGUUUUCUUCUAAAAUUAGGGGGGAGGUUAAUUCAAUAAUAGUGUUAACUACUAACCAACAUUUCUAAAAAAUUAGGGGUGAAGUAAAUUCAAAACAUAACAUUUGUGGGUUGAAACCAAAAAUGUGUUGUAUAAUUUUUGACAAAGAUUGUUUGUGCAUUUCUGAAUGGAGAUUUGUUUUUUUUAUUCUGCUUUCUGAACUCAUGAGAACCUUAAAUUUGUGCCUACUGAAAGGAUUUGAGACCAUAUUAGGACUGGCCUGUUGUGGGAUCUACUAAAAAGAACCCUUCAAGGCCACAAUUUAUUUGAUGCCAUGAUUUUAAAAGAUGUGAAUGAAAUUGAAUAGUUGUGACUUUUAUAAAGAGUUUUGACUUUUCUGAAGAGUUGCGACUUUUCUGAAGAAUUGUGACUUUUCUGAAGAGUUGUGACUUUUAUAAAAAGUUAUGACUUUUUCAUAAGGUUGUGACUUUUCUGAAGGGUUGUGACCUUUUUGAUAAGGCACAAUAAGCGGUCAUUCACCCUACCAUCUAUUGUCUAUAAAUAGAGGGGUUCCUCUUAUUUUUCAAUAACAAAUUUUUGAACUUCUUUCUUUUCUACUAAAUCUAGUAUUCUAAGUGUACUUUACUUUUGUUGAGUAUCGAUACACCGGUGAGUAAGAUUAUUCCAUUAUGAGAGGAUAUAUUACAUUAACCUCAGGUACUUGAGGGACUAAUUUCCUUAAGAAAACAUUGUGUAUUCAAUGGGCUCAAUUUUGUUUUUUGAGAAAAUAUUUUGUUUAUAAUUUUUAAUUUGUUUCAAAUUCUAUUUUCUUUACUGGUUUUAAGUUUCUAGUUUUGAAAAUAUUCUUUAAAUUUUGUUGCUUCAUACCAAGUUCUUCAAAAUUGUUGUUCUAAGUAUCUUAGUAAUAAUUUCACACCAAAGGUGGCUUUGAACUUUAGGUAUUUAUGUAAAACAUGAUGCAUUAUGCACAAACAUUCUAUUGAUCAGCUUUGAUGUUUCCUUGGGAGGAGAAUGUUUUUGUAGCUCAUGCUGAAAGGUCUAACAUUUAUCUUCAUUUGAAGCAUAACUUCUUCAGGUAAAAAAUUAGCUAUCUUGUUUUCCUGGAGAAUAUGCCCAACUUUUGGCUUUUCUCCUUCAGUUGGUUUUUUCUCCAAUAUUUUAUAGCCAAAAAUGGUUUGCUUUCUACCUUGGAUUUCUGACGUUUCUUUAUUUUUCUAUGGUUUCAGACUUCCAUUGGUAUCAACAGAGUUAGAGAUUUCCAGCCUAAUGUCUGCCCAGGAGGAGGUUGGGAGAGUCAUGCACAUGUUGUAUAUAAUGGGAGUGCUUCUAGAAUCAAUGAAAUUGGGCUUCAACUUUAUCCAGUUUCUAAGUAUGACUGUGGCGAAAGCUUACCAUAUGCUCCUGUAGAUUGGCCAAAUGCUGGUGAUAAGUGGGGCUCGCGGGUAGGGAAAAGAGUUAAAAGUUCAUGCACCUUUAGAGAUAGAUAUUUGUAUCUUCCGAAGCAUUUUAAGGCUCCAAAAAGUGGAAAGAAAAAUGCUUUUCGAAGUAAGACUUCAGUUAAAAAUUAUCUCCAGUCUAAGUAUCCUGACAUGGAUAUAAACCAAUUUUAUAUCUCAUUUAGUUGGAUAAUUCCUAUGAAGCAGUCACCAAGUUCAAAAGGUUAGCUUCGACAGGGAUCUUUGGUAUAUAGCAUGUAGAUAUUUAUUCGGUUGUUUGCAUCAAUUGAAAAAACACUUACCACAUCUUUUUAUUGACCUGAUUCCAAAUUUGUUUUCUUUUUAAUUAGAUAUUGAUUUUGACUAAGAUAUGAUAGAGAGGACUACAUCUUCAAGGAUAGAAUUGCAGUCUUUACUGGUAACAGAAUCUGUAGCAUUUUAACAGCAACAAAUCUUUUUUCGGCCAUGCUUUAUGAUAUCUGUUGGAUUUUUGUCGAGACUGUUGUUGUAUCCUUUGCUGCAAAACUACCAGUUCGGACUAGGGGAAAUACAUAAUUACCCCAUUCAACUAUAGCAUUUUUUUUUAAAAAGACACUCAAACUUUAUAAGGGUCCUAGUACACCACUAAAUAAUUUAAAAGUGAUAUAAAUAUCUCAUUUUUCAGCUAAUCCCACUUAUAAAAGAGAAGGUGUAAGCACGCACUAAUUAUAGUUUGCCACCUGUCAAUUUUAUAUAAUUUCCUAAUCUUUGUUUUUAUUUAUGUUUUUUUUUAAUUCUUUAUUUUUUCUUUCUUCGCUUUAACCCAUCCGUUGGUCUUCUUCGUUGUGGAGUGGCCGCCAUUGCUACAACACCAUUUACAACACUAAAUCAAAAUUAAAACUGGAAAAUCAAAUCCGCUUUCAAAAUUUAUUAUUUUCAAAUUAAAAUUUCUAUCAAAGUCUUCUUUUUGUGUGUUUUGCCUUUGAUUUUUGCUCUAAAUCAACUUGGGUUGUAUUUGAAAAAAACAUUGAAAUAACGCCGAAGAUUCUAUCUUUGAAGUUACCAUCACCUUUCCGGAGAUUCUCACCCCAGACAGUCAAGAAGGAGAAGAAGAAAUCUGAGGAUGAAACAACAAAUCUGUUGUUGCUUCCGUUAUCAAUGGGAUUUUUUCGUCAGUGAAAAGACAUUUUAUUUUAUGUACUGAGAUUGUGUUAUUUAGUUACAAUUAAAUCCCUCCGUCGAAAUCCAAUCUAAAUGAAAAACGAAAAGAGAGCAAAAAAAGAAGAAAAAAAAAAACUUCAAGCUCCUUCAAUGGUGAAGCUCGGGAGGGAGAAGAAAAAAAAAAUUAACAGUAAAAUAAAGAUUAUUUAUAUAGUUAAUAAAAAAUAUUGCAAAAGAAAAGUUUAAUCUUACUUUUUUGGUUUACACGCUCUUCAGGCGAGUGAUAUACACUCUCUCUAUAAAAUAUCGAAAAAUGGUUCAAUAAUUUCACAUCAAUCUAGUUAAGUGGUGUAUUAGGACCCCCACAAAGUUUAAGUGUCUUUUUCAAAAAUACAUCUUACUUUAAUGGGGUAAUUAUGUAUUUUCUCUUCGGACUAUGAUGGGUAGAGUUACAUUCAAUGUGAAGCAACAGUAGAUGGCAACAUAUGUGGACAUGUUUCCAAUCUAGACUGUUCUCUACGAGCUUACAUGGCUGGGACAGUUGGAGGAAGCAUCAAUUUGGAUGCACAGUAUUUAUGUUGAUACUGUAAUUCAAGGAUGGAUUUGGUUCCACAUGCUCUGAAGCUUUUAAACACCUGCACAUCUAUUGCUUCUCGUGCUGACAUCGAAAAGAUUUUGAAUGUUCGCAUUUGUAUUUUGCGUGGCUCACAAGAAAGAAGUGGAAAAGAGUUGUUGCAUCUUAUUGAAUCAGUCAAGGCAAAGGUAUAGCUAAUUGAUGAAUUGUACUUUUUUUCCCUUAUGAUGCUAUCUGUUUUCCAUUUGAGGUUUACAGUUACCAGAAUGACCAAUUUGAUAAUCAUAUCAACUUAUGAAAGGAGUCUGCAUUCAAGAUGCAUUCAAAAAGGAAAGUUGUGUGGAUAGCACUGAUAACUUCUCUGCCCUUUCAUCAUCUUGUUUGUGUUGAUCUAUUACUUUGACUUGAAUAUCUGUAUCUGAGCAAGACAUUUCAGUAUGUGCAAAUGUGGUUCUCUUUCUAUAAGUAUUGUUUAUUUCAGGACACAAAUAUAUACAUUUGUUGAUUUUUUUAAGUCAACUACCCUACAGUUUAGACGAUUAGAUAAAAAAAAACAUAUUAUAUAAGGUGUAAAGAUAUAAAAGACACAAUUGAUACAAAUAUUUUUAUACUUGUUCCAAUCACCGGUGUGGUGCCUAAUCCAGUCCCCUUGGUUUCCUUAGAGCUUGAAUGUUUCUGAUUAGACAAAUAGCCUAUUGUGAACUCCUUGACAUGAAAGAUUACAGUUCACUUGUUGGUAACAUCCUCUACUCGUAUAGUUUUCUAAUCUCUCCUUUUCUUUUCUUUUCACUAGUUAACUAUAUUAAAUAUAAUGUUUUUACAAUAUGAAAUAGUGCUAGGAUAAGCGUGUGCUAACUUGUUUCCAUCUUUAGAAAAGUCGUUCUUCCUUGAUGCAAAUCAAUCUUCCUUGAUUCUGAUAGGGUGUGCUUUCCUUUUAGUAGGUUGCUGACUUGUCUUGAUUUCAUUUUUACGCGAGUCAAUCUCCUUGAUUCUGGUACUAUUAUUUAUCAAUCUUCCUUAAUUCUGGUAGUGUGUGACUUCCUUCCGUGUUUAGAUUUAAGCUUUCUUUUCACAGAUUUUGGAUAUAUCUCUUUUUCUCCUGCACAAAUCAUUUAGGAUUAGUGUCAUCAUUAGAACAUGAAGUUAAUAGAGCUAACAGUACUUGUUAUUUGGUUCUGCCUUUAGCUAUACUACUCAGAUUUACUGGAGUGUAUAUGUUAGGCUGAUAAAUCCAGAUAUUGUUGUUAUUGUUCUUGUGAUUCUUCUUACUGGGCUUGAAGUGCAACCAUAUUUUCUAAGGGGGGAAAUUCAAGUUUAAACUGAUGAAUAGUGAGCUUAGUCAAUCGACUUAAUUGUUGAGUAUAAGAUGAUUAGAUAUUAUUUGAACAAUUAAAUUUAGUGGUAAAAUUAUAAUGAUAUUCAACUUUACCAUUCGAUUGAUUAUUUUAUAUUUCAAUGACAUAUAGUUUAUCUGUGAAUAAGUGACAUCGGCUAGCUAGAAAUACUUUACGUUUAAUAGUUUUAAAUGGUGUAUCUUCAAGAAAUUGUUCCCCCUUUUUUUGUAAAAUGAUCAAUUUUCUGUAUAUAAGGAAAGCUUAAAUCAAUUCUCAGCAUGCAUAAAAACUUUUCAGUAAGAUUUUUAGGCUGCCGAUAAAGGAAGUUCAACAGAAGAUGCAGAGUGAUUAUGGCAUAAGAAAAAUAGUUUAACCACCCUCAUACUACAAUACAAAAACUUCCCUCUUGAGUUGAAAAUUCUUGAUAGGGUUGACUUUGGUAAACAUUUUGAGUUCUGAGCGUCGGAUUGGAAUUUCGUCAGUUUCAUCGCUUCCGGAACGUCGAGUUUGAGCUAGUAGAGUGCUUGGUAAGGUUUUCAAGGCCUAAAGAAAUGUUCAAGAGGGUAUUUUUGUCUAAAUGAUCAUUUUUUGGAAAUCCAAAGAUUUCAUUGAGUCCGGAAUGUCGAGUUUAGUGGUAGCAUAUUUGAUUUAUUUUUAUCGGGUCUCGAAUAAAUCUUAUGGAUCCGUUUGGAGAUUUUAAUAAGUUGGAGAUUAUAUUGUGUUGCCCGUGUGGUGGGGGCUUGAUUAUAUUAUGUUGCCUGUGUGGGGGAUUGAGUAUAUUUUGUUGUCUAUGUGGGGGCUUGUAUGUGUUGCUUAACCUAUGUUGAGGCCUUAAUUAUUGUUCUAUUUGCUUUGAGAGCAUCUGAUUCAUGAGUUGCAUGUGAGAGAGGCUAGUAAUGCUAUUUGACCUGUAAUGCCUGAGUGAGGGGAUGAGUUGGAAACAUUAUAAUGCUUUGAGUAAACGAAAUGCUUUCUAAAUGGAAUUCAUUUAUUUCAAAUGAACUCUUUCCCACUAUUUUUCAUAUGAGGGUGUAUAUCAUGAUUCAACUGAGUUUUGAGAAAUUAAGACUAGUGAUACAUGUUGAGUUGAUUAUUGCCUCCAUGUUAUAGAUGUAUUGUGAUGCAUCCAUCCUCAUUCAUCAUAUCAUGUUCUUGAGAAAUUGAGAAAAAUAUGGAGAUUCCUUUUGAGAAAGAAAAUGAGACACCUUUUUAUAUCCUUGACCACACUAAGGUGGCAAGUUGAUGAGAUAUUGAGAUUGUGAUUUGGUAUAUGAACUGCGAGUCCCCCAUGGGUCCUUGUCUGGAAGCCUUAGCUCGACAGUAUAUGACAGGUUGUGCGACAACCUUAAUUCCAUCGUACCACCACAUCAUUGCAUCAUAUCAAUGCAUUGCAUUAAUCGUUUGAGUAGCUUGACUUGUGUUUGUUAUGGGAAUUGUUGUGACCUUAUGUGUUUACUUUACUUGCGUCGUUCAUUAUAAAUUGGCGGCACUAAUGCCGGAGUGGGACUUUUUUGUAUGCAGGUGGAAGCAUUCAUUAGUUAAUUUAUAAGCUGAUUAAUUCCUUUUACUUAGUUGGCCAAGCCUACUGAGUACUUGUGGGUUGUUCUCACCACUACUUCUGAAUCAUUUUUUAUGCAGAUUCUAGUUAGGGUACUCCCUGCGGUGGCUAAUAAUUUCUAGCUUUGGAGAUCUUUUCGGAGUGGUGGUGAGAUCCUGUUUUUGGAUCACCAUUAGUUCCAUAUAAUAUUUUCAAUCUUUAUUUCUUAUCGGAGACUUAUGAUGUGUUUCAUACUCUAAAGUUGUAUUAGAUGCUCUUUAUACUUAUGCUAUCUGAUUUUGGGAUAUUCAUUGUUGUUCUUUUCUAUUGUUUGUGGCGUGACCACCCUUUUGCAGUCUCGUAUGUGUGUUAUUUUCGGCUUACACACUUUUUUUUGGGGGGGGGGGGGGGUGUUGGAGUGUGUUCCAUCAUAACCUCAACUUUUGGAUCGUGACAAAAUGCUUCUCAAUUUGACAGGGAGACAUAUUUCAAGAGACUCGAACAAUCUUAUCUCCAAUUUCAUCUGUCAUUAUUCCUUGAGAAGAGCAUAUAUUGUAUUGUUUAUUUAAAGUAGAACAAAUACCAAAACUCCAUUCAACUAUAGAAUUUCUUUUAAUUAUCAUAGCCAACUAUAUCUCACUUUCAUUAGGAUGCAAAUAGUGUCAAUAAAAUAUGAAAUAUUAAAUACUGAAAUUACAGGUAGAGGUGUUCAUGGGUUGGUUUGGACCAGUUAUUGGUAAAAAUCAAAAUCACACCAAAUUAAUCGAUUUUAAAAUUAUCAAAACCAAACUAAAUCACAUAUAAUAUACAUUUAUCGGUUUAGCUGUUAUCGAUUUGGUUCGGUUAUUUAGUUAUUAACCAUACAAAAUAAGAUAAAAUAAAAUAAACAUUUUAUUCAAAACCAAACAUAGUUAGAAUGACUGACAUUAUAGAAAUUUCAAUCAUUGAAUUUACUAAGAAUAAAGCUUUAAAAUUCACCAUUUUGGCCUAGUCUAGAAGGAAAGGACAGUGACAUUUUCAAUCCCACAAAGAAUUUUCAUAGAAACUGUCUCACACCUCGAGCCUACACCCUGGACGUGGCCGACACUCGAGAACCAUUGUUGGCCCCAAGCGAACCCUUGGCCUGGCUCAACUCUUAGCGGAAGACUUACUCAAAAAUAAAGAAACCUCAAAUAUAAAUCAACUUAUAAAGACAUCAUUACUAAAAUUAGUUUAGCUCAAUAUAGUCUGAAAUGUUCAAUAACAUAACUGUUUAACUCAAGUCUUAAACAUUUAACAAAAGAAAUGGAAAAGACUACUCAAAACACUACUAUCUAUGAAGCCUCUAAUGACAAUGAUGGAAGUUGGGACAAGACCCAUGGCAUCCUAACAAAAUUAAAAGUAAAUGGGAAUCCUUCAGAAGCAGGAAGAAUCACCAAAGAAACUCUGGAACUACACGUUGUAUCAACGGUGCGUCUGUUGAUGACCCUAAACUACCGUAUUUGCAUCAUAAAAUAUGCAGGCUAAAUGGAGUCAGUACAUGGAAUGUACGAGCAUGCAAGGGGAACUCUAAAGCACAGACAUAAGCUUGAACUAAUAAUAAUGAAGAACGUACUCACCUCAUCUCAACUCAACUCAACUCAAGGAUACUCAAACUCAGAAGUACUUAACUCAGUUCAAAUUAAAAGCAACAAUAAAUAUGCGUUAUAAAGAAAGCUUUUAAAACAGUAGAUAGUAAAUCAAUGUACUUAAAAAUACAAUAAUAACUCUUUUACUCUUAUUUGGGAGAUUCUCUAACCGACAACCAUCACUAUGAGCUAUAUGAUGAUACAACGUCUCGCCCUCGCUGCCAGAACUGUCCUAUACCUUGCCAGAGUAUAAGACAUCCUCAACUAAGUGUAUCCACUAAGCUAUGCUUAAAAAACAAUAAGGAGUCGUCUAAAAAGUAUGACCCUUUCUACCCACUUUGGCAUACAUGGUUUAUGUGGACUUUGAGUUGUCUGAAAUCGUCCCCAUAUCGGUGCUCAAUACUACUCCCAAUAAUAUAACUCAUGUUCAUAUGUUUAAAAAAAAUUUCCUCGUCCUCAAACUUUGAGAUUAUUACUCAAAAGGUUUUCUUUAAAGAGAUGAUACUCAAAAACUCCUCAUGAACUCAUUUGGAAAUCGAUGUUCCCUCUUAUUUUAAAUGUAAAAACAUUUACUCUUGGGAAUACUUAGUUCCCAUUUAUUCAUUUUGAAAAAUGAAAUUCAACUCUCCUCAUCCUCAUACUCAAGUACUCAAGUCUUAAAACAAGUUUAAAAGUUUUGCAAAAAGAAUUCUCAAUUGACUCAAAGAACUUCCUCGAACUUUACUCUUAACUCUAACUUAAAUUUGAAUUAUGAAUUCAAGAGUUAUGACUUGGAUAUGCAUGAUCUCUCAAUGAUUAACAAAGAUUUUAAGUAUGGAUAUCAAGUAGAAAGCAUAGGUACUAUUUGAGGGAAUGCACACGAAAAUAAGGACAGAAGGGUAGGGGACCUGGCGACCCUGGCGCACUCAGUGGCGCAAGACGCCAACCCCUAAGCUUCAGAAAGUGGUUUGGGGCGCACUGAGUGGCACGAUGCCCCACCCCUAUACCCAGGUUUUGAUGAAUUUUCUUGCUUCAAUUUCAUCUCCAACUCCCCUAGAAUCAAACGGUUUCCGUCAAACUCUUUUAGAUUCUUAGACCCAACAUAAUUACAACGAAAUCCACUCUAAAUUACUCAAGAACAAUACUCAACCACAAGAUCCUCAUCGCAAGAACUCAACGAAACCUCAUAUCAAAGAAAGACCCACAAACUUCAAGAGACACAUCAAGAACUCAAUAUACCCAAUCUUAUGGAUGAAAUUCGUAAAAGAAACUCAUGAUUGGCAUGUGUGUGAUUGAACCCAUCACUAUGAAAACUUAAAUACCUCGUUAAGAUCAAAUCCUUGGCGAGAUCCCUCGACGAUUUGCAAGAAAACCUUGAACGCUCGAAUAUUCUCCUCUCUUCCUCCUCUUGAAAUUUUCUCUAAAACCUUAAGUGUAUUUUAGAAUUGUAAAAACUGAUGUAAUUCAGUUUAGACCCCUAAAAUAUUACUAAAAAUGUUUAAAGCAAAUGGGGUAAGGAAAAGACCAAACUACCCCUCUUUAAUUCGGAUGAACUUUCCUUAAUCGGAUAGGCUGAACUCAAAUGGGAUAUCUCCCUCAUCCGGACUCGGAAUUUAGAAAACUCAGUGGCAUUGGAAAAAGGACUCAAAGACCUUUCAUUUGAUACCUUAUGGGCCACCUAACUCAUCAUGUACCAAAAGUUAUGGUCAUUUGAAGUUGACCCGAAACUCUAAUUAGCUCUUUCCAAUUUAGUUCUUACUAAAAAUAGCUCUUUCUAAAAUCGAGGUGUUACAAUAUCUUCCCCUUGGGAAAAUUCUUCCUUGAAUGAGAUUACUCUAAGUAGAUCUAAGGGUGGCAACAUCUAACACCCAGGUCAAACACCAACAUGCAAUUUAACACAACAUACCAUAUCAACUUAAAGAGUGUUUUACAAAAAGUCAUUACCUUGGUCUGGAAUUUCUCCGGAAGAGAAGAGAUGUGGGUAUCUCUUCUUCAUAUCCUUCUCAGCCUCCCAAGUAGCUUCUUCAACAAACUGAUUCCUCCACGGGACCUUGAAAGAUGCAGCCUCCUUGGUUCUCAACUUGCGAACCUGACGAUCAAGUAUUUCAACGGGUAUCUCCUCAUAAGAUAGGUUGUCCUUAAUACCAAUAUUUCCAGUAGGUAUGAUAAGUGAAGAAUCGCCCAUAUACUUCUUCAACAUUGAAAUGUGAAACACCGGAUGGACUGCUGCUAACUCUAAUGGUAGCUCCAACUCAUAGGCUACAUUGCCAAUCCUCUUGGAUAUCUUGUAAGGACCAAUAUACCGGGGACUAAGCUUCUCCUUCUUAUCACAUCUCAUAACACCCGGGUGACACCUCCAAGUAAACUCAAUCAUCCACCUCAAACUCCAAGCCUCUUCUCUUAACGUCGAUAUAGGAUGACGACUUUGCGUUGUUUUCAACCUUUCUGGAAUGAUCUUCAUUUCUCCAUAGCUUGAUGAACCAAGUCGGUCCUAUAACCUGGCUUCACCAACCUCAAACCAACCAAUAGGAGAUCUACAUCUUCUCUCAUAGAGAACCUCAUAAAGAGCCAUCUAGAUUCUAGAGUGAUAACUUUUGUUGUAAGCAAACUCAAUGAGAGGUAAGUGAUCAUCCUAAUUACUCUUGAAAUUGAUAACACCAACCCUCAACAUAUCCUCUAGAGACUCAAUAUAAUACUUAAUAAUAAUUCUAAGAUUAUGUCGGGAUAAAAAAUUUAUACGGUCAUUUAAUCCUAGAUAUCUCACCUUGUCUUGCGUACCAAAAUAAAUUGAUAGAAGGAAUUUUAUACUAGGAUUAUGAAAAGUGUAUAUAUGGGCUAAUUGGGUAACGCUGGGGGUAUAUAUGAGUUAUUUUUAUAAUAAAGGGUAUAUCAGUUAUAAAUCGCAAAGUUUAGGGUACAUCAAAGACCGUGUUCAUAUGCAGGACGUUUUAGAUUUAAAUAUAAUGUCUUCCAGGUAUUGCCAAAUGUUUGUGAAUUCUAUUGCAUUCAAUUAGUAAAGGUCCCCUGUUUUCAGCUCUCCGCUUCUGAGUUCCAUAAGAUGCCAGCUCUCAUUCUUCCCAUCAAAUUUGUAAGCUUUUACUUCUUUUAAUUGACUAAGUUGAGGCUUGCUUCCAUGAGAAGUAGAAUGAAUCGAAUUCUUCAUAUACAUUAAUCGAUCGAUGAAACAUAUAAUCAUUUUGAUUGUUGAUGAUAUGUUGAGUAUCCUAGGAUGAAGAAAGCUUUCUCAAAGAAUGACAAUUCGCUAUAUGACUAGCAGAUAAUGAAAGAUCACACUGAGUCAGGACCAGUUCUCUUAAAGAGUUUGAUGCCCGAAAUUUAAAAAUAGGGAAGAGGUAUGAUGAAAGAUAUGUAAAAAAAUUAUAUUCUAUGGGUGUGUUUGGUAUGAAGGAAAACAUUUUCCAGCCAAUUUUCUCAUGUUUGGUUGGGUAAAAUGGUUUGGAAAAUGUUUUUCCAAAUCAAUUCAUUUUCCUCAAAUUUAAGGAAAAUAACUUCCCUUCAAAAAAUUAAGGAAAACAUUUUCCAAAACUCUCCUCCAACUAAAAUAUUACAAUUUUUUUUUGAUGAAAAAAUAAUAUAAAGUUUAUUUUUUAAAAAAAUAUUUUCAACUUCAAUUUUUUAAGUUUUACUCCACCCCUACCCCCGCCAGCCCCCUAAACNNNNNNNNNNNNNNNNNNNNNNNNNNNNNNNNNNNNNNNNNNNNNNNNNNNNNNNNNNNNNNNNNNNNNNNNNNNNNNNNNNNNNNNNNNNNNNNNNNNNNNNNNNNNNNNNNNNNNNNNNNNNNNNNNNNNNNNNNNNNNNNNNNNNNNNNNNNNNNNNNNNNNNNNNNNNNNNNNNNNNNNNNNNNNNNNNNNNNNNNNNNNNNNNNNNNNNNNNNNNNNNNNNNNNNNNNNNNNNNNNNNNNNNNNNNNNNNNNNNNNNNNNNNNNNNNNNNNNNNNNNNNNNNNNNNNNNNNNNNNNNNNNNNNNNNNNNNNNNNNNNNNNNNNNNNNNNNNNNNNNNNNNNNNNNNNNNNNNNNNNNNNNNNNNNNNNNNNNNNNNNNNNNNNNNNNNNNNNNNNNNNNNNNNNNNNNNNNNNNNNNNNNNNNNNNNNNNNNNNNNNNNNNNNNNNNNNNNNNNNNNNNNNNNNNNNNNNNNNNNNNNNNNNNNNNNNNNNNNNNNNNNNNNNNNNNNNNNNNNNNNNNNNNNNNNNNNNNNNNNNNNNNNNNNNNNNNNNNNNNNNNNNCCCCCCAAAAAAAAUAAGUUUGUUUUAAAAAAAUUAUUUACAAUUUCAAUUUCAAUAAUUAUUUUCUACUCUCUAGUAAAAAUAAAAAAUAUUUUUCAUUCAUAAAUUAAACACUAAAAAAUAUUUUCUACUAACCAACCAAACAUGAGAAAAUAAGUCAAAAUUCUACUUAUUUUUUGGGAAAACAUUUUCCUUCAUACCAAACACACCCUAUAUCUUUUACACCAUUCUGAAGAGCAAUACCAAGACACUUAUCAAUAAAAGGGGACAUAUCACCCUCAACUCUUGAAUAUAAGUACUAUUUAGAUGUUGGGGAUGCAUCCUAUGUUGGAGAUUAUCAAUGCUCCAAAUUUGGUAUCACUAAAGUAUAUAGGAGAUCAAAUUUCUAAUACUUUUGUGGAUGCGAAUUUGCAAUGGAAUUUCCAUCCUAGAAAAGUCAUCCUUUUCACAACUAAUAAAAUGAUUUGAUGUUUUAUGGAUCGUUUAAUGAAUAUGAAGAGUUCGAGUCAUGAAAGCAAGCCUUUGCGUAAUAAAUUACAAGAAGUAACAACCUACAAAUUUGAUUGGGAAAAUCAGAACUGGUAUCCGGUAGAGUUUGAAAGUGGAAAGCUGGCUCUUUCUAGGGACAAAUUUUAUUUUUUAUUGGAUUAGUUAUGUAGUCACUUUAUCUCGAAAUGCACUGUUUCAUUAGUAAAAUGUAUUAGAUUUUCAGGAUAGAUUCUAGAUAUUUAAGAACUUCUGUCAAUGGAUUGAUUUGUCUUGUUAGUCGGGAAAACGAAAUUGUUACUAUGGAAUCAUCAAUUAGAAAGUACAAGAAGUUACGUUGCCUAAUCCUAAAACUAAAACUUCUUUGAGGUAUUCCCUUGGGUGAGUAUAUGGCUUUGGAUAUGAUGAGUUUCAUGAUGAUUAUAAGGUAGUCGUUAUUUUUUUCAUUGACAGACUUGACAUUUUACUUCAAAUUAAGGUAAAAAUAUUUUUCAUUGAUAGACUUGACAUUUUACUUCAAAUUGAGGUUAAAAUAUAGUCUAAAAAGUGAUUCUUGGAGAACUAUUGAUAAUUGUCCAAGCAUGGUACCAUUACAACAGUCAGGUAGGUUCGUGAAUCAGAAACUUCAUUGGACUACCAUUAUUGAUCCUAAUUUGUGUAUUAAACUAAGCAUCAUUUCUAUUGAUUUGGCUUAUGGGAAAUGGGGAGAGAUGGAACUACCCUGUUAUUGGAAAGGAGGAAGAGGUGUUGUUUGAGCUUGGUAGGGUUGGGAAGUGAUCUUUCGGUCUUUUGUGAUUGUGACGAAACAUAUAUGUUAGAUGUUUUCUUGGAUGAAAAUGUUUACUAUCAAGAUUCUGGAGGAUCAAUUGGUGUAUGGAUAUCUUGGGCAAAUACGUUUACACAUGGAAAGUGGAAGUGAAAUUUUGGUUGUGUUUGGAUUAAGUUUCAUGACAAUCCAAAAGGUGACCUGUUCAGAUCUUCAAAGGUUAUUAACUCCUAGUUUUUCCUCUUUCUACGGUAGGGACUGAGGAUGCAACAAAAAGGGGACUGAAAAGCUCAGGUUGUGAAACAGCUAAGUAACAAAUAACUUGUAAGAGUACGUGUUGUUGAAUUAUGCUUAUUUUUUAAACUAUGUUGCCAGGGGAGCUUGUUAGUCAUUUCCCCUUGUGCUCUAUUUCAAGUAACAAUAAUUUUAUCUACAACUUCAUGCUAAAUGGCGCUGGAAAUCGCUUCUCUUAUUGAACAGCGUUUCAAGAAGAUGUUAUAGCUCUAGACAGUGUAAAAAAACAAAGAAGUGCGAUCUAGGAUGACUUCAUUAAUAUUUUUUUGGCUGAAAAAAACUUAACUAGGGGAAACAGAGGAAUCUCGUCAAUUCUUGUACAAGGAUUCUAGUUUUUGCUUUACCCUUGCUGCGAGUGUUCAUUUUCUUGUGGACUAGUUUUGGUCUUCCCUUGAUAAUUGUCUUUUCUUCAGGACUAUCUUCUCUUCUUUCACUUUACUAGUAACAAUAACAUAAGAAAGACGGCAUUGCAAGGAGAGCUUAUUUUAGGAAGUCAAAUUAGCUCGUAGGAUUUUCGUAACAGAAGGUUCCCUUCCCUUGAAUGCUUGUUGUGUGCUAAUUACAGAUGAAGUUUCCUUUUGUUCUAUUUCUCCCUUUUAAUCGUUCAUGUUUCCUUUUCUUUUUUAUGGUUUCUGCAAAUUUAUUAAACUAAUCAUCCUUGUAGGGGAGUACCAGAAAGAUGCAUAACCCAUGUUUCAAGAGAUGAAGCAUAUUCAAAAACUAGCACAUUGCAGGAAUUAGAAGAUGUCGAGAACAACUUGAGCAAAGAAGCUCCAUUUUACGAGAACAAUAUUUUUAAAUUUUGGCAUGAGAUGAGUUUAAUGGAGUAAAUCUUACACACAAAGAGGACUAACAUAGUUAGUGAUGAUUCAUAUAGUGGAUCUCAUCUUGUUUGGGACUGAGGCAUAGUAAUAGUUGUUGCUAUGAUGCAUAGUUUUGAGUUUUUCCUUUACUGCUAACUAAUAGCAAGGGACCAUAGACAUGAGCAAAAGUUCCUUGCAAGGAGAAAUCAUAUUAAUUAUAGACCUGAGCAAAAUUUCCUUGCAAGGACUAUGUUGGAAUGUAUGCAUCCACUAAGUAUGAUAGGACCAGGUCCUCAACACAAUAAUAAUGAAACAGAAAAUAAAUUACUAAAAAGUAAAGAUAGACACACAUACUUUACGUGGAAACCUCCUUGCUCAAGGGAGUAAAACCACGACCUAUCUCACAGGAUUUUCAAACUGCUUUUACUAAACUUCACAAGCCAAAGUAAAAUCCAGUUUAUAACACACACGAGAUUAACCUACUAAUCUCUAUUCUGAGUAAUACAAUAUCACUCAAUGAGCCAAAGCAAUGCCUGCAUUGCCCACUAUACUAACCCAACUGAUUAAUAUAGACUUUUACGUAAGACCCUAAGUUGACCUCAACUAAGUUCUUACAAUGAUUCACCCAAGGUUGAAACAUUUCUAUCACAAGCAAAACGAUUCCUACAAUAUAAGCACAAAUACAAGCAGUCAAAGUAACAACUGGUUCAGGAAGCAAUAAUGCACUCUAUUAGGUCCCUUGUUGUUUUGAAGCAUGAAUAUAUCUCUUUUAAUGAAUGAGUAAUUUGUUGUAUGUGAUGUUAAAUAUAUCAACCAUGAAGAGUUAACCGAUGUAAAAACAACCUCGUCCUUUCUGAUUGGUGUGGUACACUGACGACCUCACCAAACUCCGACGCGACAACUUGCCAGCUGUAUAGCAUAAGGUCCUGGACGAGCAUACUCUAUAGAGGACCGGGUCCUUGCACUUGUGAGGAGAUCAUCAAAACAUUUGGAAGCAUUAUCGUUCAAGAUCACAGUGAGGUCAGUCAAUUCUAUUUUGAGAGAGGCUUGCUGCUCUAGAAGAUCCGCUACUUGAGACCUACCCUUAGCUUUCCCUUCAACACAUUCACAUUCCAGAAGGGCAACAACAGUAAACAGUUGCUUAACGGUACCUGGUACUCCUCGUCCAAGAGGUACUUUGAAAUGUUUGAACACAUAGUUUAGCAAAUAGCCAUAAGGGAUGCCAUGUUUAGCUGACUUCCAGGUCAUCACCCUGUGCAUAUUCUCAAGCAUUAUAGCAGGAAGAUUGAUCUCCUCGAGGUCAUCUAGAUUUUCCAUAAGAAACAGCUCUACAGCAGAUGUUACAGUUCUCUUCUCUGUCCUUGGUACCAGUACCUUAUUGAUGAUCUCAAAGAAUAGCUGGUAUUCCCCCUUUAGAAACUUCUUUGGUAAACCUGCUCGCUUAAUGUCCCCCUUCUUUGUAGUAUGUUAGUGAACUCACUUGAGGGUUUGCAUCCUUCAAUGAACCGGAUCCCCUUCACAGGCACACUUAGAAUAAUCCCCAGAGUUUCCUCAUCUAGAAAAUUUUUGACAUCAUUAACAAUAGCCUUAUUCCUCCAUUAUUCAGAAGCUCCAUCAUAUAGAAAAAUUUGUGCAGCUCAGGCUCAUGCAGGUAUGGUGCUGGGGGUUCAAAUAAAUGAUCCCAACUUUGCAAUGAAACUGCAUAAAAAAGAGUGGACAUUCCGAAUUUGUAAGAAUGUCAGGAUCGAAGACUCUACCGUUUAGCACCUUUUGAUUCUCCAUCACUGUUAUCUGUGCUUCCCUGGUCAACUCAUUUUCUUCUUCUGGCUUUUGCACAUGAGGACCUGGUACCUUAGUUUGUUUUGACUGCUCAGUAUCACUUUUACUUGCUUUCUUCACAGGAGAUCUCUUCGUUGAUUUCUGAACCCCCUUUGAUUUGACUCUCUCAACCUCUACUUCCUUCCUUCCUUAUUUUUGCCACAUACGCAACAACAUCAUCGGAAUCUGUAUCACUGGACCAAACAGACAAGGGGAUUGAUGUGGGUUCUUCAGGCAAAUGACCUUCCCGUCUUCUCUUCCUUGCCCUUUCCGUUUGAAUUACAUUUGCUGCUAUGGCACUUCCCAUGACCUUCUGCAUCGCACUCCUAGUGCCAUACCUCUUCUUGUACCCCUUUGUGUGGGACUCAACCAUCUUUCAUUUCCUUUUUCUCUUUCUCUCCUUUGCAAACUCAGCAGGCUCAUUAGUAAGAUCAGUCUCAGGAACACUCUUAAAUGUUUCUAGAUCUAGGACACCUGCUGUCAAAGUGUUGGUUCCUCGCACCCCUUUUCUACUCCAUCUCAAAGGACCUUCAUCUUCCUCCUUUUUUUCACUCUCAACGUCAAAUGACUUAGGAGUUUGGUCAAACACAGGUUUCAUACUAUGAGGGACCUGUUCCGACAACCUCAUCUAUAGGUCCAUUAGAGUUGGUUGAGCAUCACCUCUGAGGGAAGCCAAACUUUGUACGACUCCCAAUUCUGCCGCUACUAUAAGAAUGUUUGACUCGGGACCUUUUCCCUCAGGAAAAUUCCAUCAAAUAACCUCUCAGACAUAGUAAAAUAUACUACCCUAGAAAAUACUUCAACUUCUUUAGUGAGAGGGUCAACACUUGGUUUUACGACUGAUUGGGCUUCUGAGUUUUGAGAUUUCUCACCAGAAAGAACUAGUGUAGGUGAGCAAGGUAAAAAUUCCCCAAAUGGAAGUAUAGGAGAGGCCACCACUUCAGUAAGAGGUGUGGUGGAUUCACCCGUCUCACCAGCAUCACAGACUGGCGUCGAAGGAGAUUCUUCUGGGAAUGGAGUGGAGAAAUUGAAAGAACGAUGAUUUUCAAUUUCUAAGGGAACGGGAAGAUUUGAAGAUGAGGAAGAGUUAGGCAUUCUGAUGAUAUUGAAGGAGACGGCUUAAAACAAAGUCAUGAAUCACAAAAGAAGAUUAGAAAGAGAUUAGGUUUUUUUUAUUCACUAGCAAAGUCGUGUAUUUAAGCACAAGGGGUAUCGGGUCCCUGAAAAGUAGAGACUCUUGGAUUUAAAAUGAAAAGACGUUUGAAACUGAUGCAAUGAAUGGCUAAGGGACACGUGGCAGUGAUCGUUGAUAGACACACAGUGUAGCAUAAGUGAUACUAACCUCUCGGGAACUAGGUCCCUUUUGGUAUAUAGCCCUGCAUGUAUGGUUAGAUUUUCCCUUCAGCUAACAUGCCAUGAAUGUAUACCUACAUUAAGGUACCAAGAGUGAAUUCUCAAUCGAUAAGCAUUACAACAAGUAUAGAUACCUGCCCUCCUUAACAUAAUCAAAUGGAAGAUUUUUGUAAGCUUGUUAUGGAAUCAGGUGAUCUUGUGCAUUCCCAGCCUCAGUCAGUUUCUGAUAAAGCAUUUUUUACUCAAGGGUUUUGUAAAGAUAUCAGCCAACUGGUCUUCUGUCUUGCAGAACUUCAUCACCACAUUUUACCUCUCAACAUUGUCCCUUAAGAAAUGAUGCCUCACAUCUAUGUGUUUUUUCCUCUUAUGUUGAACAGGGUUUUUGGCCAUGUUCAUUGCACUAGUAUUGUCGCAUAUUAGAGGAAUAGUGUCUGUGAGAACACCAAAGUCUUCCAGUUGCUGCUGAUCCAUAGGAGUUGAGCACAACAUGAUGCAGCAGCCACAUAUUCUGCUUCUGCUAUAGACAGUGCCACUGAAUUUUGCUUCUUAGUCCCCCAAGAAAUCAGUGAUGAUCCUAGGAAGUGUGCCAUGGCUGAUGUGCUUUUUUUAUCAACAAGAAAACUUGCAUAAUCAGCGUUUGCAUAACCAAUUAGAUCAAAUGAGUCAUCAGUGGGAUAGAAGAGGACCAGGUCCUGUGUUCCCUUUAGGUAUCUCAGAACUCACUUGGUUGCCUUCAAGUGUGAUUCCUUUGGUGCUGCUUGAAACCUUGCACACAUCCCUACACUGAAGACUAUGUCAGGCCUGCUUCCAAUGAGGUACAAAAGUGAUCCAAUAAUUCCCCUGUACGUGGUCUGAUUAACCUCAAUACCAUAUUCAUCCAGGUCAAGUUUCACACUUGGGCUCAUAGGAGUAUCAAGGACUUUUACCUCAAGCAGAUUGAACUUUUUGAGCAAUACUUUUAUAUAAUUCUCUUGACAUAUAGAUGUUCCCUGAGAAGACUGCUUGAUCUGCAAUCCUAGGAAUAAAGUAAGCUCCCCCAUCAUGCUCAUUUCGAAUUCACUACUCAUCAAAUCAGCAAACUCUUUCACAAUGAAUCUGAAGUGGCUCCAAAGAUAAUGUCAUCUACAUAAACCUGCACAAUCAACAACUCCUUACCUCUGGAUUUUAGGAACAAAGUAUUAUCGGUUUUACCUCUUUUGAACCCAUUUGCAAGGAGGAAUUUUUACAGGCGCUCAUACCAUGCUCUGGGAGCUUGCUUUAAACCAUACAAAGCUUUAUCUAACUUCAGCACAUGAUUUGGUAGAUCAGCAUCUUCAAAACCUGGAGGUUGUUUAACAUACACCUUUUCUUUCAAAUUUCCAUUCAAGAAUGCACUGUUGACAUCCAUUUGAAAUAGUUUAAACUUCAUGUGGGCAGCAAAGGCUAUCAAGAUUUUAAUAGCUUUCAUUCUGGCUACAGGAGCAAAGGUCUCGUCAUAGUCGAUCCCCUCCUCUUGAUUAUAUCCUUGAACCAUGAGUCUUGACUUGUUUCUGGUAAUGAUCCCAUGAUCAUCAAGUUUGUUUCUAAAGACCCAUCUAGUCCCAAUAAUGGUUCUGUUGAGAGGUCUGGAACCAGGUGCCAUACUUUGCUUCUCUCAAGCUGAUGAAGCUCUUCCUGCAUUGAUGUUACCCAAUCGAUAUCCUGUAAAUCCUCUUUGAUGUUCUUAGGCUCAAUGGAUGAUAUGAAGGCUGAAUAUGCAACUAGAUUUCUUAUUCUGGAUCUAGUUUGUAUUCCGGAGUCCAGUGGAGAAAUGAGAAUGUCCAGCGGAUGUGAGGAUUGAUGUUUCCAUCCGGACUUUCUAGUUUUCUCUUCUUCAACAUCAGCAACAGAUUCACCUUCUUCACCUUCUAGAUUUUGAGAUAAUACCUCCUGAGCUGAACCAGAGGGACCAGGUUCCUCUGUGAGUUCUACACUGUUUUCUCUUGCAACUUGUUUGCUUCCGGGAAUUUGGAUUGCCUUAUCCUGUUUUCCCUUUAUCAGCUCCUCCAAAUCAGGGUCUUUUUCUGUUCAUCAUUACUCUCAGACUCAUCAAAUAUCACAUGAAUUCUCUCUUUAACACAUAGAGUUAUUUAGUUAAAAACUUUGUAUGCUUUGCUAGUAGAAGAGUUCCCGACAAACACCCCUUCAUCACUCAUGGCAUCAAACUUGCCAAGGUCAUCAUUUCCAUUAUUCAGUACAAAGCAUUUGCAACCAAAUGGCUUCAGAUGAGCAAUUGAAGGUUUCCUGUCAUUCAGCAACUCAUAAGGAGUUUUUUCUUGAUCAUGGACCUAAUAAGACACCUAUUGUAACAUAGUAGGCUGUGUUGACUACUUCUACCCAAAAAUUCAUUGCUAGCCCUGAGUCAAUCAACAUGGUUCUAGCAAUAUCCACCAGUGUUCUAUUCUUCCUUUCAACAACUCCAUUUUGCUGGGGAGUUCUUGGCGUAGAAAAGUUGUGACGAACUCCAUGUUCAGUACAAAAGCCUUUAAUUUGAGAAUUUUCAAACUUGUGCCAUGGUCAGAUAUGAUGCUAGCUAUCUUACAAUUAACCUUUAGUUGAAUUGCCUUGGCAAAGGUGAUCAGAAGUCCAAUUGUCUUGUCCUUAGUUCGCAGGAACAUUUUCCAUGUGAACUUGAAGAAAUCAUCAACAACUACCAGAAUAUACUUCUUACCUCCUCUGCUUUGGACACUGACAGGUCCACAUAGAUCUAUGUGGAGAAGUUCUAACGGUCUGGUUGUGCUCAUGCCUUUCUUGGAUUUGAAGGAUGGCCUGGUUUGUUUUCCUUUUACACAGGCAUCACAGACUUAAUCAUUAGUAAAGUUUAGCUUUGGCAAACCACGGACCAGGUCCCCUGCAGCAAGUUUGUUCAACAAGGAUACACUCACAUGACCCAAUCGCCUAUGCCAUAGAUUUGCAUUGUCAGCUUGAGCACUUAGACAUGAAAGACUGUCUCUUUCUACCGAGUCAAGAUCUGCAACAUACAUAUUUUUUACUCUUUUGGCAGUCAUAACAACCUUGUUAGUUACACAGUUAGUUACCAAACACAUAUCAGACAAGAACUUAACUUCAUUUCCCUUGUCGCAAAUUCGUGAUACGCUCAAGAGAUUGUAUUUCAGACCAUUGACAUAAUGUACAUUGUCUUUGGAAUGAUCAGUUGUUCUUCCUAUCUUGCCAAUUCCGAGAAUGAAACCUUUCUUCCCACCACCAAAUGACACACCACCGCCCUGGUGUGCUUCCAAAUAAAGGAAGUUUAGAGUAUCUCCAGUCAUGUGCCUUGAGCAUCCACUGUCCAUGUACCAGCACUGACUAUUUUUUCUAUUCUGCACAAGAAUCACUUAUUAGACUUAGGAACCCACUUCAGAUGUAGUUCCCAAAAACUAUCAAAAGGCUUAAUGAGAUACCUUCCUGUCCAUGGGGGCAAAAUGUUCUUGCUAAAAUGGUAAUUGGGACCAGGUACUUUUUUCUGUUUUUCAAAAACCUUUCUCGAUUUAAGAAACUUUUCCUGCCUUUCUUUUACUCCUCUCAAAAUCUCACAAUUUUCUUUCAGAUAACCAUUUCUUCCACAAUGGGUACACAAAAGAUUGUCAGAGACAGACACAUUUACUGUGGGGAUUGUAGGGAGGCUCUAUCUGUCUACAACCUAACCCCUUUUUUGCUGUUGAACUUCUGAUUUGCUAAGUUAGAGAGUAUCUUAGACGAAUCAGUCCAUUUGAGGGAGUGGUUCAACUCUUCUUUGAUCUUACAUAGAUCCUUUACUAAUUGAGAGUUCCUUUCAAGGGAGGCAACUAACUUAGACUCUGAGGUCUUAAGUUCUUUUCUAGCUCAACCUUAAAGUUACUGAGUUUUUGUUUCCCACCCUCAGAGGUACCAGGUUCCUCAUUGAGUUGCAAGCUACCAGUCUCUAGGAUACCUAUCCUAACACUCAUUUCAGACAUUUGAGAGUUAAGAGCUGAGUUUUCAUCCUCGCACAAAUUCAGUUUUUCACUUAUCAUCAAAUUUUCAGAGGUUAAUUCAUCAACUGAGUCAAUUAAUACAGCAGCAAGUUUUCUCAAUCUUUUAAUGGGAAGAGUAUCUAGAUCAUUUUUUAGAUCUAAAAGGGUUACCUCAUUCAGAUCCUCUUCAUCGUCAGAUUUUUCCAUUAGUGAGAAAAUAGAAUUGAACAUAGUUUCAUCAUCUUCGAUAGCCAUCAUCGAGACAUCUUCAUGACUGUCUGCCUCUUCCUUAGAUUCGCUGGAUGCAUUUCCCAUACAGCCAAGGCUUUCUUCAACAGUUGAUCAGCAUGAGCCCUUCUCUUUGCAUGGUCUAGGACCUGGUCCCUUCGGCGAGGUCUGAAGUCUUGAGUUUCCUUCUUCUGACUCGAACAAUCCCUCAUAAAAUGACCAGGUUUGCCAUAUUUAUGACAUAGAUCAUUUGCAUUUGCUGCUCUGCUGGUCGAACCCUUCUUUUGGAAGCCUCCGUGUUGCUUGAUAAUCUUCUGGAAUCUUUUAGUUACGUAUGUCAUUUCAUCCUCCUCCUCAGUCCCAUCGUUUGAAGAUGUUUUCAAUGCAACUGAUCUCUCAUUCUUUCCCUCCUUUAUGUUUGACCCCUGUUGUUUGUUUAACUAAUAGGUUUGGAGAUUUACAAUCAGUUCAUCCAUGGUGAGCACCUUUAGAUCCUUUGCCUCAGUUAUAGCAUUCACUUUGCUCUCCCAUGACUUGGGAAGCACUUUGAGAAUCUUUCAAAUGUGUUUGCUUGGUGGAAUAGGUUCACCAAGGCAUCUCAAUUCGUUGGUUAUGGAGGUGAAUCUUGAACUCAUCUCGUGAAUGGUUUCACUUUCCUUUAUACAGAAGUUCUCAUAUUGAGUCGUAAGCAUAUCGACCUUAGACUCCUUCACUUGUGUAUUUCCCUCAUGGGCUAUUUAGAGACAGUCCCAUAUCUCUUUGGCUGUCUCGCAGGUAGAGAUUCUAGUGUACUCAUCUGAGCCGAUUCCACAUACCAAAAUCUUCUUUGCUCUGUAGUUCUUCUCUAUCUUGUUCCUGUCCAUUUCAUUGUACUCCUUUCUGGUUUUGAUAACCAUCGUAGUAAGUUCUCUAUCUUUCACUUCUUUUGUGGGAAUGUAAGGUCCGUCGAGAAUCACGUCCCACAGCUUAGUGCCUUCAACGUUGAUGUAGUCAUGAAUGCGAUUUUUCCACCAACCAUAGUACUGCCCAUUGAAACGAGGUGGUCUGGUACAUGACUGACCUUCCUCCAUGUUGAGAGGAACAACCAUUCUUUCAGGAUCUUUUCUUUUCUUGGUGUUACCCAAAUAGAAAAGUCAAGCUCUGAUACGACUUGUUGGAAUGUAUACGUCCACUAAGUAUGAUAGGAACAGGUCCUCAACACAAUAAUAAUGAACAGAAAAUAAUUACUAAAAGUAAAGAUGACACACAUACUUUACGUGGAAACCUCCUUGCUCAAGGGAGUAAAACCACGACCUAUCUUACAGGAUUUUCAAACUGCUUUUACCAAACUUCACAAGCCAAAGUAAAAUCCAGUUUAUAACACACACAAGAUCAACCUACUAAUCUCUAUUCUGAGUAAUACAAUAUCACUCAAUGAGCCAAAGCAAUGCCUGCAUUGCCCACUAUACUAACCCAACUGAUUAAUAUAGACUUUUACGUAAGACCCUAAGUUGCCCUCAACUAAGUUCUUACAAUGAUUCACCCAAGGUUGAAACAUUUCUAUCACAAGCGAAACGAUUCCUACAAUAUAAGCACAAAUACAAGCAGUCAAAGUAACAGUUGGUUCAGCAAGCAAUAAUGCACUCUAUUAGGUCCCUUGUUGUUUUGAAGCUUGAAUAUCUCUCUUUGAAUGAAUGAGCAAUUUCUUGUUUGUGAUGUUGAAUAUAUCAUCCAUGAAGAGUUAUGACCGAUGUACAAACAACCUUGUCCUUUCUGAUUGGUGUGGUACACUGACGACCUCACCAAACUCUGACAUAACAGCUUGUCAGCUGUAUAACAUAAGGUCCUGGACAAGCAUACUCUACAGAGGACCGGGUCCCUGCACUUGUGAGGAGAUCAUCAAAACAUUUGGAAGCAUUAAGACUUAUUAGACUAAAUUUUAUUGCUUGUCAUUUGACAAAUCAGUGAGGUGCUUUGUUAAUUGCUAUGUCUUACUUUUAUGAAGUGAAACUUAUCUUCUUCAAAAAUCUCGCCACACAAGUGUCGGCGCACCAUGUAUCAUGUGGCAGUUUUGAAGAGUCCGAGCAAUAUUUUACCUUUCUUCAUGAACUGGCCGUUAACAAUCCUUUAAGUGAAGCAGUUAACACACAUUAGAAAGACAUAAAUUAAACCCUUGUUCUGGAGAGAAAGCACAAGCCAAAAGUUUUUCUUAAAAGAGUUUGGGACUAAGAUUUCUGAAAAAAACAUAUAUCCUAACCAAAUAUCCUUGGAACGUGGAAAACAACAUACUCAAUGUAAUCCCACAAGUAAUGUCACGAAUAGCAUUCACCCUUACCUUGGGAAUGAUGGAGAAAUUUCACGAAUAGCUGUUUUUAGAGCUAGAAAGUAGUGAUGUGCAAAAACUGAACCAGUUGAUAAAUUGAACAAAAAAAGUGUUAUUGGAUUAACGGUUUUUUAAUGGUUCUAUAAAAAAAAUUAUCGUGUUAUCAAUUCAAUUUUAGUUUUUUAAUAUUGGGUUAUUGGAUAAAUCGAUAAUUCAUUAAGAUCGUAGUAAUUUACUGCUUUUCCUAUACAUAAAUAUUAAAUAUUAAGGGAAAAUGCACAAGUACCCCCCUCAACUAUACGCGAAAUCCAAUGACACACGUUAACUAUACAUUAGACCUAUUACCCCCCUGAAUUAUUUUAAAGUUUAAUAAACGCACCCUUUCGUGCUGAGGUGGCACAGAGAGUGAGGCAUGUAAGAUACGAAAAAAGGUAUUAAAAUCUGAUUAAUAUGGACACGUGUUCAUUUUUAAUUGGACAUUUUAUAAUUAAUUUGUAGAGAUAGUUAAUUAACUUUAAAACUUAAAUUGAUAUUAUUUCUAAGGGAAAAGGUAGAAGUACCUCCCUAGACUAUGACCCAAAUCCCAGAGACACACUUUAACUAAACUAAUUAAGGUCCUAUUAUCCCCCUGAACUGAUUUUUUUUAAUUUUGUACACCUUUUUGGCUUACGUGGCAUCCAAAUAUCUCUCACGCGCCUCAACUGCGUGGAGUCAUGGGUGUGCCACAUAAGCCAAAAGGUGUACAAUAUUAUAUAUAAAAUGAGUUCGGGGGGGGGGGGGUAAUAGGACCUUAGUUUAGUUAAGGUGUGUCUCUGAGAUUUCGCUCAUAGUCUAGGCGGGUACUUGUGCCUUCUCCCUUUUCUUAAAAUUAAAUUUCUUUGUUUCUUUAUGAAAUAGAGUCAAAUUUUAUCAUUUUUCACAACAUAUUUAAAUUGUCAGAGAAUUCUUUUCAGUGUCUUUCAUUAAUUUGUAUAGUAUCGAGAGAAUUUUUUUCUUUUUCAUUUUUUACUCAAAUAAAUUACUUGAAAUUCUCUAAUGAGGAAAAAAAAAUUGCAUAUUGGAAAUUUAAUUUAGGAAACAUAUAAAGAGCAUAAUUUAAAUUAGAGUUUUUUUUUUUAAUUUAUAAAUAAAUAGUUUAAUUACCAUCCCCUCCUUAAUUAUCCAUGUCAUACCCCUACCCUACCCCCAACCCUCANNNNNNNNNNNNNNNNNNNNNNNNNNNNNNNNNNNNNNNNNNNNNNNNNNNGUUCUCCAUCAAUAACACCCUCCCUCCUUCUCUUCCCUUCUAACUUCAAUCAGCCUUUAUCUUGACCAAAAUUCAAACAGAAAAAUGACCCCAAUUUUGAAUUCUUCUUGAACUAGAGUUCAAAAUUUGGGUAGUUUCUUCAAUGGAGAUUUUGGACCAUGUUUAUGAAACUUAUUUGGAUUAUUUGGAUUGAAAGAAAAAUAAAAUUGAUAGUGGAUAUUGAAUCCGGUGGUAGUGAAGGGAUAAAUUUGGUGGUGGGUUAUAAUUUUCAUGGUGAUUGCUAUGAGCUUUAAUUGUUAAAAUAAGUGGGUUUAGUGGUUAUGGAGUUGGUGUUGAUAAUAAUGAAGAAGAAAUCAAAUGACAUGAAAUUUUUAUUUUUUUUAUAGAUCUGAUCAUUUAUUGACAUGGCGCUGACAUAAUGAUGACUUGGAGGCCAGUGUAAAAUACCUCCCAUCAUGUGAGUACUGGCUAUAUAGGUUUUAGGUUGUGUUAAGGGUGUGUUUAUUACACUUAAAAAUAAUUCAGGGGGGUAAUAGGACUCAUGUAUACUUAAGGUGUGUCGCUGGGAUUUCGCAUAUAACUGAAGGGGCUACUUGUGCAUUUUUCCUAUCAAUACCUUACUAGUUAAUGACUUUGUCGUUUAGCCUUCAAUUCACACUUUACAGUGACUUUGAGUUCACAACUUCACAUUAUACAAAACAUCAAAACCUAAAGUAAAAACCCUGUUCAUUUAAUUUCUCUUUGUGUUAUACUUGUAUAGUUCUUUUCAUGUUAGUUAUUAUUGUUUCUAUUUUAUAAGUAUUUGUAAGUUACAUUAUUGUCUUGUUGCAUCAAAUUGUUGUAGAAGUCGUGUUUGUUUUAGAAGCAUUUUCUUAUUGGUUAAACCGAAAACCGAACCGUAAAGGACCAAAAUCGAUAAACCAAAAACCAAUAAAGAUAUCUUAUUGGCUUAGUGUAUUUAAAAAUCAAAAAUCGAUAAACCGCACCGAUAAUACAUAGAAUCGAACAAAACCAACCGAUGCACACCCCUACUUGUAAGUAACAAAAUGGAUAAAUUAGCUAACUAGUUAAAAUCUCUAACAUAAUUAUUAAAAACAUCUACACUAAUGGAUAGAAUCAUAUUUUCUCCGUAAUAAAGAAAACUCAAUCUAAAAAGAUAAUCAUCAAUUUUUAUUACAGGAUGUUAAGAUUAUUAUAUUUGAUUAGGUAUGUUUAAAUCUAUUUUUUCCAAAAAAAAUUGUAUCAAUUCUUUCAAUUAUCACUUGCAAUUUUAAGUUGUGCAUUUAGUGUAAUGCAAUAAACAAAGAUAUUUAUGUGCAAAAGCAUAGUUACGUAUUGUGUAUUAACUUCUUUUCAUGAUGUAAAUGUAAAGUCUUUGAAUUAUUUUUGGAGUAAUUUAUAUUUAUGACUUAUAUGGCAUUUAACAAAAAUGUGACGCAAUAUAGAAAACGAAAAGUUUUCUAGGUAACUUUAUGUAACAUUUAAUUAAAAUAAUUUUGAGCAAAUUAUUUGUACUCUCAUUUUAUUUAUUUUAGUUUUGAUGAAAUGCACACAUUUCGUUUAGACCACAUACAUAAACAAGAGUUACAAAUUUUAAAAAAUGAUAAGAAAUAGUAAUAUCUAAACACAAAAAUGCGCAUAAUAUUUUUCUUGCUAUACGAUUAAAAAAAGGAAUUGAGGUUUCAUUAUUUUUCUCCCAUAAAACUUGCAUAAAACUACGAUAUACAUUUUUGCCUUAACUUUUUCCACCGUAACUUACAUUUUAUUUCUUAAGUUUCAAAAGGAACUCAACAUAAUAUCUUUUAAAGAUAAAAAGAAGAUUUUCAAAACAUGUUUACCAACUUCCCUUGAGCCCAUAUAGCAGUAUUCUACUUUAUUGUUUUGGUUAUUUACCAUUUCAAUUUUAUAAUAUUUAUAUAUUUGUUGAAUAUAAAAUUUUCAUAUUUUUGUAUGUUUUGCGUUAUUUUAAUUAUUUAAUUAUACGUACACACUUUUAAUGAUAUAUCUUUUUUAUAUAUCAUAUGUACACACUUUUAAGAGAGAGAGAGAGAGAGAGAGAGAGAGAGAGAGAGAGAGAGAGAGAGAGAGAGAGAGAGAGAGAGAGAGAGAGAGAGAGAGAGAGUCUUUUAAACAUAGAAGGUUAUAUCUGUUUUAGAUAUACAAAAGGAAAACUAUGUAUAUAUAUUCACAACUUUUAAUGUAUACAAUUUCUUUAUUUAUAAAUUGGACAUAAAAUGUUAGUCCACAGCAUUUUUGUGUUUAUCAUCUUAAAAUUCUUAUGUAAUUUUUUAUUUAUUGGUCAUUUGUUUCUAUUGUUAUUAAUAUAUUGCUUUAUUUAACUCUUUUUUUUCAUUUUGAAUAAUAUGAUGACAAGUUCAUCUUGUAUUCUUAUUGCUUUUCGCGUUAAAUUGGGUUAAUAUUACAAUUUUUUAUGGUAAAAGUGGAAGGUUUUAAAUUCAAAAUUAAAUUAUGAAAAUGCCCUUCUCUACUUAAUUUAAAAAUUACUUUUUACUAACUUUUCAAAUUAAAUCAAUAAUGACAAUUAAUAAAUUAUAUAUUAGAAAGUUUAUCUCAAGGGAAAAGGGUUCAAAACACACACAAACUUUGAUCGAAAUUGUUGUUAUACACUCCAACUUUGUGAGGGUUCUAUGACCUUCCUAAACUAUUUUUAGUGUAUUAUUGUGGUUAUUAUCAGCUUAGUUGGAUGAGCAAGUGACCAACACUCUCGAUUAGCACGUCAGGGUGAAAUUAAAGUAAAAUGAACCCCUUUAUUUGCCAUGUUGCAAUCCACAUCAUUCCUUUUUUUUCAUUAAAUAUCCUUAAUUUUACCUGUUAAGUUAAUAUUAUUUUUUAAUUAGGGAAUAUAUACAGAUGUCAAUUUUUAGUUGGAUUUUCCUUUAAUAAAUUACACUUAAUUAUAAUUAUCAUUAAUAUUUCUUCUUCAUCAAAAAUUCAGUCGCUUCACUGUGUCGAUCCCAACAACAGAAAACUCUGUCGACGCCGACAACGAAAAACUCAAUCACAACAAUUAUCAAAAAUAUAAUCACCACCACACGAGUACCAUGUACCUCCCUCAAUCGUAACAACUACCUCCACACAAUCGAAAUUGCAAAUUUGCAAUGAACUGGAUCUACAAAUUGUACCAUUUCCAAAUUUCGUCACCACCGAAUCGUCAUCACUUCACCAUCAUCACACAAAAAAAAAACCUCCAUCACCACCAAAAUGACAAAGACGACCACAAAGUUUUAGUUUUUUUAGAAAGAUAGGAAAUUUAUAUGAAAAUUUAUAGCCGAAAAAAUUCAUUACUCGUUAGAAAGAAAAACUCAAUGUAUAUAUUGGGUUUUCUACUGAUUGAAUUUCUUAAAGAAAUUUUUGUUGAUGUAGUUUAAAAGGAUGUUUUUGUUGGAUUUUAAUGUGAAAAUCUUCAUGUAAGGAUCUAAAUUGAAAGGAUGGUGUAGUGGUAGAAGAAGGUAUAAAAAAAUAAAGAAAAAAUAGGAAAAGAUUUGAAGAAAAAAAAUGAUCAAUACAGUGGCAGGCGUGUGUACCACCUUUUGGAUAAAAACUUGGUUUUGACCUUUAAAAGAGGUAAUAAUUCCACUUCAAAAUAAUACUGGGGGGUCAUAGGACCCUCAAAGUUAGAGUGUGUAACAACAAUUUCGGUCAAAAUUUGUGCGAAUUUUGAACCCUUUUCCCUUAUCUUAAAAUACUCAACUUUAUUAUAUUAGCUUUUAAUUGUAUGUAAUUUAUUCAAAUUAAUAUCUUUAAACUCUCAUGCAUUAAUGACACCUUCCACUAAUUAUAAAUGAGUUUUUCUAAAGCUAUUUUAAAUAAUUUAUUAUUGCAAAUUUUCAUAUGUUACAUGGACGAGCUUGAUGGUACACAAUAAGAUAAAGAUAUUAGAAACAUGAGUUAAGAUUGUAUAAAUUUAAUAUAAUAAUAGGGGUAAAAUGUGCGACGUACUUUUCCAGAACUAGUAAUAAUAAAAAAUUAACAUCAAACAAAGGUGAAUUUUGUAAGUAUAAAAUAAUCGAUAUUCAUGUUAGAUAAAUAAAUUAAAAUAGUAGCCACUAUAUUGCUAACAAUGGUAAUUAUGGUGUACGAAAAGGAUAUGCCAGAAGAACAAGUGAAGGGGAGGGUUAAAGGUUGGGUCGUUGAAGUGACAUGCCACAUGACGUCCAUUUAUCAAAAUAUAGGUAUCAUAUAGGAUUGAGAGUCUACAUUAAACACUCCCAACGAGAAGAAGCAUAUUUGAAUUUAAGUUUUAACUGACAACACAAAUAUUUUUGUAUGAAUAUAUAAUAAUAAUAUAAAAGAGGGUAAAGUUGAUCUUUUUCUCGAAGUAAAUGGACAACUUUGACGGCUUAUUACUAUAAUUUGGAAAAAAAUUCAAAAUGAAAAAAUAUAAGGUUUUUGUUAUAAAUAUAUUUAUAGAUUAUUGAGAAUGUCGAUUUAGUUUUUCUUUUUAUAUAAAAAAAAUAAUACCACUUUUAUUAAAGUAAAGAAAUACUACUAAUUAUGUAAAAAAUCUAGAAAUCACGUUAAUUAUUAACUAAAAUAUGAAUAAAAAAUUAUGAUUAAAAAAUAACUUAUUUAAAUUUCAAAUUCAAAAAGAGUAUUUUGAAUUAACCAAAAUACCCUCCGGCAUUGCCGUGAAGAAGAAAGAAACCUAUUGGAGCCAAGGAAAUGCCCAAAUGGGAUCUGAAAUCUAUGCCGAAUUCAAUUAAAGAUUCAAUUUUUACACUACCCAUUCAUCCAUCAGUGAAAAUCUUGGCUUUCUUUAAUCUAUAGCCCCAAAUUUAUCAAUACCCAUCUUAUCUUUCCGGAUUGUGGUUAAUGGAUUGAUUUUAAAUUGUCUUAUUCUAUAUGUAUGUUGACGAGUAAUUCCGAUUUCAUAUAUGGAUUUGGCUAGGAUGAGUUUUGUGAUGAUUAUAAGGUAGUGUGUAUAGUUACAAUUCACCAAAAUGGCAGUGUGUGUAGUGUUGAGGUCAAAAUAUAUAGUUUAAAGAGUGAUUCUCAGAGUUUGGGAUAGGAUGCGUUCCGUGAGUUUGGGGAUGUUUUUUAAUUGGAAGCUUCAUUGGACUUGGUGAGUACAGAGGUUGGGGGGAGACCUGGAGCAUCGUUUCUAUUGAGAAAUGGGAAGGUGGAGCUGCCUUGCGUUGGAGAAGAAAAUUUUCGUUUUAAGCUACGAGUGUUGGAAUAAAGCUGAUAUUCUGCUUGUUUUUGGAGCACCUGGGGUGAUACAGAAUCAAGAAGAGAUACACCACCGGUUAUCAAAAAGAUAUACGAUCAAAGGGACGAUACAGAAUCAAGAGGAGAUACACCAUCGGUUAUCAAAAAGAUGUACGAUCUAAAGAUUGAUUCGAUUAGAUAUGCACAAGUUACUAACCUAAGAAUCUUCCACAAUGACAAAGCAGGACAAUCAAACCUUAUUCUCCAAAAGCUAAAAAAAUUUGGCAACCAAAAUGGAGUUGGGGGAAAAUGAAAACACCCAUCAAACCCAAAACGGAGCAAACCCAUUAACCACCAUUCUGAAUUUCCAUCAACUUCGGUGCGAGAUUUCCAAUACCCAAAUGACAUCUGAAGCCUCGGAUCCACCGCCGCAUGGGAGCAAACCCUCAAACUUCGCUGAAUUUUCAUCAACUUCAAUGAACAAUUCAAUCUUGACAAUCCCAUUUCUGCCGGCAGAACUCAUCAUUGAAAUCCUCUCAAGGCUUCCUGUGAAAUCUCUCUUGAAAUUUAGGUCUGUUUCGAAAUCUUGGCUUUCUAUAAUUUCUAGCCCUAAAUUUAUCAAAACUCAUCUUAGGGUAUCUAUUGAUAACAAGGAGUGUACUCACCAUAGGCUCUUGAUGAAAUUGUAUCGGGCUAAUAGCAAUCUUAAGGACUGUUCUUUUAGCUCUUUACUUUACAAUGAAUCUGUUAUUGAGGCAAAUGACUUGAAUUGUCCCAUGGAAAACUCCGGUGUAUCUUUUUGCAUUGUGGGUUCAAUCAAUGGACUGAUUUGUUUUGCCGAUGGGACAGGAGACUUGUUCUUAUGGAAUCCAACAAUUAAAAAGUACAAGAAAUUGUCUCAUCGUAGAUUGACAAGUAAUACCAAUUUCAUAUAUGGUUUUGGAUAUGAUGAGUUCUGUGAUGAUUAUAAGGUAGUAUGUAUUGUUGCAAUUUACCAACAUGGCGGUUAUUCUACUGUUGAGGUCAAAAUAUAUAGUUUAAAGAGUGAUUCUUGGAGAAAUAUGGAUGAUUUAGGGGAUAGGAUGCGCUCUAGGACUUCGGCUACGUUCGUAAAUGGGAAGCUUCAUUGGACUACUUCUUGUGGUCUUGGCGAGCUUAGAGGUCGGGGGACCUGGAGCAUCGUUUCUAUGGAUAUGGCUGAUGAGAAAUGGAGAAAGAUAGAGCCCCCUUGCUUUGGAGAAGAAGAUUUUGGUUUUAAGGUAGGAGUGUUGGGAAAUAACCUUUCUGUACUUAGUAUGAACGUCCUCCUCACUCGCGUAAAUAUAUGGGUUAAGGAGGAGUAUGGGGUUAAAGAGUCCUGGACAACAAUGUAUACCAUAAAGUGUCUCAACGAUCUUGACAGGCAUUUUCUUUACCCAUCAUGUUACAUGUCAAAUAAAGGUGACACUCUUCUUGUUUAUGUAACACCUGGAAUGAUACAGAAUCAAGAGGAUACACCAUUUGUUAUCAAAAAGAUAUGUGAUGAUCCGAUUAAAUAUGUAGAGGUUACUAACUUUGGUGCCCGUUUGUCGAAUGAAAUCUACAUUGAAAGCCUUGUCUGUCCGCUUUCACAAAACCAACAAGGAUUAAGCAAGAAUGAAGGUUGCAGAUGCUCAGAUGAAUUACAAUUGUGUAACUUAUGAUUUGUAAGUUUCUACUUAAUACAUGUCUCGCAAGUGCAGUUCAAUUCUUCUUCUAUUGUCAAAUAUAGAAAAAUACAUUGCAUGUUCAAGGUUCUUUUGAAUACAGCCUCUACCUUCUCAAAGGUAGGGGUAAAGUCUGCAUACAUACUUCUCUCCCUAGACCCCACUUGUGAGAAUACACUGUGUUUGUUGUUCCUACAUUGCAUGUUUAAGGGACAUCAUCACACAAGGUCUGGUUGAGAUCUUCUCUUGUCCUUUUUCUUUUUGGUGUCUUCAAAACUCAAAAACUAAAUAAAGUUGGAAAUUGAUUCUCUUUUCAAGCUGCAUUUUAAGGGAAUGAGACAUAUCUUUAGUGUGAGACAUGAAAAUAAUGCCAGGUGAAUGCUCCAAUAAAACUAGGCAUAGCCAUUGUCGGGAUUAUGGUUUGUUUAGGAUCUUCAUUACUAGUGCUCUUUAAAAUACCGUUAAUAGGGAAAAGGUUGAGUAUUUUUCAUCAUUACAUAGUUCUAAAUUGAUGUAACCUCUAGUCUCUUGCGGCAGAUGAAGAUAAUUGUAAAAAUGUUGAGUAUUUUUCAUCAAAUGACUGUGUUUUGAAAGAGUAUCAGCAGGGAAAUUGGCCUCUCUAAAGACAUGAUUGCAUUGAAAAAAAUCAGUCAUUUUAAUCAAGUCUUGAAGUUCCAUGAUAUUUUUGUAGAUGCUCCAAGGAGGGGAUACUUUCUUGCUUGAGCAAUUUCACUAAAAGUUCAGAAUCUACUUCCAAAAUGAUCCUACUAUACCCAUGUUGAAUACACCAAUUCAUCCCAAAGGCUGCAGCUAUAACUUCUGCUUGAUUGUUUGAACCCACACCUAAAGGUAGGCAUAGAUCAGUUUGCCUUUAUGAUCUCUCAGUAGGUCCCCAGCUCCAAUCCUACCUGGAUUCUCCAGAGCACUACCAUCAGUAUUUAAUUUAACUAUGGACUGAGGAGGUUUCCACCAGUUUACUUGAGUGACCUUUAUAUCAUGUUGACAGUUCUCCACCAGAGAACUGAACUCAUUCCAGUUGUUAGGCCAUUUGAUGGAUGGAUAAGUAGUGAUAAUAAGCAUGUGAAGCUCCUUGGAGAUAAAGAAUUUGACUCUAGUUGUACUUGAUUGUUUCUCACCAUAUUUACUAGCACACUUAUUCUUCCAAAGGUUCCAGCAAAUGAAAAUGGGGGUGCCUUUCAUUAUGAGCUUGUAAACUUCAUUGUUAGGUUUAGUAAUCCACCAAUUCAUCAGCAUCCUCCUCAUAGGGGUUCUGCUAUGUUGUACCCCCAGCCUGCUAGCAAAAUGCUUCCAAAUAUGCUUAACAAAUUUUCCAGAAAUGAAAAUAUGAUCAACAUCUUCCUGGAAUGUAACAACCUGAACAAUUUGCAGUAGAGUGUCCAAAGGCACUAAUUUUGUCAUUUGUUUGGGAGCUUGAGUCUGAGUGCUCUCCAUAAUAAAAAGGAGACCUUGAAAGGAAUAGCUUUAUGCCAAAUUAGGGAUUCAGUUGAAGUCCUAUUCCUUUUCUUCCUCACAUGCUCCCAUGCUGAAGCACAAGUGAAACUCCCACUGGUAGUAAGUUUCUAGAUGGCUUGAUCUGGGAUGUCUUGUUGCACUCUAACAUUAGUAUUGAGGAUUUUAUGAAUGAGUUGUUGAGGUGCACGCUGUCUUAUUUUAUCCUCAUUCCACUCUCCAUUAACAAGGUAGCUGGAAACUGUGACAUUAUUUAGACUGGGAAGGUAAUCAGGGGCGGAGGUACACUAUGCUCAGGGUGUCCAAAUUGGACACCCUUCAUCAGAAAAUUACAUCGUAUAUAUAAGUAAAAUUAUACUUUAAAUGGUUAAAUACGACAUUUUGGACACCCUUAAGCACAGUAAAGUUUCUUAGCCCAGCGGUAUCUUUGCCCAACGUGAAGUUUUAUUAAUGUGCGCACGCACGGGUUCGAAUCCCAAUUGCUGCAUUUGUUGUUACAUUUUCAAAAAGCUCCUAAUUAAUUUCUAAUUAUAGUUAAUAAAUCAGUUAUGUUUUUAAUAAUUCAAAAUUAAUAUUAUCUAUUAAAAUCUUAAUUAGAGACCUAAUCAUAUUUAAUAAAUAUGUUAUUUUUUCAACAAUUCAAAACUCAUUAUCUAUUAGAAUAAUCUCAAAUUAAAGACCUACAAAUUAAAAAUAUAACAAAAAAUAAAAUUAAAGCAUAGUAAACAUUAAAUUUUAAUCACUUUUUCUUUUCACUAAAAUUUUAAAUAAAAUUUAAAAGUAAUUGUUUAAUUUAAAUUUAAUAAGCAAAUUCUAUUUUUUUUCUAUAAAGCUACUAAAGGUGAAAAAGGCUCUAUAUAGAAUUUCUUUUUAGAAAAACUCGUUUGAUUUUACUCUUUAUUUUGCAUAUCUUGUUGUUAAUUCACCAAAGGUUGGUGAAAUCUUGAAGUAUAAAAGUGAUUUCAUUAUAAACUGAAUUUUCUCUCUCUUUUUUCUUUUUCGUUCACUUCCUAUUAAAUAAACAUGAAAAUUCAAGCUAAAUUUUAUGUGGUUUGAUUUUAAAAAUUUUAGUAUAUUUUUUUAUUUUAAAAAAUUAAUUGUUAAUGAAUGUUACGUAGUUUGAUUUCAAAAUUUUUGUGCACCCAUCGUUAAUUUUUUUUUUUUUACCUAUGCAAUUCUUGGACACCCUUCGUGAAAUUUCUGGCUACGCCACUGAAGGUAAUCACUGUGAUUUGCUAGAGAUCCUACCCCAAGCCAGUCAUCCCACCAAAAACUGCAACUUCCAGAGUUAAUAGUCCAUUGAAUGUGAGGUUCAACUUCCUUCCUGUUAAUGAUCAUAUUCUUCCAUAUGAGAGAUUGUCCAGAGUUCCAUUUUUUAAUGACAAGAUUAGCAUCUACAAAUUAUUUUCCAAAGUAUUGACAGAGAGGCUGAAAGGAGUGUUCUCCAAUCUGGUGGAUGUUCAGCAAAUGGCUUUCAUCAAAGGCAGACAAAUCAUGGAUGCAGUUUUAGUGGCAAAUGAAGCAAUAGACUCAAGAGUGCAACAAAAGAAGCCUGGUAUCCUAUGCAAACUAGAUAUAGAAAAAGCAUAUGAUCAUGUAAACUGGAGUACUUGCUAUGUAUGCUGAAGAAGUUGGGCUUUGGGAAAAAAUGGAUACAUUGGAUCAGAUUUUGUAUAUCCACUGUUAGUUAUUCUGUGUUGAUUAACGGAUCACCUACUAGCUUCUUUAAGGCUCAAAGGGGUCUCAGGCAAGGAGAUCUUAUGUCUCCUUUGUUGUUUAUCAUUUCCAUGUAAGGACUGAAUACUAUGUUAAAAAUAACUAAUAUGUAUGGAUGGAUAAAGGGUUUUGAGGUAGCUAGGGUUGGGAGUGAUAGCCUAGAGGUGACUCAUUUGCAAUAUGCUGAUGAUACCCUCAUAUUUUGUGAUGCUGAUAGAACCAAUUGAGACAUCUCAGAAUAAUCUUAGUGCUCUUUGAAGGCAUCUCAGGCCUUCACAUAAACUGGGGUAAGAGCUUUCUUUACCCCAUUAAUGAUGUGCCCCACAUGAAUUCGUUGGCAUAUAUUCUAGGAGGAGAGGUAAGGUCUUUGCCAACCCUUUAUCUGGGAAUGCCUUUGGGGGCCAAUUCAAAGUCUAUUGAGAUUUGGGAUACUAUUAUUGAAAAAUGUGAAAAGAAAUUAGCAAGAUGGAAGACCCAAUACUUGUCAAGUGAAGGUAGACUGACUUUGAUCAACUCAGUCCUUGAUGCACUUCCAACAUACAUGAUGUCCUUGUUUCCCAUUCCAUCAAGAGGUUGGAUAGAAUUAGGAGGAACUUCUUAUGGCAUGGUGACAAAGAGAAGAAAGGCUACCAUUUGGUCAAGUGGAACUCAGUCAUUUGUGCAAAAAAAUGGGGUGGUUUGGGCAUCAAGAACCUGAAAAUCCAAAGUAAAGCUCUAAUGAUGAAGUGGUUGUGGAAGUUCACCAAAGAAAACCACUUAUUGUGGGGAAGAGUAAUUAAAGCCAAAUAUGAACAAGAGGAUAGUUGGAUGACCAAGGAAGUCAAUACUCCAUAUGGGGUCAGCCUAUAGAGGUCUAUCAGAUCCCUCUGGAGUGAGUUGAAAACUCAAUCAAGAAUCAAAGUGGCAAAUGGAAACAAAACUAGAUUUUGGAAGGAUAAUUGGCAUGAGAUUGGUAUCAUGAAACUGGUCUUUCCGGAUAUCUUCAACCUAGUCCUUCACCAACAGAAAACUAUAGCUGAAAUGUGGAUAUCUGAUGGGUGGAGCUUGAAUUUUAGAAGACAUUUCAAUGAUUGGGAGGUUCAAAGAGUGGCUGAUUUCCUCAGCAAACUUGAUCAAUUUCCUGGGGUUCAAGCUGGUGAAGAUCAUUUAUGGUGGCAGGGCAACUCCAAAGGCAUUUUUAAGGUUAAUGCUGCAUAUAAAAUUAUGAACCAGUCCAACCACCAGAUAGCAAGCUGGCCAUGGAAGCAGAUUUGGAGGAUAAAAGUUCCCCACAAGGUAUCAAUUUUGUAUGGUUACUAGCAAAGGAGGCCACUUUAACACUGGACAACUUGAUGAGCAGAGGUAUGACACUGUGCUCAAGAUGCUUCCUGUGUAAAGAAACAGCUGAGACAGUCAACCAUCUAUUUCUGCAUUGUCCAUUCACAGCUCAUUUGUGGAGAAUCAUCCUAAACCAUAAGGGUAUAGCAUGGACAAUGUCAGGCAAGAUAACAGAGGCCCUUAGCCGCUAGGAGGGAACAUGUUCACAUGCUAAGGAUAGGAGUAGAUGGAGAAUUGUCCCAACUUGUAUCUGGUGGACAAUUUGGAAGGAGAGGAAUUCCAGAUGUUUUGAGAGCUUAGAGAAUGAUGUGCAGAAGAUCAAGUUGAACUUCAUCUUACAGCUAUGUUUUUGGUGUAAUCAAAUUUACUCUAAUGAUACUAUGUCUAUCAUAGAUGUUCUAGAUUCUUUAUAGCUAGAGAGGAAAGACACUAGAGCUCUAUUGUAAAUAUGAUUUCAGUACUACCCAAGUACUGUUUUGAUCCUUGAUAUGAUACAAAGUUACUGAUAGAAAAAAAAAAUGACAGGAUUUGCUCUUUGACAAUAUUUGGCUUUGAGGAAGUUACCCCAAAGGGACUUUUUGGAUCUGAACCAUUGUUUAUAAUGCAGAGAUAAACAAAUAUCGCCAAGAUUCUUCAUACCAAUUCCACCUUCUUCACAAGGAAAACCUGGAGUUUCCCAAGAUGCCUAAUGGUAAUUUCUUUGGUCCUUCUCCCACCACCAAAAGAAGUCAGCUACACCUGAUCUGUUUGAGGGUAGUAGUCGUAGGGAUGAUAGUAGUUAGCAGAUGUAUGGGAAUUAAAUAUAAGACAGAUUUGAUAAGAGUAGUUCUGCCCCCAUAGCUUAACAUUUUGGUUUGCCAUCCUUUGAUUCUGGCAAUAACUUUAACCACCAUGCCAGUGAAAUAAAUAAUCUUUUGACGACCAAUAUAUAAAGGACAACCCAAAUAUGUGAUUGGCCCAAAAGUGUGACUAAAACCAGUAAUAGCUUUAGUUCUUUCAAUGACAUCAGGAGGUGUUUUUUCUGGAAUAAGUAGCUGACUCUUCUCCUUGUUCAUAAGCUGUCCAGAAGUUGUUUCAUACAUCUGCAUAGCAUAAUAAGCUUCGAAGAGUAUUUGCUAGUUGAUGUGAAGAUUAUUAUAUCAUCUGCAAAGCUCAAAUGAUUUACUUGAGGACCAUUUCUUUCCAUAUGAAAGCCCUUAUAGAGAUAGUGUUGAUGAAGAUUGUUUAGCAUCCUAGUAAGGACCUCUGCACCAAUGAUAAAGAGAGCUGAGACAGAGGUUCACCUUGCUUGAGACCUCUUGUAGGAUGGAAGAAACCAUGUCUAGAACCAUUGAUAAUGAUAGAGUACCAAUUGUUUGACAUAAGUCUCCAAAUCAUGUCAAUGAUCAUUUCUCCAAAACCCAUUCUUCUCAUAACUAGACAUGUAUAGGACCAAGAAACCAUGUCAUAAGCUUUGGCCAUGUCAAGUUUUCUGACCACAUUGUCUCCUGUCUUGGGUUUAUUUAUAUCGUGAAUAAGCACCUAAGCUAGCAUAAUAUUUUCAUAAAUACUCCUUCCUUGAACAAAUCUAGACUAGUUCUCAGAAAUAAGACGAGGCAGGAUGGGGGCUAAUCUGAGAUAUAGCAGCUUGGAAAUAACCUUGUUGGUGCCCCCAAGGCCUAGCUCGAGUGGCAAAAGGUGGAGGAUCUGUGGCUUAGGUCGCAGGUUCAAGCCCCACAUCAUGCAAAGCGAAGCCUGUUAUUUAAAUGGAGAAGAGUAGAGGGGGGACCCAUUAUCCACCGAGUUUAGAAGGCUGUAAUUGGUCUAAAGGGCAGGUCACACAGAUUUCUCAGUUAUAAAAAAAUAACCUUGUUGGUAAAAUUACUGUGGAAGAUAGGUCUGAAUUCAGAAAACUUAUUAGGAUGAUUCACUUUUGGGAGUAACACUAGGCAAGCAUGAGAAAUAAAUUUAGGAAUACUGUGGCCACAAAAAAAAUAGUUGUAUCAUGUUAAUGAGAUCAUCACUGAUGAUAUACCAGCAGGAAUGGAAAAACAUGCCACUCAUUCCAUCAGGAACAAUUGCAGAAUUAACACUCAUUGACUAGAUAGCCUGUUUCAGUUCCCUUUUUGUUGGCAUGUCCUGGAGUUUUUGGUUUUGAUACUCAGUGAUCGUGCUAGGAAUGCAUCUAAGGACUUCCUCAUUGAUCAGGUUAUCAAACCCUAAAAAUGACUUCCACCCCAAAUAAAAUGACAAACAUUAAACAAUAUUCUUAACAAUGUGAAUUGAGCUUGACCAAAAGUCAAUAAUAUCCCCAUAUUAUGAGUAUUUAAGAGCCAAACAAGAUUCUAGAAAUCAACACACAUAAAACAUAAAUUUGAACUAUAUUAUUCGAACUUUUCAAAGUAUCAACAAAUACGUCUCAAAUCUUUCUAAAAUAGUACAUUUCUGAAAAUCCAACAUAAAUACGAUAACAUUUUUAAAGAGUCUGAUCAACAUAAAACUCGAAGUGCAAAGGCAUACCAGCUUUAUUGGGCAAGUUUCUCCAUUGACCUUCACAAUUUUCCUUAAUAUAAUUUGUAAGUAAUAAGUCUUCUUUUGUAGACCAGUGAUCAUGCUAGGAAGGCAUCUAAGGACUUGCAAUAUUCUCAUCCCCCUUGAUAGUAUUACCAUGAUAAUCACUGAUUUUGUGGAUAAACAACUUACUUCUCCUGCCUCUGAUAAUAGCAUGGAAAUACUUGGUGUUUGCAUAUCCAUCUUUAAACCACUGCAGCUGAGUUUUUUGUUUGAGAGUGGAUUGCUCAAUUUCUAAGUAUCUGAUGCAUUGAGCAUUAAUCUGAUUGAGCUUGGUUCUAUAUUCCUCAUUGUUGUCAUUGAUGAUAUCUGCUUCAGCACUUUUAACCUUCUCCUCAUACUCCUUAACACUGUUAAAAAUAUCUCCAUAUUCCUGUCCAGACCAGUUGCUAAGAGUAUUGGUCACUCUUUUCAAUUUUAGCUGAAAAAUUCUCAUAGGUUGCCUUCAACUGGUCUUUCCCAGCAAGUUUUCACAAUAUCCAGAAACUUUGGAUUGUCCACCCAAAAAUGUAGGAAUUUGAAGUAUUUACUAGUAUUGGUAUUUCUGUCAACACUUUCCAGAAGCAGGGGACAGUGGUCAGAACCAGUUGAGGCUAAGUGAGUGAUAUUAGACAUAGGCAACACCUCUAUCCAUUUAUCAUUGACCAUUGCUCUGUCCAGUCUCUUCCAAAUUCUAGCUUCACCAUCUCUGUGAUUACACCAAGUGAAUUUUUGUCCAUGGAAUCCCAAGUCAGUUAGUCCACUGGCUUCAAUAACACUAAUGAAUUCAAAAAAUUUAUUCAUGUUGUAAGGUAGUCCUCCCAUCUUUUCAUCAAUAUGACUGAUCACAUUGAAAUCUCCUAUAGUGCACCAAGGUUUGUCCAAUCUAGAAAAUUGAAGCAUCUUGUCCCAUAGGUCUCUUCUCAUAUGAUCUUUAUAUUUAGCAUAGACAAAGUGAGGAGGUAAGAAGUCUGUCAAGCUACAUGCUUAGCUUCACAAGUAACCUGCUGUUCAUCUUGAUCCAAAAUUUUACAGUCAACAUCUUGGUUCCAAAAUAACCAGAUCUUACUGUUGGAAUUGGGAGUAGCAUUGUCCAUCCUAAGCUGAUUUUAUAAUAGUUGAGCUGAUGUUUAUUGGUUUUGGGUUCAAGAAUUGCAAUCAUAGAGAGAUUGUAGUAAUCCUCAAGUUUUUGGAGUCUAUCCGAAGCACCUUGAGUGCUAAUACUCCUAGCAUUCCAACUAAUUGUACUAAUCAUCAAUGUUUUUGGGAUUUGGACCUGGUGUUGAUGUUACUUUUGGCAGUAAUUGUAUUAGCAGAGUUGCUGAUAAUAUUUUGUAUGUUUUUCUCUUUCUUCUCCUUUUGACCUCUAGGUGAUAAACCUGCCUUCUGAGUUACUUGUUGAAUUUCAUCCUGACAGUCAGAAUUCAUGGUGGAUCCAAAGGCUUUCAGUAGAUGAGCACUAGUUUCAUCAUCAUCUUCAUGUUCUUCCAAUUGAUCAGGAUCAUACUCUUCUUCAUAAUUGACCACCCUAUAAUCAUCAUUAUUGUCCUCAGUUGUAUUACUAUCACAAUUCACAAGGAUUAUCUUUGGUCUGGAGGGGAACUGCAUGGCUACCUACUUGCUCCUUAACCAACUCAUAGUCCACAUUCUGAUGCAUUUCAACAUUUCUUUUUUCUUCCAUUGCUUGUUUCUUUUUUAUAGCAUCUCUCUUUUAUUAACUGAGAGCCAGCGUAGAUUUAUUGUUGAGCAUUUGGGGACUUUUUCUCUGUGUCUGCUGUUUUGAACCAUCAUUUUGAGUUGGUUGGUAGGUUGAUCUUUGUUGCAUACUUGACUGCUUAGGGACAUUCACACUGGUAGAUAUAGUGGGAUCUUCAGAAGGUGUACCUUCAAUAUCAUCAAUAUGUACCAUAUCUUCCUCUCUCUUUUCAGUAUCAAGCAUAUCAUCUUUAGUAGCCUUUUCAAUACCAAUGAUAUCAUACGUUUCUUCUUGUAACUGAGACUGGAUCAGCAUUCUUAGAGGUAGUAGGAGCUCUAGGGUCGGUCUUAGGGUCAAUCAAAUUCUCAUGCAUAACAUGAGACAAUUCCCUCCCUUUGGACACCCCUUCCUACAGAUUUGUAGUUUCCUCUUGAAUCCCUCCAUCCAUACUUCCCUCCAUUUUAGGAGUCCAUACUAAAAUCUCAUCAGCUGACCUUCAACAUACCUCUCUCAGCUGGAGAUCUCCCAUUGCCCUUAUCUCCAAUCCCUUCCACUAAAAGGGAUGCCUCUUCCCUCUCUAAACUAUCUAUUCGCUACUGUCCAUUGCUCAGUCCACUACUAGAAUUUGACAAGGGGGAAUACUGGCCAAAUAUUGCUCAAAUUCCCAUCAUAGACAUCGAUCGGGAAUGCCUGUAAUGAUUAAAAGAAUAGCUCUCCAACUGAUGUAAGCUAUUCUUUUCCCUCAGAAGCUUCUUAUUUCUGUUUACUUCACUUUGCUUUUUUGUUAAUUCUCUUCAUUUUUAAAUAUUUUGUGCUCAUCGCCAAACACAUAACCUCAAUAGAGAAUCUAAAUUUUUGAAAAGAUAAGGGAUAAUUAUGUUGUGCUCAUCAUCAAACACAUAGAUUUAUAUAGUUGUAUAUUUCUUGGAUGGGGCAGGUACUGGAUUCGUUUCUCAUUGCUUAUUGGUUUAUGCUCUUACCGUGUUUUAAUUCACGUCUCAAUUGCGAAAGAAAUCAUAUGUAGCUUGUGCCACCAUGUUUAAUAGAAAGUCUUUAGUUCUUGUAAGCAUCAACGGAAACUUUUCUUAACAGUAGAAUGUUUAAUACAUUGUAUUUGCACUAUCCUUCAAUGUUUGCAUAAAAAUCUUCUCUUGCAUAUACUUUUGCAAUUUUAAACUUCAUUUUGAACUGUGUUGUUGCUAACUUAAACAUGUUCUGUGCUUAAUCAGAUGUGGAUUUUGAAGGGCGAGUACGACAAGUCUGGUCCAUCCAUUGUCCACAGGAAGUGCUUCUAAGGUGCUGCUGCUAUUUUUACAUCUGUUCGCGAGUUCUUUUUUAUUGUUUUGUUCUUUCCGCUAAAGCUAUUAUGUCGUCCACAGUGAACUCAGAUCUACUGUUAUAGGCAAGUCUUUGAGAUGCGGCUAUCAAAGAAGGGCGAUUAAAAUCAUUGUACCGCUGAUACUAUUUCAUGUUUCCAGUGCAAGCCUCUUUUGUAAGUUGACAAAUUCGAUUUUGUAAAUAUGUUUGGGACUCAACUAGUGGUUAGAGUAAUGAUUUUGUAAGAUUUGUGUACAAAAAAUCAAAUUAGAAAGAUAACUCGCGAUGAUUGAAUAAGCUCGAAGAAGUGGAUUUGAAUUUCAAAUCGUGUCUUUCUUUUAUUUUAUGUGUGUGAGAAAUUUGAAGUGUUGUUUAGAUUUGUUGGAAUAGUCUAAAGAGAUUCUCUCUAUAAAAUUUGAAGUCAUUUGAUGGAGAUCGGAUUAGAUGAUUUUGAACAA
RNAcentral lists this long non-coding RNA (126725 nucleotides) under Solanum tuberosum (potato). RNAcentral's name for it is "long non-coding RNA (STUB_LNC009176)". The record is from RNAcentral. Lineage: Eukaryota; Viridiplantae; Streptophyta; Magnoliopsida; Solanales; Solanaceae.